AGAUAAACGUUGGUAGCUAUGGACUUAGUACCUACACUGGUAGUUAUGGAUUCAGUACCCGAUGAAUGAGCCAUAGCAGCUAUGGAAUUAGUGAUUUACGAAAGAACAUUUAUCUAUUACACGUUUCUAAUACUAUCUAAUCUAUCCUAAUAUCAUCCAUCAGCCCAAUACUCCUAGUAUGCUGCAAGUGCUUAACCCUACUCAGUCCCUUCGUAAGCGGAUCUGCUGGGUUAUCUUCUGAUGAUAUCCUCUUCACUACAAGUUGUCCUUCUUCUACACGAUGUCUAAUGAAAUGGUAUUUCCUGUCGAUAUGUCUUGAUCUACCAUUAUCCCUCGGUUCCUUGGUCAAGGCAACCGCUCCUUCGUUAUCACAGAAAAUCUCCAUAGGCUCCUUUAUGGCGGGUACAACUCCAAGAUCACCGAUGAAGUUCUUUAGCCAUAUUGCCUCCUUCGACGCUUCGCUCGUUGCAAUGUACUCUGAUUCACACGUUGAAUCAGCUACGGUCUCCUGUUUGGAACUCUUCCAUGUCACUGCUCCUCCAUUUAGGGUAAAGACCCAGCCCGACUGCGAACGGUAGUUGUCCCUGUCGGUCUGAAAACUGGCGUCACUAUACCCUCGCACGUUUAAGUCAUCACUCCCUCUAAGGACAAAGAACCAUUCCUUCGUACUCCGAAGGUACUUAAGGAUAUUCUUCACCACAAUCCAAUGUGCUCUGCCAGGAUUCCCCUUAUAUCUGCUUCGGAUCCACACUCUAUUCGGAUGCUUCGGAUCCACAAAACCCUCUGGCUGAGCCAUGUAAACAUCCUCAGCCAACUUUCCAUUAAGAAAAGCGGUCUUGACAUCCAUUUGCCAAAUCUCAUAAUCAUGAAAUGCGGCAAUUGCUAGCAUCACUCUAAUAGAUUUAAUCUUUACAACUGGUGAGAAGGUCUCAUCAUAGUCAACUCUAGAAGUUUGAGUAAAGCCCUUCGCAACCAAUCAUGCUUUAUAUGUGUGUACUUUUCCAUCCACGUCGGUCUUCUUCUUGAAGAUCCAUUUGCACCCAACGGUCUUACGUCCGGGCACAUAAUCAACCAAAUUCCAAACUUGGUUAUCCUACAUGGAUUGGAUCUCGCUAUCCAUUGCCUCUUUCCACUUUGCAGACUCUGGGCCUGCCAUGGCUUCCUUAUAGCUAUUAGGUUCAUCAAGAUUUAUUAGUGUACCAUCACUAAUAUACGUGUCCCCUUCGGUAGUAAUAUGAAAACCAUAAAACUGGGGAUGAACUCUAACUCUAUCGGAACGUCUAAGAGGUAAGGAUUCGUCAAUCGGUUCAACCGGAGUUUCCUCCUCGGGUUGAGUGCCAGCGGUAGAGGUUCCUUCAUCUAUCGACUCUUGAAUCUCUUCAAGCUCGAUUUGCCUCCCACUGUCUCCUUGGCUUAUGAGUUCUCGCUCUCGGAAAACUCCUCUCCUCGCAACGAAGACAACAUUGUCCUUCGGUCUAUAGAAGAGAUAUCCAAAGGAUGUCUGCGGGUAGCCGAUGAAAAUACAUCGCUCACUUCGAGGUUCAAGCUUGUCGUGAGUAUCUCGUCUUACGAAAGCCUCGCAACCCCAAACCUUGAUAUGUGCCAACGAGGGAGCUUUCCCUGUCCACAUCUCGUGAGGUGUUUUGGCAACCUUCUUAGUAGGGACUCGGUUAAGGAUAUGGGCGGCAGUCUCUAAGGCAUACCCCCAAAAAGAGAUUGGUAGCGAAGCACGACUCAUCAUAGAGCGAACCAUAUCCAAUAAGGUUCGAUUACGCCUUUCUGCCACACCAUUCAACUGCGGUGUCCUAGGAGGCGUCAAUUGUGAAACUAUUCCACACUCCUUGAGAUAAUCGUGGAAUUCAAGACUUAGGUACUCUCCUCCUCGAUCGGAUCGAAGCAUCUUGAUUUUCCUGCCCAAUUGAUUCUCCACUUCAUUCUUGAACUCUUUGAACUUUUCAAAGGUGUCUGACUUUUGCUUGAUUAAGUAGAUAUACCCAUAUCUACUAUAGUCAUCGGUAAAAGUCACAUAGAAGCGGUUCCCAUCCUUCGUGGUUGAUCUAAACGGUCCACAUACAUCGGUAUGUAUUAGGUCCAAUAGACCCUCGCCCCUUUCACAUGUACUCGUGAAGGGUGACUUAGUCAUCUUUCCAAGCAAACAAGACUCGCAUGUGUCAUCUUCCCUAAGGUCGAAUGACUCCAACACUCCAUCCUUUUGGAGUUGGGCUAUGCGUUUCUUGUUGACAUGUCCAAGACGACAAUGCCACAAGGAUGCUUUAUCCAUACUAGUGGAAGAAUCAAUAUUCAAAACAUCAUUUCCUAAGUUAUCAACAAUCAUAACGGUUUCAUAUAUUCCAUUACAUGGUAUAGCUUCAAAGUAAAAGACACCAUUUAGAUAAGCCAAAAUAGAACCAUUCUCAUUAUUAAAAGAAAAUCUAAAUCCUUGUCUAUAUAAACCAUGAAAUGAAAUGAUGUUUCUUGCCAUUUCUGGCGAAUAGCAACAAUUGUUCAAAUCUAAAACUAAACUAUUCCUAAGCACUAAGGAAUACACUCCAAUCUUGGUCACAGGCGACGAUCUUCUGUUCCCCAUGAUUAGAUUGAUCCUUCCUUGCUCCACAUCCCUACUUCUUCUUAGUCCCUGCACAUUAGAACAAAUGUGAUAACCACAACCGGUAUCAAGAACCCAAGAAAUAGCAUGAUUAGAAUCGUUAGAUUUGAUUGUAUAUAUACCUGCGAAAGAUGGCUUGAUCUUUCCUUCUUUGAUUGCUUGCAGGUAAUCCGGGCAGCUUCUCUUCCAAUGUCCUAUCUUGUGGCAGUGGUGGCACUCUGCCUCCUUCGGGUUAGAGCAGGGCUUGGCGGGAUCAACUUUGGUCCCACUAGAAGAGGCACCAUCUCGGGCUUUCACCUUGCGAUAGUUCUUCGAUGAAGCUUUCCUCUUCUUUCCCUUCCCUUGUCCAAUAGCCAAGACAGGAGCAGCGGGCGGAUUGGGAGUAGGUGCAACAGACUUGUCUUUGAAGUUGCUCUCAGCAACCCUCAAGAGACCUUGGAGCUUGCUUAGGGUGACCUCUUCUUUGUUCAUGUGGUAGGUCAUCCUAAAUUGGUUGUACAUCGGAGGCAAAGAGUGAAGCACCAUGUCGAUCGCCAAGUCUUCACCGAAGUCAACAUUUAACUUGCGGAGGCGGUCAACAUACCUUUGCAUCUUUUGCAAGUGCACGGUAAGAGAUUCUCCAUGACCCAUCUUCGCGGAAAUCAUGUUAGUGAAAAUCUCGUACCUCUCUUGUCUCGCGUUUUGGUGGUACCUCUCCAAUAAGUCUUGAUGCAUCUCGUACGGGUACAUGUCCUCGUAGGACUUUUGGAAUUCGGAGUUCAUGGUGGCGAUCAUGAUGCAAUGUACCUUCGUUGCAUCUCGCUCAUGAGUUUCAAAGGCGGUGAUUUCGGCGGGAGUAGCAAUUUCGGGGUUGAUUUUCUCGAGCUUCUCAUCGAGGACAUACUCCUUAUCCUCAUAGCGAGCAAUGGUGCGAAUGUAUCUUAUCCAUUCGCUAAAGUUCGUUCCAUCGAAGGUGACCUUUUGGCAAAGGCUCAUCAACGUGAAAGAACUAGCAGCAGCGUUGUUUGCGUUCGACAUCUACAAUUAGAAAAGGACAAAGAUAGAUUAGAAUAAGAAUCCCUAAUUAUCACCCAAUAAGAAAAUUAGGGCUAGGAUCCAACAAUAACAUUUACAUACUAGAAAAGGGAUGCCGUAAUCUAACAUGCAAAUAAAUUGAAGGUAAGUGAAUGACGAUUCACUAAUUCUCCAUCACAAAACUUAAACUAUUAGUCCUAAGUGUUUUUGAGAAUUCCUAGGUUCGGAUGAGAUUCAUUGAAACUAUUCAAUGGCAUGUUUAAAUCUCGAUAUGCCCCUCUUGUUUGUGACUGGGAUGCCGAGGAUCACAAAGCGGGUGUGAAUUACCAUGCAAAUUCACAUGGUGCCUUCAUUGUAACAAUCACCUAUUCGAUGUGCCGGUAAACCACACACGCUCCAUCGAACUAUGAUAAACAAUGAAUCACCCUUUGCCACCUUCGCUUAGAACCAAUUAGUGUGCCGGUAAACCACACACGCUCCACUAACAUCUUAGCAAGGUGCAAAGUGUAAUUUCAUGGGAUUGCAUCAAUUCACUUUUCCUAAAGUAACUAGGAUUGGGAAAUUUUAAAAAAAUGUGUAGUUACUUUAUAUUUCUUAUUAUACUUUUAAUGAGAGGAUGAGGUUGCCCUAUCCUACCCGUUCGGCUAACGACCCUCCACCAAUCAAGCAAGCGGUGGGUGUGAGUGUACACCCAUUAAGCGCCAUUUUAUAGGCCGCAACCUUAUACCCACCUUAUAGAUCGGCUUCGUGAAUGAGGCCUACUAACGGUAAGACUAGCAUUUAGUUAUACAUAUAUAUAUUAUUCUAGUAAUAUCAUAUUAGUAUAGGGUUGUAUUUUAAAACUUUUAAAAUCUAGGGUUUGAAAUUUAAGUUGUCUAAAUUAAAACUUUUAAUCACAAAAGUAAAUUUCAAAACAUGAGGGUAGGUUUUAAACAUUUAAAACAUGGAGGAUCAAAUAACAAAUAAUUCCAAUUAACAAUUAAUAUCCUAAUUAUCUAUAUUUGAUUUAUUCAAGAUUUCUUUUAAAGAUAAUUACCAAAAUAAUCAAAAUAAUUAAUUAAUUAUCAUAUAAGGAAAUUAAAUAUUUAAUUAGUUGAUAAUUACCUUUAACUAGAUCAAGAUAAUAGUUAUAUUUAUCAGAAAAACGAAUUAAUGUUGAUCUAAUUAGUUUAUGGUAAGUUAAGAUAAGAUAAACACAAAGAAAUCCCGAAUCUGGCCAUUCCUGACGCCUGGACUCGCCGAGUGCACAAAUGGACUCGCCGAGUCAGGCCUACUCGCCGAGUCCACUUUGAGACUCGCCGAGUCCAUGACUCAGAAACCAAAAAUUCGAAUUUUGCAGGUUUGUUUCAGUUAAUCAAGCAACAAUUUACAGAAAACCAAGCUAGGCUCUGAUACCACUGAUGGGUUUUAGCCAUAAGAACUUUCCUAUGUGCGCAUGCAAAACCCUAAUGCUUGGAUCUAGGCUUUCUAAUUAAACAUGCUUUGAAUCCAAGACUUCUAAUGGCUAAUUAGGUUAAAUAACAACAUUGAAACAGAUCUAGAACCAUACCUUUGAAUUCCUUGUUGAUCUUGUUGUCUUGGAGCUUCUAGAGUCACAAUUGUCACUCCUCUAAUGGCUUACAAACACCAAUAGCAAGAAAGAUGACUUAGGAGAGAGGAGAGGGGAGGAAAUCGGCCAGGGUUCUCUUACUUUAGGUUAGGUGCCGAUUUCCCUUGCCCAUGGGAUCUAUUUAUACUUGUAGACUCCUUAAGGGUUACAAUCUAAACCCUAAUUGGAUAAUCUUCUCUUAAGGCUAUCCAAAUCCAUUCCAUAGAUAACCCCUUGGAGGAUUUUUGAAGCUAUCCUAGCUUCUAGAAUCCGUCCCUUGUAUAUCUGUAUGGAUUUACAGUCUAAAUCUUAAGUAUCAAACAAUUGACAGUUUAUACCCCUUUAUUUAAUUAAUCUCUUUAAGUCACCAAAUUAAUUCCAAUUAAUUCUAUGACUUAUAUUAAUCAAAUAACAAUAUAUUAUUCUUUAUAUUAUUCUCAUAAUAUAUUAAUAAUAUUUACUCUCUCUUAAUAAAUCAUCCUAUCAAGUUGCUAUGGUGAAGGCAACCCAAAAGGACCAUGCACNUAUGCACAACAGGGUCAGGUACUUGCCUAAUAUAGUUGCAGCCUUAGACACUAUUCCAAUAAUACAUGCUAUGUGUUUAUAUAUUAUUUGUCUAUUUGAAAUGGGCAUGGAAUUGAAUUUUUAUAUAGGUUUUAAAUGAGUUAAACCGUAUAUGUAUUUUAUCUCUACAAAUAUGUUGGGUAGAACACAUGUAGAUGAAAUAGGUGGUGUGUGAUGAAGGAUGAGUUUAAGGAUGAGAUGAAAGAUAAACCUCGGUAGCUAUGGAUUUAGUAUUGUAUAGAUGAACCUUGGUAGCUAUGGAUUUAGUACUGUAUAGAUGAACCUUGGUAGCUAUGGAUUUAGCACUGUAAAGAUGAACCUUGGUAGCUAUGGAUUUAGUACUGUAUAGAUGAACCUUGGUAGCUAUGUAUUUAGUACCGUAUAGAUAAAUGUUGGUAGCUAUGGAUGUAGUACAGUUAGAUAGACGAUGAUAGCUAUGGAUUUAGUACUGUUAGAUAAACGUUGGUAGAUAUGGACUUAGUACCUACACCGGUAGCUAUGGAUUUAGUACUGUUAGAUAAACGUUGGUAGCUGUGGACUUAGUACCUACACUGGUAGUUAUGGAUUUAGUACCCGAUGAAGGAGCCAUAGCAGCUAUAGAAUUAGUGCUUUACAAAAGAACCUUGUCAGCUAUUGUCUUAGUGCCAAAUAAAGAAUCCUGGCAGUUAUUGUCUUAGUGCCUAAUAAAGAAUCCUGGUAGCUAUUGUCUUUGUACCCAAUACGGAGUGAACGAAUAGAUGAUUCUUAGGGUAGACCCUUAAGAGUAAGGAAGAUAAUGGGGAUGGGUAAUUAGGUUGAUUGUUUGAUAAUUAAAUAUAAUAAUUAUAUUAUUGUGGGUUGAAAACCCUAUAUACUCACCAGGCUCCCAAGCCUGACCCACUCAGUUUAAUUGUAUCACAGGUAUCGAUACGAAGCUGCUUUGCACUGAGAGAUUAAAGGAGAUGUAAAUCACUAGAGUAAAUGAAUGUAUGUUCUGUUUAUGCUUAUGUGUCUGUAUCGGAACAUGACAUCCCGAGGUUUUAUUAUUUAAUGGAAAUACAUUCUCUUUGAGAAAUGUUUUGAUAAGUUUUUAUCAUAUCUUGUUUUGGGAACAAAUUCCGCAACCGUUUUCUUUAAACAAUUACUCUGAUUUAUAAAACAAAGCGUAAACAAAUCGGUCUUUUCUGGCUGAGAAAUUGGGGAUGUCAUAGUCAUGGAGUCUGAGUUUGUUGCAUUGUCUGCUGCUGGUAAGGAAGCUGAGUGGCUAAGGAAUUUGAUUUAUGAAAUUCCAUUUUGGCCUAAACCGAUAUCUACCAUUUCUAUAAGAUGUGAUAGUGCUGCAACCUUGGCUAAGGCUUAUACUCAAGUAUAUAAUGUGAAGUCUAGACACUUAGGUGUUAGACAUAGUAUGAUUCGUGAACUCUGAAGGGUUUUGAGCAUUCUAACACUCCUGUUGUAUACAUGCAACCCUAGAAACCUUGGAUCUAUGUUUUAUCUAUGAUACAUGCAAAUUUAUUUUUCCAAGGUUUAUAACCUAUCUUGCAUACAUGGGGAACUUUUAAACAUAAAAGAUAGUAAGAAAUACAUACCUUUAGUUGCUUGAAUUCCCUAAGAACCUUGUGAGCCUGACAACUCAAGUGUGAUGCCUCAAGUGUCUCACACGACACCAAAUACACUUGGAAUGACCUUGAGAGAAAUAGAACACUUCUAAAAUCGGCUAUGCCCUCCUGUUCUCACACUAGUGCCAAUUUUGGUCUACAACAUGGAGCAUCCUAUGUGUUUUAGCCCAACUUGAUAAUCCAUGGAGCAUUAGCCCACUAUACAAGUAUGGGUGGUUUACACAAUCAACCCAUAUAUUUAAUUAGUCUUGUUUUGAUCACUUAAUUAAUUCCAAAUUAAUUCUUGAUCAAUACUAAUUAAAUAAUAUUGUUAAUAUAUUAGAACUUAUAAUAUAUUAAUAAACCUUAAGUGUUAUAUCUCUCAUUUUAGUCUAUCUAAAUGCAUGAUGCCAUGCAAACCAAAUGAACCAUGCUAAUCGGGUCAAGUACAUUACAAAAAUAGUUAUAAACUUAGACACCUAAUCCAACAGUCUCUUACUUGGAUAAGUCUAAUAACUAUAAUUGCAAGAAUGACUUCAGGAACCGAUCAACAAUCAUAGCUCUUUCAAGGUCUCGCGUAACUGAGAUGAUGAUGAUACACCAUUUAAGAUAAGUGAUAAUAUAAUCCUCUAUUCUAGAUAUCAGCCGGACAAACACAUGGAACAAUGUCUUACUUAUUGUCCAACACUUUGUUUCCCGAUUUUCGAUUUGUUUGACAUUGAACUUAAUUGAACACAUCAAUUUAGUUCUGACCGGGCCCGAUACAUGGGUCAACAAAAAAUCAUCGAGGGGCCCAGAUAUCGCAACUAAUCCAAGAAGGAACAUAUAAACUUCGACUCAUAUAUGCUUGUUCUACUACUUGUUGAAUCAUACACAAAGGCAAGUUUUAUAACAUCGAGUUACCAAUGCAUUUUUGUACAAUCAGUGUAUAACCAACUCAUAGGAAACAAGUCAUAUCUCUAGGUUUGAAGACUUAUAUGAUAUUACCGUCUCACGAUCACUCGAGAUAAAUUCCAUGAAGUGAUACCAGUGAGCGUGGGUUAAAUACAAUACUCAGAACUUAUGAGCACUCAUGAGUGUUGUAGCACCACUUAUGUCCAACAUCUUUGACCUCUACAAACAGACCCAUGACAGUCUUGAUUCAUAUCUACUUCCAACAUAUGACCGAAUGUGGAGAAUUUGAAUAAUAUGAAAUAACAUAACAUAAUUAUUCUGGAAGUCAAAACAUGCAAAAUGAAAUGAUUGUAAACGAUUGAGAAAGGAUAGGAACACUUUACUCAUAAAUAAAUACAACUUUUAUUCAUCAUAAAAUGUCAAUUACACUUUACACAUUCCAAAUCUAUCUGACUACUAAAACUAAUAUCAUCCUUCAACCAUAUGCGCCUGGCAUGCUGAAGAUGCUUAUCCCUGCCCAGUCCCUUCGUGAGUGGAUUUGCUGGGUUCUCAUCCGAUGAUACCCUCUUUGCAAUGAGGUUUCCUUCUUCUAUUCGAUGACUGAUGAAAUGAUAUUUUUUGUCGAUGUAUCUGGAUCUCCCGUGAUCCCUUGGUUCCUUAGCAAAGGCAACUGCACUUUCACUAUCACAAAAAAUUUCUAUAGGCUCCUUUAUAGCUGGUACAAAUCCAAGGUCUCCAAUGAAGUUCUUUAGCCAUAUAGCCUCCUUUGCUGCCUCGCUUGCCGCUAUAUACUCUGAUUCGCAAGUUGAAUCAGCCACUGUCUCCUGCUUGGAACUUUUCCAAGAAAUUGCUCCUCCAUUUAAGGUAAAGACCCAGCCUGACUAAGAGCGGAAAUUAUCCCUAUCAGUCUGGAAGCUAGCAUCACUAUACCAUAAUACUCUAAAGUAAUCACUCCCACCGAGGGUAAGGACUCAGUCAUUAGUCCUUCACAGGUACUUGAGAAUGUUCUUUACCGUAGUCUAGUGAGCCUUUCUAGGGUUCCCCUGAUAUCUGCUGACCAUGCUCAAUGAAAAGGCCACAUCAGGACGAGUACAAGUCAUAGCAUACAUGGUCGAGCCUACAAUGGAAGCAUACGGUACCCGACUCAUUUCUGCUAUCUCAGUCUCUGUACUCAGACUCUGAGUUUUACUCAGUCUGGCGUUACUCUGGAUCGAUAACUCUCAUUUCUUGGAAUUCUACAUGCUAAAUCUAUUCAGCACCUUCUCCAAGUAGGUACUCUGACUAAGUCUAAUUAGUCUUUUAAUCCUGUCUCUCAGAAUCCGUAUCCCUAGGAUAUAGGCAGCUUCUCCAAGGUCCUUCAUAGCGAAACACUUCCCAAGACAGGACUUAACUUCCUGCAUAGUUUGGAUGUCAUUUCCUAUGCGUAGUAUGUCAUCCAGAUACAAUACCAAAAAGCUAACUAUACUCCCACUAGCGUUGACAUAUACACAAGAUUCAUCUUCACUCCUCGAAAAGCCAAAUUCUUUGACUUUCUCAUCGAAGCAAAGAUUCCAUCUGUGAGGUGCUUGCUUUAAUCCAUAAAUGGAUUUCUCAAGCUUACACACUCUAUUACGGUACUCUUUACUGACAAAACCCUCUGGCUGACUCAUGUAAACAUCCUCAGCCAACUUUCCAUUAAGGAAAGCGAUUUUGACAUCCAUUUGCCAUAUUUCAUAAUCAUGAAAUGCAACAAUGGCUAACAUAACCCUAAUAGACUUAAUCUUAGCUACUGGUGAAAAGGUCUCAUCAUAAUCAACUCCCGAAGUUUGAGAAAAGCCCUUUGCAACUAGUCGUGCCUUAUAAGUGUAUACAUUACCAUCCAUGUCGGUCUUCUUCAUGAAGAUCGAUUUGCACCCGACUGUCUUGCGACCUGGUACAUUGUCAACCAAGUUCCAAACUUGAUUGUCAUACAUAGAUUGUAUCUCGCUGUCCAUAGCCUCUUUCCAUUUAGCAGCCUCAGGGCAUGCCAUGGCUUUCGUGUAGCUAUUAGGUUCAUCCAAACUCACCAGUGUGCUAUCACUGAUAAGUGUAUCACCUUCCACAGUAAUAUGGAAACCAUAGUAAUGCUCAGGUGCAUUCCUAACUCUCGUGGAACGCCUUAGAGGUACAGACUCUUAUGUCAGAUCAAUAGGAGUUUCCUCCUCAGGUUGAUUGCUAGGGUUUAAGGUUCCUUCACCACAUGAAUCUUGAAUUUCUUCAAGGUCAAUUUUCCUGUCACUAUUUCCUUGGCUCAUGAAUUCUCGCUCGCGAAAGAGUCCUCUCCUUUCUACAAAGACCACAUUAUCACUAGGUCUGUAGAAGAGGUAACCAAAGGAUCUUUGUGGGUAGCCGAUGAAAAUAAACCUCUCACUUUGAGGUUCGAGAUUAUUGUGAGACUCGCGCCUCACAAGCCUCGCAAUCCCAAAUCUUGAUGUGGUCCAUAAUAGGAACUUUUCCGGUCCACAUCUCAUGAGGUGUUUUGGCAACCUUCUUUGUAGGGACUAGAUUAAGAAUACGGGCGACAGUCUCUAAGGCAUACCCCCAAAAUGAGAUUGGUAGCGAAACUCGACUCAUCAUGGAAUGAACCAUAUCCAACAAGGUUCGAUUGCGCCUCUCAGCCACACCAUUAAGUUGUGGUGUCCUGGGAGGUGUCAGUGUUGAGAUAAUCCCACAUUCUUUAAGAUAGUGAAGGAACUCUGUACUAAGAUACUCACCACCUCAAUCGGAUUGAAGCAUCUUAAUGUUACUGCCCAACUGAUUCUCCACUUCCUGCUUGAACUCUUUGAAUCUUUCAAAGGUCUCUGACUUAUGUUUGAUUAAGUAGACAUAUCCAUAUCUACUAAAAUCAUCAGUAAAAGUCACAUAAAAGCGGUUAUCAUCUCUUGUGGAGGUUCUGAAGGGUCCACACACAUUAGUGUGUAUAAGGUCCAACAAACACUCACCCCUAGAACAAGUACUAGUGAAGGGUGACCUUGUCAUUUUCCCAAGGAAAAAAGAUUCACAAUUUGUUGGAAUAGUGUCUAAGGCUGCAACUAUAUUAGGCAAGUACUUGACCCGGUUGUGCAUGGUCCUUUUGGGUUGCCUUCACCAUAGCAACUUGAUAGGAUGAUUUAUUAAGAGAGAGUAAAUAUUAUUAAUAUAUUAUGGGAAUAAUAUAAAGAAUAAUAUAUUGUUAUUUGAUUAAUAUAAGUCAUAGAAUUAAUUGGAAUUAAUUUGGUGACUUAAAGAGAUUAAUUAAAUAAAGGGGUAUAAACUGUCAAUUGUUUGAUAGUUAAGCUUUAGACUAUAAAUCCUUAUAGAUAUAUAGUGGACGGAUUCUAGAAGCUAGGAUAGCUUCAAAAUCGUCCAUGACUUAUCUAAGGAAAGGAUUUGGAUAGCCUUGAGAGAAGAUUAUCCAAUUAGGGUUUAGAUUGUAACCCUUAAGGAGUCUACAAGUAUAAAUAGAUCCCAUGGGCAAGGGAAAUCGGCACCUCACCUAAAGUAAGAGAACCCUGGCCGAUUUCCUCCCCUCUCCUCUCUCCUAAGUCAUCUUUCUUGCUAUUGGUGUUUGUAAGCCAUUAGAGGAGUGACAAUUGUGACUCUAGAAGCUCCAAGACAACAAGAUCAACAAGGAAUUCAAAGGUAUGGUUCUAGAUCUGUUUCAAUGUUGUUAUUUAACCUAAUUAGCCAUUAGAAGUCUUGGAUUCAAAGCAUGUUUAAUUAGAAAGCCUAGAUCCAAGCAUUAGGGUUUUGCAUGCGCACAUAGGAAAGUUCUUAUGGCUAAAACCCAUCAGUGGUAUCAGAGCCUAGCUUGGUUUUCUUUAAAUUGUUGCUUGAUUAACUGAAACAAACCUGCAAAAUUCGAUUUUUUGGUUUCUGUGUCAUGGACUCGGCGAGUUCCAAGGUGGACUCGGCGAGUAGGCCUGACUCGGCGAGUCCCCUUGUGCACUCGGCGAGUCCAGGCGUCAGGAAUGGCCAGAUUCGGGAUUUUUUCAUAAUUAUCUUAUGGAAACUUACCUUAAUCAUAAUAGAUCAACCUAAAUCCGAUUUUUUGAUAUAUAUGACUAUUAUCUUGAUCUAGUUAAAGGUAUUUAUCAACUAAUAAAAUAUUUAAUUUCCUUAUAUGAUAAUUAAUUAAUUAUUUUAAUUAUUUUGGUAAUUAUCUUUCAAAGAAAUCUUGAAUAAAAUCAAAUAUAGAUAAUUAGGAUAUUAAUUGUUAAUUGGAAUUAUUUGUUAUUUGAUCCUCCAUGUUUUAAAUGUUUAAAACUUGCCCUCAAGUUUUGAAAUUUAUAUUUGUGAUUAAAAGUUUUAAUUUAGACAACUUAAAUUUCAAACCCUAGAUUUUAAAAGGUUUAAAAUACAACCCUAUACUAAUAUGAUAUUACUAGAAUAAUAUAUAUAUGUAUAACUAAAUGCUAGUCUUACCGUUAGUAGGCCUCAUUCACGAAGCCGAUCUAUAAGGUGGGUAUAAGGUUGCGGCCUAUAAAAUGGCGCUUAAUGGGUGUACACUCACACCCACCGCUUGCUUGAUUGGUGGAGGGUCGUUAGCCGAACGGGUAGGAUAGGGCAACCUCAUCCUCUCAUUAAAAGUAUAAUAAGAAAUACAAAGUAACUACACAUAUUUUAAAAUUUCCCAAUCUUAGUUACUUUAGGAAAAGUGAAUUGAUGCAAUCCCAUGAAAUUACACUUUGCACCUUGCUAAGAAGUUAGUGGAGCGUGUGUGGUUUACCGGCACACUAAUUGGUUCUAAGCGAAGGUGGCAAAGGGUGAUUCAUUGUUUAUCAUAGUUCGAUGGAGCGUGUGUGGUUUACCGGCACAUCGAAUAGGUGAUCGUUACAAUGAAGGCACCAUGUGAAUUUGCAUGGUAAUUCACACCCGCUUUGUGAUCCUCGGCAUCCCAGUCACAAACAAGAGGGGCAUAUCGAGAUUUAAACAUGCCAUUGAAUAGUUUCAAUGAAUCUCAUCCGAACCUAGGAAUUCUCAAAAACACUUAGGACUAAUAGUUUAAGUUUUGUGAUGGAGAAUUAGUGAAUCGUCAUUCACUUACCUUCAAUUUAUUUGCAUGUUAGAUUACGGCAUCCCUUUUCUAGUAUGUAAAUGUUAUUGUUGGAUCCUAGCCCUAAUUUUCUUAUUGGGUGAUAAUUAGGGAUUCUUAUUCUAAUCUAUCUUUGUCCUUUUCUAAUUGUAGAUGUCGAACGCAAACAACGCUGCUGCUAGUUCUUUCACGUUGAUGAGCCUUUGCCAAAAGGUCACCUUCGAUGGAACGAACUUUAGCGAAUGGAUAAGAUACAUUCGCACCAUUGCUCGCUAUGAGGAUAAGGAGUAUGUCCUCGAUGAGAAGCUCGAGAAAAUCAACCCCGAAAUCGCUACUCCCGCCGAAAUCACCGCUUUUGAGACUCAUGAGCGAGAUGCAACGAAGGUACAUUGCAUCAUGAUCGCCACCAUGAACUCCGAAUUCCAAAAGUCCUACGAGGACAUGUACCCGUACGAGAUGCAUCAAGACUUAUUGGAGAGGUACCACCAAAACGCGAGACAAGAGAGGUACGAGAUUUUCACUAACAUGAUUUCCGCGAAGAUGGGUCAUGGAGAAUCUCUUACCGUGCACUUGCAAAAGAUGCAAAGGUAUGUCGACCGCCUUCGCAAGUUAAAUGUUGACUUCGGUGAGGAUUUGGCGAUCGACAUGGUGCUUCACUCUUUGCCUCCGAUGUACAAUCAAUUUAGGAUGACCUACCACAUGAACAAAGAAGAGGUCACCCUAAGCAAGCUCCAAGGUCUCUUGAGGGUUGCUGAGAGCAACUUCAAAGACAAGUCUGUUGCACCUACUCCCAAUCCGCCCGCUGCUCCUGUCUUGGCUAUUGGACAAGGGAAGGGAAAGAAGAGGAAAGCUUCAUCGAAGAACUAUCGCAAGGUGAAAGCCCGAGAUGGUGCCUCUUCUAGUGGGACCAAAGUUGAUCCCGCUAAGCCCUGCUCUAACCCGAAGGAGGCAGAGUGCCACCACUGCCACAAGAUAGGACAUUGGAAGAGAAGCUGCCCGGAUUACCUGCAAGCAAUCAAAGAAGGAAAGAUCAAGCCAUCUUUCGCAGGUAUAUAUACAAUCAAAUCUAACGAUUCUAAUCAUGCUAUUUCUUGGGUUCUUGAUACCGGUUGUGGUUAUCACAUUUGUUCUAAUGUGCAGGGACUAAGAAGAAGUAGGGAUGUGGAGCAAGGAAGGAUCAAUCUAAUCAUGGGGAACAGAAGAUCGUCGCCUGUGACCAAGAUUGGAGUGUAUUCCUUAGUGCUUAGGAAUAGUUUAGUUUUAGAUUUGAACAAUUGUUGCUAUUCGCCAGAAAUGGCAAGAAACAUCAUUUCAUUUCAUGGUUUAUAUAGACAAGGAUUUAGAUUUUCUUUUAAUAAUGAGAAUGGUUCUAUUUUGGCUUAUCUAAAUGGUGUCUUUUACUUUGAAGCUAUACCAUGUAAUGGAAUAUAUGAAACCGUUAUGAUUGUUGAUAACUUAGGAAAUGAUGUUUUGAAUAUUGAUUCUUCCACUAGUAUGGAUAAAGCAUCCUUGUGGCAUUGUCGUCUUGGACAUGUCAACAAGAAACGCAUAGCCCAACUCCAAAAGGAUGGAGUGUUGGAGUCAUUCGACCUUAGGGAAGAUGACACAUGCGAGUCUUGUUUGCUUGGAAAGAUGACUAAGUCACCCUUCACGAGUACAUGUGAAAGGGGCGAGGGUCUAUUGGACCUAAUACAUACCGAUGUAUGUGGACCGUUUAGAUCAACCACGAAGGAUGGGAACCGCUUCUAUGUGACUUUUACCGAUGACUAUAGUAGAUAUGGGUAUAUCUACUUAAUCAAGCAAAAGUCAGACACCUUUGAAAAGUUCAAAGAGUUCAAGAAUGAAGUGGAGAAUCAAUUGGGCAGGAAAAUCAAGAUGCUUCGAUCCGAUCGAGGAGGAGAGUACCUAAGUCUUGAAUUCCACGAUUAUCUCAAGGAGUGUGGAAUAGUUUCACAAUUGACGCCUCCUAGGACACCGCAGUUGAAUGGUGUGGCAGAAAGGCGUAAUCGAACCUUAUUGGAUAUGGUUCGCUCUAUGAUGAGUCGUGCUUCACUACCAAUCUCUUUUUGGGGGUAUGCCUUAGAGACUGCCGCCCAUAUCCUUAACCGAGUCCCUACUAAGAAGGUUGCCAAAACACCUCACGAGAUGUGGACAGGGAAAGCUCCCUCGUUGGCACAUAUCAAGGUUUGGGGUUGCGAGGCUUUCGUAAGACGAGAUACUCACGACAAGCUUGAACCUCGAAGUGAGCGAUGUAUUUUCAUCGGCUACCCGCAGACAUCCUUUGGAUAUCUCUUCUAUAGACCGAAGGACAAUGUUGUCUUCGUUGCGAGGAGAGGAGUUUUCCGAGAGCGAGAACUCAUAAGCCAAGGAGACAGUGGGAGGCAAAUCGAACUUGAAGAGAUUCAAGAGUCGAUAGAUGAAGGAACCUCUACCGCUGGCACUCAACCCGAGGAGGAAACUCCGGUUGAACCGAUUGACGAAUCCUUACCUCUUAGACGUUCCGAUAGAGUUAGAGUUCAUCCCCAGUUUUAUGGCUUUCAUAUUACUACCGAAGGGGACACGUAUAUUAGUGAUGGUACACUAGUAAAUCUUGAUGAACCUAAUAGCUAUAAGGAAGCCAUGGCAGGCCCGGAGUCUGCAAAAUGGAAAGAGGCAAUGGAUAGCGAGAUCCAAUCCAUGUAUGAUAACCAAGUUUGGAAUUUGGUUGAUUAUGUGCCCGGACGUAAGACCGUUGGGUGCAAAUGGAUCUUCAAGAAGAAGACCGACGUGGAUGGAAACGUACACACAUAUAAAGCGCGAUUGGUUGCGAAGGGCUUUACUCAAACUCCCGGAGUUGACUAUGAUGAGACCUUCUCACCAGUUGCGAAGAUUAAAUCUAUUAGAGUGAUGCUAGCUAUUGCCGCAUUUCAUGAUUAUGAGAUUUGGCAAAUGGAUGUCAAGACCGCUUUCCUUAACGGAAAGUUGGCUGAGGAUGUUUACAUGGCUCAGCCAGAGGGGUUUGUGGAUCCGAAGCAUCCGAAUAGAGUGUGUAAGCUUGAGAAGUCCAUUUAUGGACUUAAGCAAGCGUCUCGCAGAUGGAAUCUUUGCUUCGAUGAGAAAGUCAAAGAGUUUGGAUUUGUACGAAGCGAAGACGAAUCUUGUGUAUAUGUCAAAGCCAGUGGGAGUAUAGUAAGCUUCCUCGUUCUAUAUGUCGAUGACAUAUUACUCAUAGGAAACGACAUCCCGACUCUGCAGGAGGUUAAGUCCUGGCUCGGGAAGUGCUUCGCUAUGAAGGACCUCGGAGAGGCUUCUUACAUUUUGGGAAUAAGGAUAGUAAGAGAAAGAAGUAAGAGACUAAUUGGACUUAGUCAGAAUACUUACUUAGAGAAGGUACUAAAACGUUUUAGUAUGGAAAACUCAAAGAAGGGAGAACUACCGAUACAAAGUAAUGCCAAAUUGAGUAAGACUCAAAGUCCGAGUACCGAAGCUGAGAUAGCAGAAAUGAGCCGAGUACCAUACGCUUCCGCAGUUGGCUCAAUCAUGUACGCUAUGACUUGUACUCGCCCUGAUGUAGCCUUCGCUUUGAGCAUGGUUAGCAGAUAUCAAGGGAAUCCUGGCAAAGCACAUUGGAUUGCGGUGAAGAAUAUCCUUAAGUACCUUCGGAGGACGAAGGAAUGGUUCUUAGUCCUCGGAGGGAGUGAUGACUUGAAGGUGCGAGGGUAUAGUGACGCCAGUUUUCAGACCGACAGGGACAACUACCGUUCGCAGUCGGGCUGGGUCUUUACCCUAAAUGGAGGAGCAGUGACAUGGAAGAGUUCCAAGCAGGAAACCGUAGCUGAUUCAACGUGCGAAUCAGAGUACAUUGCAGCGAGCGAAGCGUCGAAGGAGGCAAUAUGGCUAAAGAACUUCAUCGGUGAUCUUGGAGUUGUACCUGCCAUAAAGGAGCCAAUGGAGAUUUUCUGUGAUAACGAAGGCGCGGUUGCCUUAACCAAGGAACCGAGGGAUCAUGGUAGAUCAAGACAUAUCGACAGAAAGUAUCACUUCAUUAGACAUCGUGUAGAAGAAGGACAACUCGUAGUGAAGAGGAUAUCAUCAGAAGAUAACCCAGCAGAUCCGCUUACGAAGGGACUGAGUAGGGUUAAGCACUUGCAGCAUGCUAGGAGUAUUGGGCUGAAGGAUGAUAUUAGCAUAGAUUAGAUAGUAUUAGAAACGUGUAAUAGAUAAAUGUAAUUAACAUUUGAUGAUUAAAUAAAGGAGUUUUAUUUAUGAGUAAUGUUACUAUCUUAUGUUAAUUGUUUAGCUAUUGUUUCACUUUGCAUGUUUUGACUUCCAGAAUAAUUGAGUUUAUUAGGAAUAAUCGAAUUGUUCAAAUGGUCCACAAUCGUUCAUAUGUUGGGAGUAGAUAUGAAUGAAGAUUGUCAUGAAUUGGUGUGUAGAAUGUCUAAAUGGUGUUAGACAUAGCAAAGGAUUGCUGCAACGUUCAUGAGUGCUUAUGAACUAGUUUUGAGCAUUGGAAUAAACCCGCGCUUGCUGGAAUCACCUUAUGGAAUACGAUAUAAAAGGUGAUCGCAAGACGAUAAUAUCAUAUAGUCUUAAAACCUAGAUAUAUGGUUUAUUAUUUGUUAAUUGAUUGUACAUUGAUAAUACGAAAACGCAUCAGUAACUUGGUGUUAUAAAACGUAUUGUUGUGUAUAGUUGGUAAAUGAAUAAGUAAAUGCAUAUAAGUCGAAGUUUAUCUGUAACUUUUAUCUAAGAAGGUAAAAGCGAUAUCUCGGCCGCUCGAUGAUUUGAUUUGACUUAUGUGCCGGGCCCGGUCAGAACUGAAUUGAUGUGUUCGAUUAAGUUCUAUGUCAAAUAAAUCAGAGAUCGAGAAACCUAAAUGCUUGACUAACCAUUCCAUAGGAUUGUCAGCAUGAUAUCUAACAGAGGACUGUACGUUCCCUUAUCUAAAGGACAAGAUUGAUUAGAUCAGAGUUGACAGCGUCUUUGAGAGCUACGAUUGCAAACCGAAUUGUACUUGUAUAGUUACUAGACUUAUCCAAGUGGGAGACUGUUGGAAUAGUGUCUAAGGCUGUAACUAUAUUAGGUUGUGCAUGGUCCUUUUGGGUUGCCUUCACCAUAGCAACUUGAUAGGAUGAUUUAUUAAGAGAGAAUAAAUAUUAUUAAUAUAUUAUGGGAAUAAUAUAAUGAAUAAUAUAUUUGUUAUUUGAUUAAUAUAAGUCAUAGAAUUAAUUAGAAUUAAUUUGGUGACUUAAAGAGAUUAAUUAAAUAAAGGGGUAUAAACUGUCAAUUGUUUGAUAGUUAAGCUUUAGACUGUAAAUCCAUUUGGAUAUGCUAUGGACGAAUUCUAAAAGGGUUAGGAUAGCCAAAAUCGUCCAAAGGCUUAUCUAUGGAAUGGAUUUGGAUAGCCUUAAGAGAAGAUUAUCCAAUUAGGGUUUAGGUUGUAACCCUUAAGGAGUCUACAAGUAUAAAUAGACCCCAUGGCAUAGGGAAUUCGACACAUCUCAUAAAGCAAGAGAACCCUGGCCGAAUUCCUCCCCUCUCCUCUCUCCUAAAUCAUUCUUCUUGCUAUUGGUGUUUGUAAGCCAUUAGAGGAGUGACAUUUGUGACUCUAGAAGCUCCAAGACCUCAAGAUCAACAAGGAACUCAAAGGUAUGAUUCUAGAUCUGUUUCAAUGUUGUUAUUUAACCUAAUUAGUCAUUAGAAGACUUGGAUUCAAAGCAUGUUUAUUAGAAAGCCUAGAUCCAAGCAUUAGGGUUUUGCAUGCGCACAUAGGAAAGUUCUUAUGGCUAAAACCCAUCAGUGGUAUCAGAGCCUAGCUUGGUUUUCUUUAAAUUGUUGCUUGAUUAACUGAAACAAACCUGCAAAAUUCGAUUUUUAGGUUUCUGAGUCACUGACUCGGCGAGUCCCAAGGUGGACUCGGCGAGUAGGCCUGACUCGGCGAGUCCCCUUGUGCACUCGGCGAGUCCAGGCGUCAGGAAUGGCCAGAUUCGGGAUUUCUUUGUGUUUAUCUUAUGGAAACUUACCUUAAUCAUAAUAGAUCAACCUAAAUCCGAUUUUAUGAUAUAUAUGACUAUUAUCUUGAUCUAGAAAAAGGUAUUUAUCAACUAAUUAAAUAUUUAAUUUCCUUAUAUGAUAAUUAAUUAAUUAUUUAACUAUUUUGGUAAUUAUCUUUCAAAGAAAUCUUGAAUAAAUCAAAUAUAGAUAAUUAGGAUAUUAAUUGUUAAUUGGAAUUAUUUGUUAUUUGAUCCUCCAUGUUUUAAAUGUUUAAAACCUACCCUCAUGUUUUGAAAUUUACUUUUGUGAUUAAAAGCUUUAAUUUAGACAACUUAAAUUUCAAACCCUAGAUUUUAAAAGUUUUAAAAUACAACCCUAUACUAAUAUGAUAUUACUAGAAUAAUAUAUAUAUGUAUAACUAAAUGCUAGUCUUACCGUUAGUAGGCCUCAUUCACGAAGCCGAUCUAUAAGGUGGGUAUAAGGUUGCGGCCUAUAAAAUGGCGCUUAAUGGGUGUACACUCACACCCACCGCUUGCUUGAUUGGUGGAGGGUCGUUAGCCGAACGGGUAGGAUAGGGCAACCUCAUCCUCUCAUUAAAAGUAUAAUAAGAAAUACAAAGUAACUACACAUAUUUUAUAAAUUCCCAAUCCUAGUUACUUUAGGAAAAGUGAAUUGAUGCAAUCCCAUGAAAUUACACUUUGCACCUUGCUAAGAUGUUAGUGGAGCGUGUGUGGUUUACCGGCACACUAAUUGGUUCUAAGCGAAGGUGGCAAAGGGUGAUUCAUUGUUUAUCAUAGUUCGAUGGAGCGUGUGUGGUUUACCGGCACAUCGAAUAGGUGAUCGUUACAAUGAAGGCACCAUGUGAAUUUGCAUGGUAAUUCACACCCGCUUUGUGAUCCUCGGCAUCCCAGUCACAAACAAGAGGGGCAUAUCGAGAUUUAAACAUGCCAUUGAAUAGUUUCAAUGAAUCUCAUCCGAACCUAGGAAUUCUCAAAAACACUUAGGACUAAUAGUUUAAGUUUUGUGAUGGAGAAUUAGUGAAUCGUCAUUCACUUACCUUCAAUUUAUUUGCAUGUUAGAUUACGGCAUCCCUUUUCUAGUAUGUAAAUGUUAUUGUUGGAUCCUAGCCCUAAUUUUCUUAUUGGGUGAUAAUUAGGGAUUCUUAUUCUAAUCUAUCUUUGUCCUUUUCUAAUUGUAGAUGUCGAACGCAAACAACGCUGCUGCUAGUUCUUUCACGUUGAUGAGCCUUUGCCAAAAGGUCACCUUCGAUGGAACGAACUUUAGCGAAUGGAUAAGAUACAUUCGCACCAUUGCUCGCUAUGAGGAUAAGGAGUAUGUCCUCGAUGAGAAGCUCGAGAAAAUCAACCCCGAAAUCGCUACUCCGGCCGAAAUCACCGCUUUUGAGACUCAUGAGCGAGAUGCAACGAAGGUACAUUGCAUCAUGAUCGCCACCAUGAACUCCGAAUUCCAAAAGUCCUACGAGGACAUGUACCCGUACGAGAUGCACCAAGACUUAUUGGAGAGGUACCACCAAAACGCGAGACAAGAGAGGUACGAGAUUUUCACUAACAUGAUUUCCGCGAAGAUGGGUCAUGGAGAAUCUCUUACCGUGCACUUGCAAAAGAUGCAAAGGUAUGUCGACCGCCUUCGCAAGUUAAAUGUUGACUUCGGUGAGGAUUUGGCGAUCGACAUGGUGCUUCACUCUUUGCCUCCGAUGUACAAUCAAUUUAGGAUGACCUACCACAUGAACAAAGAAGAGGUCACCCUAAGCAAGCUCCAAGGUCUCUUGAGGGUUGCUGAGAGCAACUUCAAAGACAAGUCUGUUGCACCUACUCCCAAUCCGCCCGCUGCUCCUGUCUUGGCUAUUGGACAAGGGAAGGGAAAGAAGAGGAAAGCUUCAUCGAAGAACUAUCGCAAGGUGAAAGCCCGAGAUGGUGCCUCUUCUAGUGGGACCAAAGUUGAUCCCGCUAAGCCCUGCUCUAACCCGAAGGAGGCAGAGUGCCACCACUGCCACAAGAUAGGACAUUGGAAGAGAAGCUGCCCGGAUUACCUGCAAGCAAUCAAAGAAGGAAAGAUCAAGCCAUCUUUCGCAGGUAUAUAUACAAUCAAAUCUAACGAUUCUAAUCAUGCUAUUUCUUGGGUUCUUGAUACCGGUUGUGGUUAUCACAUUUGUUCUAAUGUGCAGGGACUAAGAAGAAGUAGGGAUGUGGAGCAAGGAAGGAUCAAUCUAAUCAUGGGGAACAGAAGAUCGUCGCCUGUGACCAAGAUUGGAGUGUAUUCCUUAGUGCUUAGGAAUAGUUUAGUUUUAGAUUUGAACAAUUGUUGCUAUUCGCCAGAAAUGGCAAGAAACAUCAUUUCAUUUCAUGGUUUAUAUAGACAAGGAUUUAGAUUUUCUUUUAAUAAUGAGAAUGGUUCUAUUUUGGCUUAUCUAAAUGGUGUCUUUUACUUUGAAGCUAUACCAUGUAAUGGAAUAUAUGAAACCGUUAUGAUUGUUGAUAACUUAGGAAAUGAUGUUUUGAAUAUUGAUUCUUCCACUAGUAUGGAUAAAGCAUCCUUGUGGCAUUGUCGUCUUGGACAUGUCAACAAGAAACGCAUAGCCCAACUCCAAAAGGAUGGAGUGUUGGAGUCAUUCGACCUUAGGGAAGAUGACACAUGCGAGUCUUGUUUGCUUGGAAAGAUGACUAAGUCACCCUUCACGAGUACAUGUGAAAGGGGCGAGGGUCUAUUGGACCUAAUACAUACCGAUGUAUGUGGACCGUUUAGAUCAACCACGAAGGAUGGGAACCGCUUCUAUGUGACUUUUACCGAUGACUAUAGUAGAUAUGGGUAUAUCUACUUAAUCAAGCAAAAGUCAGACACCUUUGAAAAGUUCAAAGAGUUCAAGAAUGAAGUGGAGAAUCAAUUGGGCAGGAAAAUCAAGAUGCUUCGAUCCGAUCGAGGAGGAGAGUACCUAAGUCUUGAAUUCCACGAUUAUCUCAAGGAGUGUGGAAUAGUUUCACAAUUGACGCCUCCUAGGACACCGCAGUUGAAUGGUGUGGCAGAAAGGCGUAAUCGAACCUUAUUGGAUAUGGUUCGCUCUAUGAUGAGUCGUGCUUCACUACCAAUCUCUUUUUGGGGGUAUGCCUUAGAGACUGCCGCCCAUAUCCUUAACCGAGUCCCUACUAAGAAGGUUGCCAAAACACCUCACGAGAUGUGGACAGGGAAAGCUCCCUCGUUGGCACAUAUCAAGGUUUGGGGUUGCGAGGCUUUCGUAAGACGAGAUACUCACGACAAGCUUGAACCUCGAAGUGAGCGAUGUAUUUUCAUCGGCUACCCGCAGACAUCCUUUGGAUAUCUCUUCUAUAGACCGAAGGACAAUGUUGUCUUCGUUGCGAGGAGAGGAGUUUUCCGAGAGCGAGAACUCAUAAGCCAAGGAGACAGUGGGAGGCAAAUCGAACUUGAAGAGAUUCAAGAGUCGAUAGAUGAAGGAACCUCUACCGCUGGCACUCAACCCGAGGAGGAAACUCCGGUUGAACCGAUUGACGAAUCCUUACCUCUUAGACGUUCCGAUAGAGUUAGAGUUCAUCCCCAGUUUUAUGGCUUUCAUAUUACUACCGAAGGGGACACGUAUAUUAGUGAUGGUACACUAGUAAAUCUUGAUGAACCUAAUAGCUAUAAGGAAGCCAUGGCAGGCCCGGAGUCUGCAAAAUGGAAAGAGGCAAUGGAUAGCGAGAUCCAAUCCAUGUAUGAUAACCAAGUUUGGAAUUUGGUUGAUUAUGUGCCCGGACGUAAGACCGUUGGGUGCAAAUGGAUCUUCAAGAAGAAGACCGACGUGGAUGGAAACGUACACACAUAUAAAGCGCGAUUGGUUGCGAAGGGCUUUACUCAAACUCCCGGAGUUGACUAUGAUGAGACCUUCUCACCAGUUGCGAAGAUUAAAUCUAUUAGAGUGAUGCUAGCUAUUGCCGCAUUUCAUGAUUAUGAGAUUUGGCAAAUGGAUGUCAAGACCGCUUUCCUUAACGGAAAGUUGGCUGAGGAUGUUUACAUGGCUCAGCCAGAGGGGUUUGUGGAUCCGAAGCAUCCGAAUAGAGUGUGUAAGCUUGAGAAGUCCAUUUAUGGACUUAAGCAAGCGUCUCGCAGAUGGAAUCUUUGCUUCGAUGAGAAAGUCAAAGAGUUUGGAUUUGUACGAAGCGAAGACGAAUCUUGUGUAUAUGUCAAAGCCAGUGGGAGUAUAGUAAGCUUCCUCGUUCUAUAUGUCGAUGACAUAUUACUCAUAGGAAACGACAUCCCGACUCUGCAGGAGGUUAAGUCCUGGCUCGGGAAGUGCUUCGCUAUGAAGGACCUCGGAGAGGCUUCUUACAUUUUGGGAAUAAGGAUAGUAAGAGAAAGAAGUAAGAGACUAAUUGGACUUAGUCAGAAUACUUACUUAGAGAAGGUACUAAAACGUUUUAGUAUGGAAAACUCAAAGAAGGGAGAACUACCGAUACAAAGUAAUGCCAAAUUGAGUAAGACUCAAAGUCCGAGUACCGAAGCUGAGAUAGCAGAAAUGAGCCGAGUACCAUACGCUUCCGCAGUUGGCUCAAUCAUGUACGCUAUGACUUGUACUCGCCCUGAUGUAGCCUUCGCUUUGAGCAUGGUUAGCAGAUAUCAAGGGAAUCCUGGCAAAGCACAUUGGAUUGCGGUGAAGAAUAUCCUUAAGUACCUUCGGAUAAUGAAGGAAUGGUUCAUAGUCCUCGGAGGGAGUGAUGACUUAAAGGUGCGAGGGUAUACUGACGCCAGUUUUCAGACCGACGGGGACAACUACCGUUCGCAGUCGGGCUGGGUCUUUACCCUAAAUGGAGGAGCAGUGACAUGGAAGAGUUCCAAGCAGGAAACCGUAGCUGAUUCAACGUGCGAAUCAGAGUACAUUGCAGCGAGCGAAGCGUCGAAGGAGGCAAUAUGGCUAAAGAACUUCAUCGGUGAUCUUGGAGUUGUACCUGCCAUAAAGGAGCCAAUGGAGAUUUUCUGUGAUAACGAAGGCGCGGUUGCCUUAACCAAGGAACCGAGGGAUCAUGGUAGAUCAAGACAUAUCGACAGAAAGUAUCACUUCAUUAGACAUCGUGUAGAAGAAGGACAACUCGUAGUGAAGAGGAUAUCAUCAGAAGAUAACCCAGCAGAUCCGCUUACGAAGGGACUGAGUAGGGUUAAGCACUUGCAGCAUGCUAGGAGUAUUGGGCUGAAGGAUGAUAUUAGCAUAGAUUAGAUAGUAUUAGAAACGUGUAAUAGAUAAAUGUAAUUAACAUUUGAUGAUUAAAUAAAGGAGUUUUAUUUAUGAGUAAUGUUACUAUCUUAUGUUAAUUGUUUAGCUAUUGUUUCACUUUGCAUGUUUUGACUUCCAGAAUAAUUGAGUUUAUUAGGAAUAAUCGAAUUGUUCAAAUGGUCCACAAUCGUUCAUAUGUUGGGAGUAGAUAUGAAUGAAGAUUGUCAUGAAUUGGUGUGUAGAAUGUCUAAAUGGUGUUAGACAUAGCAAAGGAUUGCUGCAACGUUCAUGAGUGCUUAUGAACUAGUUUUGAGCAUUGGAAUAAACCCGCGCUUGCUGGAAUCACCUUAUGGAAUACGAUAUAAAAGGUGAUCGCAAGACGAUAAUAUCAUAUAGUCUUAAAACCUAGAUAUAUGGUUUAUUAUUUGUUAAUUGAUUGUACAUUGAUAAUACGAAAACGCAUCAGUAACUUGGUGUUAUAAAACGUAUUGUUGUGUAUAGUUGGUAAAUGAAUAAGUAAAUGCAUAUAAGUCGAAGUUUAUCUGUAACUUUUAUCUAAGAAGGUAAAAGCGAUAUCUCGGCCGCUCGAUGAUUUGAUUUGACUUAUGUGCCGGGCCCGGUCAGAACUGAAUUGAUGUGUUCGAUUAAGUUCUAUGUCAAAUAAAUCAGAGAUCGAGAAACCUAAAUGCUUGACUAACCAUUCCAUAGGAUUGUCAGCAUGAUAUCUAACAGAGGACUGUACGUUCCCUUAUCUAAAGGACAAGAUUGAUUAGAUCAGAGUUGACAGCGUCUUUGAGAGCUACGAUUGCAAACCGAAUUGUACUUGUAUAGUUACUAGACUUAUCCAAGUGGGAGACUGUUGGAAUAGUGUCUAAGGCUGUAACUAUAUUAGGCAAGUAUUUGAUCCGGUUGUGCAUGGUCCUUUUGGGUUGCCUUCACCAUAGCAACUUGAUAGGAUGAUUUAUUAAGAGAGAGUAAAUAUUAUUAAUAUAUUAUGAGAAUAAUAUAAUGAAUAAUAUAUUUGUUAUUUGAUUAAUAUAAGUCAUAGAAUUAAUUAGAAUUAAUUUGGUGACUUAAAGAGAUUAAUUAAAUAAAGGGGUAUAAACUGUCAAUUGUUUGAUAGUUAAGCUUUAGACUGUAAAUCCAUUUGGAUAUGCUAUGGACGAAUUCUAAGAGGAUUAGGAUAGCUAAAAUCGUCCAUUAGAGUUAUCUAGGAAUGGAUUUGGAUAGCCUUAAGAGAAGAUUAUCUGAUAGGGACUUAUCUGUAAUCCUUAAGGAGUCUACAAGUAUAAAUAGACCCCAUGGCAUAGGGAAUUCGACACUUCUGAAAAAGCAAGAGAACUCUGGUCGAAUUCCUCCCCUCUCCUCUCUCCUAAAUCAUUCUUAUUGCUAUUGGUGUUUGUAAGCCAUUAGAGGAGUGACACUUGUGACUCUAGAAGCUCCAAGACCUCAAGAUCAACAAGGAACUCAAAGGUAUGAUUCUAGAUCUGUUUCAAUGUUGUUAUUUAACCUAAUUAGUCAUUAGAAGACUUGGAUUCAAUGCAUGUUUAUUAGAAAGCCUAGAUCCAAGCAUUAGGGUUUUGCAUGUGCACAUAGGAAAGUUCUUAUGGCUAAAACCCAUCACAAUUAUCAUCUGAGUUUAGGUUAAACGACUCCAAGACUCCAUCCUUUUGGAGUUGGCCUAUACGUUUCUUGCUUACAUGUCCCAGACGACAUUGCCAUAAAGAUGCUUUAUCCAAGCUAGUGGAAGAAUCGAUACACAAUACAUUAUUUCCUAGGUUAUCAACAACCAAAAUAGUUUCAUAUACAUCAUCACAAGGUAAUUCUUUAAAAUAAAAAACAUUAUUAAAGAAAGCAUUAAUACCACCACCAUCAUUAUCAAAUGAGAAGGUAAAACCUUUUUUGUACAAACCAUGAAAGGAAAUAAUAUUUCUCACCAUUUCAGAUGAAUAACAACACUUAUUCAAAUUUAAUACUAAUCCACUACUUAGCAAUAAAGAAUAAACUCCAAUAUUGGUGACAAGUGAAGCUUUCCUGUUCCCCAUGAUCAAGUUUAUCUUUCCAUGCUCCAUAUUCUCACUUCUUCUUAGUCCUUGCAGAUCAGUACAUAUGUGAAUACCACAUCCUGUAUCAAGGAACCAAGAAUUAGAAUGUGGUGAAUUAUUAGACAAAAUACUGUAUGUACCUACAUGGUUGGGUUUAACUUUCCCAUCCUUCACAUCUUGCUGGUACUUUGGGCAGUUUCGCUUCCAGUGAUACUUUUCAUGGAAUUAGAAGCAUUUAGCCUCUUUAGGGUUAGCAGAAGGAGUGACAAAACCUUUAUUGGUUCCACUUGAAGAGGAGCUAUCAAGGGUCUUCCCCUUGGUGCCCUUCGACGGGAUCUUCCUUUUUUUUUUCCUUUGCCUUGCCCAAUUGCCAUGACAGGGGGCGCGGUAGGAGUAGGAGUGGUAACAACCGACUUACCUUUAAGACUACUUUCUGCGGUCUUCAAAAGUCCUUGAAGUUUGCUGAGUGUAACUCCCUCCUUGUUCAUGUGGUAUGUCAUACGGAAUUGAUCAUAACAUGAAGGUAAGGAGUGCAAAAUAAUGUUUAUUGCCAACUCCUCGGGGAAGUUCACAUUCAGUUUUAACAAACGGUCCACAUACCUUUGCAUUUUCUGCAUGUGGCCCGUGAUGGUUUCAGCAUCCUUCAUUCGACUUGUUAUCAUGGAGGAGAUGAUUUCGUAUCACUCUUUACNUCGCUCUUGACCAGCACUCUGAUGGUAGCGGUCCAUCAAAUCCUGGUGCAUCUCAAAAGGAUAGUAGUCCUAAUAGGACUUUUGGAGCUCAGCUGUCAUAGUGGCCAACAUGAUGCAUGCCACUUUGGUAGCAUCUCUUUCAUGGGCCCAAUAUUCAACGAUCUCCUCAGGAGUAGCAGACGACUCGAGUUCUUUAAGUUCCUUUUCGAGGACGUAUUAUUUGUCCUCAUACCGAGUGACCAUCCCGAUGUCCGUGAUCCAAUCCAUAAAGUUGGAUCCAUCAAAGAAGACUCUCUGACAAAGGUUCAAGAGAGAGAAGGAGCCGAUAGGGUUUGAUCCAGAAGCAGCAUUGUUGGAAGACAUCUGAAAAGAAGAAAGACAAGUUUUGAUUAGAUACACAGAUAGUCCUUAAUAAAACACCCAAAUGUAAUAUUAAGGCUAGGACCCAACACAAUAUUUUAUAACUUAAAAGAGGGAUGUUGUAAUCCAAGCUAUAAAAUAUUUGAAGGUAGGUGAAUGGCGAUUCGCCAAUUUCCACCAUGAAUAACAUAAUAAAUUAUUAGGUUUUAAUUGGUUUUGAAACUCCUAGAUUCUUUGAGAUUCAUUGAACUAUUCAAUGGGAUGUGUCAAUCUUGAGUGUGCCCUUCAGGUUUUGUGACCGAGAUGCCGAGGAUCACAAAACAAGGUGUGAAGUAACCAUGCAAAUUACUUGGUACCCUUAAUAUUUACCCCUCAUUCGAUGUGCCGGUUAACCACACGCGCUCCACCGAUACUAUGAUAAAUAUUUAGUUACCCUUUUCCUACCUUGUUAAGUCCAGGUUAGUAUACUGGUGAACCAUACACACUCCAUUAACGACUUAAUCAAAGUGCAAAGUGUAAUUUCAUGGGUUAGCACCUUAUUCACAUUUUCCUAAAGUAACUAAGACUGGGAAUUUAGAAAAACAUUUAGUUACUUUAUAUUCAUCAUACUUUUAAUGAAGAUUUAAAGUCCUUAUCUUACCCGUUCGGCUAACGACCCUCCACCGAUCAAGGAAGAAGUGGGUGAGAAUGGACACCCAUUAAGCUGCCAUUUUAUAGGCAGCAACCUUAUGCCCCCUUAUAGACCGGCUACGUGAAUGAGGCCUACUAACGGUAAAACAAAUUUUUCUUAUACAUAUAUAAUUAUUAUUAAACUUAUAAUAUUAUAAAUUAUAAGGGUUGAAUUUUAACAUUUAAAAUUCUAGGGGUUGGAACUAAAGUUUUUAGAGUGACUUUACAUGUUCCAAAACUUGAGGGCAAGUUUUGUAACUUUACAAAACUUUUCAUUUCAUAACUUAUGAGUUAAUGGUUUAAUAAAAUGAGUGACUUUUCAUUUUAUGUAACCUAUAUGUUUCUUUAAUGGUCUUUAAAAGUGUGACUUUUGGUAAUCCAUAACCUGAGGACAAAUUAUGGAUUCCAUUAAAACACAUAAUUGAUCAAGAACUAAUCAUUAACAAAUUAGCAAGUAAUUCCUAUGAUCUAACAAUAACUCAUAAGAACAUGAAUACCAUAUCAAAAUUUCAAGAAUCAUAUGAACACAAAUUAAACAUGUAAAUUUGAUAUUAGCCAUUAUACAUGGAUUAGCAUAACGAUUACACCAUCUAAAACAAGUUUUAUAAGACUAAAACAGUUUAGGGUAAUGUAACUAGUCCAUUUCCAACAACAAAACUCGAAAAACUACAUUUUGGGGCUCUUACUCGUUGAGUGCAUGAACCUACUCGAUGAGUAGGAUGAGUUUACUCAUGGAAUCAUCAAGUCCCCUCAUGGACUCGGCGAGUUCAUGAUGCAGAGUGUAGAAAAACUAAGUUUUUUCACGAAUUUGCAUCAAGUAUCAAACAAACAAGCCUAGGAUCUGAUACCACUGAAGGGUUUUGAGCAUUCUACCACUCCUAUGAUGUACAUGCAACCCUAGAAACCUUGGAUCUAUGUUUUAUGUAUGAUACAUGCAAAUUUGUUUUUCCAAGGUUCAUAACCUAUCUAGCAUACAUGGGGAACUUUUAAACAUAAAAGAUAGUAAGAAAUACAUACCUUUAGCUUCUUGAAUUCCUUGAGAUCCUUGUGAGCCUAACACCUCAAGUGUGAUGCCUCAAAUUUAUCACACAACACCAAAUACACUUGGAAUAACCUUGAGAGAAAUAGAACACUUCUAAAAUCAUCUAUACCCUCUUGUUCUCACACUAGUGCCGAUUUUGGUGUACAACAUGUUGCUUAUAUAUCGUGUCAUAAUUAGGGUUAGACCAUGUAAACCCUAAUUGACAUCACUCUUCAUUUCCAUGAUCCAUGGGUACAAAAACACCAUGGAGCAUCCAUGGAGCAUCCUAUGGGUUUUAGCCCAACUUGAUAAUCCAUGGAGCAUUAGCCCACUAUACAAGUAUGGAUGAUUUACACAAUCAACCCAUAUAUUUAAUUAGUCUUCUUUUGAUCACUUAAUUAAUUCUAAAUUACUUCCUGAUCAAUACUAGUUAAAUAAUAUUAUUAAUACAUUAGAACUUAUAAUAUAUUAAUAAACCUUAAGUGUUAUUUCUCUCAUUUUAGUCUAUCCAAAUGCAUGAUGCCAUACAACCCAAAUGGACCAUGCAAAUCGGGUCAAGUACAUUCUAGAAAUAGUUAUGAACUUAGACACCUAAUCCAACAAGAUCAUCAUGACUAGUGUGAUAUAUGUGGUGUUUGUGAGAACUCAAUUGAAUUUGGCUGAUCAUCUAACCAAAGGGUUAACAAGAGAUCUUGUGCACAAGGCGGUUGAAGGGAUAGGUUUAAAGUCCACUUAAAAUUUUUUAUAUUGGGAUACCCAAUUCCCAUCUAAUGUAAUAUUAGAUGUUGAAUUCAAUGUGGAAAGCUUGAUAUUUGAAGAUUGGAACACAUUAGAAUCAUCAUCCUAAGGUAUGUGUUCAGUACUGCAAGUUAACGAGGUUGAAAUUUUAUUUCUUAAUAGUUUUUUGAAAAAUUGCAUUUGUAGGUGCAAGAACAAAAGAACUACCUAUAUAAGUAUGAAUUUUAUCUGCUUCAACAAGUUGGGACUUGACUUUGAUAUGCUUAUUGAAGGAUGGGACACAAGCUAGUAAAAUAUAAAGAACUUAUGAGAAUGUAAACUGUUGUGUGUAUUCUCUUCGUGUAUUCACUAUGGAUAGAAAGUGUUCAAUCCUUAGUGAUAGCUUGAUAUUCGAAUAUUUACAGUGUAUAAUAUACUAUGUGAAAUUCAAUCAUCACGACAUUUCAUUUAUGCAUCAGUUUGUUAGUGUUAUGUUUCAUUUUAAGUUAAUCAAGAUUACACUUAAAUGGGGGAGGUUUGUUGGUGAUUUGUUAUCAUCAAUGUUAUUUAAGUGUAAUGUGAUUACUUUGUUGACCAAAAGUGAUAUUGAUAAAUAUUAAACAAGUAAGGAAGGUGUGGAGUACACACUUUUUUCAAUUUAAUCGAGUAUCAAGUAGUACAGUGUCAUUUAGGGGCGAAGCCCCUGAACGAAUGGGGGUCUGGGGGCAGCGCCCCUGGCUGGGAUCGAGCUGCCAGGUUGACUUUUAAAGAAUUGACCCAUUUUGACUUUUAUUCAAAAAUACCCAUUUUUAUGACUGUUUUGGCGGUUUUGUGACAGUUUUUAACUGUCAUAUGACAGUUUUUAGACAAUGAUCUAAAAGUUAGUUUUUGGUCUCUUUUUCUGGUACUCACGAAAUUAUACACUCUCGUUCUCUUUCUUUCUCUCUGAAUUUUCUGAGUCUUAUCCAAUUGGGGAAUUGGGAGUACCACCCAAAUACUUCGAUUUGAUAGUGAUAAUCACGAUUCUCAGAUUUCCAAGUGCCAUUAAAUCCAUAUUUCUAACUAAUAAUAAUAAAAUUAAAAAAUAAAAAGUAAAAAAAUCAGUAAAAUAAUCUUAUACUUUCAAAGAGAAAGCAUCAUUUCAUACUACAAGACAUGAAAAAUAAGCAUUAAUUCACAUUUACAACUACCCAAAUAUAAAAACAUUGAAAAGCAUAAAUUAUCUAUUUAACUGUUAAAAUACACUCCGUAAUGCCCAAUUUGUUUGGUAAACUCUUAAGCAAAACUAUCUCAUUUAUUGGCUUGUCUUGGACCCAAGUACGUUGGGUGUAUGUAUGGUACACCCGACGUACUCUAAUGCAUGAUUGAGGUGAGGUGUUCCCCUGGUAUGCUGGGUGUACCCUUGCGUAUGCAGGGCGUACGUGAGUUAGAGGAAAACUGUAACAUUCAUAAAAUUCUUGAAAAAUUUAAACUUUUGAAACAAAUCCAAAACCAUCAUUGUUUACAAAUUGUUUUCAAAAUAAGUUUCACAUCAAAGACAUCCCAAAAUUGUAAGACAAAAACAUGAGGAGGUGCACAAUCAUGCCUUCGCCUUCCCGUGAUCCUCUGAGGUACCUGAAACAUAAUCCAAAGGUAUAUGUCCAAAGCUUAGUGAGUUCUCCCAAAAUACCGAUACAUAACAAAUAUCACAGGUAUAAUAAUAUCAUGUAGUGGGUCCACAACUUAACAUACAUGAUUACCCCUAAGCCUACAACAUAAGUCUGGCUUGCCCUCAGCCCACAUUUUAUGUAUGGCUUGCUCCCCGGCCUGGUCAAUCCUUGGACUGAAUACCGCUAAGCCCUCAGUAUGAGUCUGACAUGCCCUUCCCGACCCUUAACUCGUACCUGGAAUGCUCAUGAGUCCUUAGUAUGAGUCUGGCAUGCUUUCCAUGGCCCUCAGCUCAUGUCUGGCAUACUCCAAGGUUUGUUAGCUACAACACGAAGCAGUAUAACCUCAACCCAACCCACACAAUAUGUCGACAUAUAACAUAUAAUAUCAUAAAAAGACAAACAUAUAGUAUCACAGGUAGUCCUACAGAUCUACCAGACUAGCAUAUCAAGACUAGCAUACAUAUCUAUAUCAUACUCAACAUAUCAACAAUAUCAGAUUAUCUAACUAAUGGGCCGACCUUGGUGCCUUCGACCCAAAAGUAUAGUGAGGAAAACUCACACUCACAAUGUCAAACUGUACUGAAACCUUUGGCUGUUGUCUCACAGAAUAACCCGAACUAUCAUAAGAAACAAAUAUCGAUUUAAGAAUUGCAAAGCCAAUGUUGACUAAGCAUCCAUACUUAGGUUAAAUGUCCAUUUUACCCUUUCCCGAAGGGGACCAAGGCAAAAAUCCAACUCUUUGAUCCAAAAGGCCCAAAUUAAUUCAAGGCCCAUGAUUGGCCUAAUUUUCCAAAUUGGGCCCAAAUCCUUAUUGGGCCUUAUCCAAAGAUCCAAUCCUCUUAUUAGCUCAAAACACACCUAUCCAAAUAGUCCAUUAGGGCCCAAGCAUCAAAGCCCAAAAAAUGGCCCAAUACCCGCAACCCAAAGUCUGAAAUCCAAACAGAAGGUGUAUGUGGGACAUAAUCCUUCGGUACGCUGGGUGUACUCCGCCUUGCCUUGACAACCAUCGGGGUGGUUGGCUUAGUAAAUGGGGCGUAUACUACCUUACACGAGGCAUACCCUCGUGAAUGUUAAAACUUUCAUAAGUGCUUAAUGGAUUAAGCACUUAAGCUCAAACUUUAGAUGCAUGACUCAAUAGUGUACUAGAAUCAUAAACUCUCAAACUUUAAGACUUUGGAUGUCCAAAAAGUCCUUAAUACAUGGUAUUAAUCCAUUAAGACCUCCUACAUAGAACAUGGAUCCAAACUAGCUAAAGGGACCUCAUUUUUGUGACUUAGAACCCAUCCAUCCUUGGGUCUGAAGGGACAACCAAACACUUCCAAAACAAAGCAUGCAGAAUAUUGGGACUUUGGGGAAAAUAAGAACACCCAAAAGCUACCAAAACAAGAUCCAAAAAAUUCAAGCAUAAUGGUAGAAGAUUUUUACCUUUUGGAGUUUCUUAAUAAAGUGAGGAUCCAAGAUCGAGUAGCUUGCAUCACUCUCCAACCACCUUGCUGCAACUACUUCUUAUUCAAGCACACAAUAAACACACUCUUAGCUCACACACACACAUACACUAUAGAGGUUAGGGUUGCCUAAAACCGAUUCUAGAACUUGGAGGCUGCAAUGAUGGGGGUAAAGGGUCCACAAGUAUGCUUAAAUACUCCACAAACCCUAAAAAUUAGGGUUUUCACCCGGACACAAGUACGCCCGACGUACUAGGGCGCCCCCUAGUAUGGUUAGCGUACCACAUGUAUGCCCAAUGUACAACUCAAGAUCCUAAGAAAUUACCAAUUUGCCACUAUGGCUUCUUAGGGCUAAUUCCAACCAAUUUCAAGGACCAAAAACGACAUAGUUAAAUACCAAGGUAAGGAUUAGAAAAUACCUGAAUGCCCGAGAUGUUACAACUCUCCCAAAUUUGAUAUAGACUUCUUCCUAGAAGUCUGUUGCAACAAAUAGAUCCGGGUAAUGCUCCCGCAUCUUGGCCUCUGGCUCCCAGGUCCACUCAAAGCCCUUCCGAUGUUGCCAUCGUACCUUACCAGAGGUACUUCCUUGCUCCACAAAACCUUCACCUUUCUUUCCAAAAUAGCUACAGUGCCUUUAACAUAAUUCAGAUGCUCAUUAAAGUAAAUGUCAUCUAAUGACACAACCGCAUCCACAUCCAACAAGCACUUCCGUAGAUGUGAAACAUGAAAAGUGCUAUGGAUCUGACAGAGAUCCUGGGGAAGAUCUAAUCUAUAGGAAUCCUUUCCUACCCAGGAAAUAAUCUAGAAUGGUCCAAUAUAUCGGGGGCCCAACUUCCCCCUCUUCCUGAAGAGAAUCACACGUUUCAAGGUGAGACUUUCAGAAACACCAUGUCACCGACUUGAAACUCCAACUUAGAUCAGCACCGGUCGGCAUAGUUUUUCUACCAACUCUGAGCAGUCUGCAAUCUCUUCCUGAUCUGAUGAAUCAUCUCUAUAGUCUAAACAACCACCUCAGUCCAACCCAUGACCCUAUGACCAACCUCGUCCCUACAGACUGGAGUACGACAUCUCCACCCAUAAAAAUGAUCAAAAGGCGGAGAACCAAUGCUGGAGUGGAAACUGUUGUUGUAGGAGAACUCUGCAAGAGGUAGGUUGAACUCCCAGCUCCCACUAAAAUCAAUGACGCAUGCUCACAACAUAUCCUUGAGAUUCUGAAUGGUCUGCUCACUCUGUCCGUCAGUCCGCGGAUGAUAAGUUGUGCUGAAGUGCAGUCUUGUGGCCAAUUCCUCAUGAAACUUCUACCAAAAACGGGAGGUGAACUGAACAUCACGGUCUCAAAAACAAUGGAUACUGGAACCCCAUGGCGAGCAACGAUCUCGUGAAUCUACACAUCGACCAAUUUCUCGGCCGAUGAGCUCUCCCUAAUCGCUAGGAAAUGGGCACUCUUGGUUAAUCGAUCCACGAUGACCCAAAUGGCAUCAAAACCAUUUUCCGUCUUCGGCAACUUGGUGAUGAAAUCCAUCAAUAUAUCCUCCCAUUUCAAUAUGGGAACCUCCAGAGACUGCAACUUGCCAUGCGGCCUCUGAAGCUAGGGCUUGACCAUCUUGCAGGUUAAGCACCUCUUAAUGUACCAAGCGAUCUCUCUCUUCAUGAAAGGCCACCAAUAGCUCAACCAUAGAUCCCAAUACAUUUUAGUGGCCCCCCGGAUGGAUAGAAAAUCGAGACUUAUGAGCCUCCUCCAAUACAAUCUUUCUAACCCCACCAGACAUAGGAACCCAUACCCGACCGCAACGGGUCAACAAACCACGAGUGUCCGGAACAAACCUGUUGAUCUCCCCCUUGAUCCUCUCAAUCUUCCAAUUUUCUUCCCGCACCCCCUCGACAUGAGCUACCUUAAUCAACCCCACAAGUGGAGAGUCCACAUAUAUCCUUAUAUAUGAUACCUCAACAGAAGCUCUAGCCGACUUGUAGCUCAAGGCAUCCACCACCACAUUCGCUUUACCUAGAUGGUAAAGGAUCUCGCAGUCAUAAUGCUUGACUACGUCCAGCCACCUGCGUUUCCUGACGUUCAGGUUUGGCUGAUCCGUAAUAUGCCUCAAACUCUUGUGAUCCAUGUAGAUGGUAUAACGGACCCCAUAAAGGUAAUGCCUCCAAAUCUUGAGGGUAAACACCACCUCCCCAAACUCAAGAUCAUGUGUGGGAUAUCACGUCUCAUGUGGCUUCAGCUGCUGCGAAGCAUAAGCUAUCAUUCAUUCUCUCUACAUGCGAAUUUCCCUAAACCCGGUGAUGGACGCAUCAUAGAAAACCAAAAAAUCCUCGAUUCCCUUAGAGAGGGUCAAAACUGGGGCCUUGCAAAGUCUCUGCCGAAGGGUCUCAAAUGUUGCCUGCUGCUCAGGGCCCCACUGGAAAUCGAGCCCCUUCCUUGUCAGAUGAGUGAGGGGUACUGCAAUCUUGGACAAAUCUUCAAUAAAUCUUUGGUAGUACCUCGCUAAACCCAAGAAACUCCUAAUAUCCAAGGGAGAUUUAAGAAUCUCCCACUGCAUCACCGCCUCAAUUUUGGCCAAACUAACAGAUAUCCCUUCUUGGUUAAUGAGGUAUCCAAGAAACUGAACCUAUCGCAACUAAAACUUGCAUUUCAUAAAAUUAGCAUAAAGUCGUUCUCACCUCAAAACCAACGAAAGCUCACGAAGAUGCUCCUCAUGCGAUCGAGCAUCAACCUGCAUACUCGAUUCAUGAAAUCCAUAAAUAUUGCGGGCGCAUUGGUGAGACCAAAUGUCAUCACCAUGAACGUGUAAUGCCCAUAACGAGUCCGAAAUGCGAUCUUCUCCACGUCCUCCUCUCUGACCCUGACCUGAUGGUACCCAGACCGCAAAUCUAUCUUAGAGAACCAAGAUAAUCCUUGUAGUUGAUCAAAGAGAUCAUCAAUCUGUGGAAGGGGUUAAUGAUUCUUCACCAUUAACUUGUUCAACUCCUAGUAAUUGAUGCACAUCUGGUGUGAACUAUCCUUCUUCUUGAUGAAUAAUGUAAUGACCCAAAUCAAGGUUAAAAAAUUUAUUUUUAUUAUAGUAAUAACAAAAAUAUCUUUUAAAUCCAAGCCUUCCAAAAACAUUGCUAAUUAAAAGCAUUUAUCAGGGUUCAUCCCUAAAUCACAUAUUGCAGAAAUACGGGUGUCUACGCUGUGAUCAAGUCGGGCCCUUCCUUUGCAAACCAAUGGUACCUGAAACCAAUAACAAAACUGUAAGCAUGAAGCUUAGUGAGUUCCCCGUAACAUACCCCACACCAUCCACAUAAUCGCAUAAACCAUAUCAUAUAAGCCACAUAUGUAACGCCUGUGUUUCUAGGAUUGUCAUUAAUGUUGAUAUAAUAGUCUAGGUUAACCUUUGUAACCCAUUUUGAAAUAAUAGAAGUGUAUUAUUUGAGUAUUAUGUGUUUUGUGCUUAAUUGUGUGUCUUAAUGUAAUUGAGAAUAAAAAUAAGCGUCAAAAUGAAAUGUUAGAUAAGCUCACUAUCUUUGGAUAAUGUUGUAGUAGUUUAAAUGAGGUUUCCGAAUAUAUAAAUAAAGCCGAAAUCCGAGUUAUAACGAAAAAGUUAUGACCUGUCGAAGUUUCGCGACAGAACCGGCAACGCUAAAUGACGUAAAAAGUGAAAUUUACGUUAGAGCGAUAUUUAGCCCUAGUGAUAUAAACGAAUUUCGUAGGGUUCAUUAAACCAAGAGCGUGCAUAAAGAGAACACCCAAAUCUGACUUCGUAUGAGGAAGUUAUGAUUUUCUGAAGUUUCGACUUAGCGGUAUGCAACCCGAAUACUCGAUUUGAGACCGAGCGGUUUUUAGACAAAAAUAUCUAAACUACAAUCGAAGAUCUCGUUAAUUGUAGUGAAACGAUAAAAAGAUAGGCGAAAACGGACGUCGGACGAAGAAGUUAUGAAUUUAUAAUGGAUUUUUCAUGUCCCGACCUACUAAAAAUAAAUAAUAAAAGUAAAUUCAAAAAUAGCCGACAGAGUCUAAACGAAAGUUGUAGAGCGUAGUCUCACCUACGCGUGGAUAUAAAGAACAUCGAAAACGGAGUUCGUAUGAAGAAGAUAUGAAUUUCAGAAGUUUUUAAAUGAUUAAUAUUUAUUUAUUUAAUCUUUAAUUCGGAUAAUAACCGAAUGAGUCAUUGGUCUGAUCCGAACUACGCCCAGCGUAGUUGAGUACGCCCAGCGUACCCCGAUGCAUGCACCGACUCGGACUCGAGUGCUCCGAUGACGCAUGCUGUGACGUUUCCGGAGGCGUACGCCCCGCGUAGAGCAUUACGCCUAGCGUAAUGCGAGGCCUCAACCUCCUAUAAAAGGCUUGCGAGGGCAGCCGAGAGUUUUGCUCUUUUUCUCUUCUCUCUCUCUCUGUCUCAUUUUGCAUCGUUUUGCGUGCUAGAAGUAUCCCGAAGCUCCGGUGUCAAUCCCGAGCCCCGAAGCAAGUUCUGAAGCCCCGAAGAUCCCAAGAAGUGCGAUUCCCGAGCCGAAGCUCUACCCGUGAGAAGCCAAUUUUUGUGAAGAUCUUCUAGACCUACCGACGAAUACUACUUUUGCAAGUCGUAGUGCUGUCCGAUCAUCUUCUGAUCAAGUGAGUGUGUAGUUACUUUCUUCUAACGCACAAUUAUGAAGUAUUUUAUACAAAAUACGUGUUAUGUGUAUAUUUUGUUGUUAUAAGUGUGAAUGUAUAUUCAUUUUCUUCUAUCUCACAGAUUUGGUUUAUUCUCUAUGAAAUAUGUGUUAUGUGUGUGUGCCUCAUCUGUUAUAUGGAAUAUGUAUUGAUUGAACAUGCUAUACGGGUUUUAAACUAUGUAUAAAAAUAUAUAUUUUUAUCUACUAAUAUGUUGGGUAGAACAUGGUUAGAUAGUUGAUGUGUGAUAAACAAAUGAGAGGCCUCGAUGUUGUUGUUGUGGAUAUAGUUAUUCAGCAGAGUAUGGAUAACGACCACAUACUCUUUCUAGACAGUCUUGUGGAACGCUAGCAGGUUCAUAACCUGUAGGUGUUGUGAACGAUGUGUUCACCGGUGUACUCUAUCCCCCUCAUGGUUGCCUUUAGGAUAUCUAUUGUUGAGGAAACCCCUUAGCAGUAAUGUCCGUCCCGAUGAAAAUCCUAGAUUAGGUCCCUUGAGAUAGAUGUUGUGUUUAGGGACAUAAAGUGAUGAUAACGGGAAUGGGUAAUCGGGUUAUUGUUGGUUGGUGAAAUUAAAUAUAAUUAUUUAUUAUGGGUUGAAAACCCUAUAUGCUCACCAGGAUCCCAAGCCUGAUCCACUCAGUUAUUUCGUAUUACAGGUAGUGGUGCGAAGGCAUAAGAUGGAUGAAUCAUCAAGUUGUUUUGUUUACAAGUCUGUAUAUGUAUAUAUUCGUUGAAUGACUUGUAAUGUUAUCGUUUACGCUUUAUGGUCUGUAUCGGAACAUGACAAUGCUGAGUUUUGAUUAUAUAAUGAAAAUGCAUUCUUGAUGAAAUGCUUUGAUAAAUAUUAUUUUAUCCUAUUUUGUUUUGGGAACAAAUUCCGCAACUCUUUUAAAUCAAAAGGAUUUACUCUGAAAUUAUUUUAAAAAGCAUAAAUGAAAUCGGCCUUUUCUGGAUGUGAUUUUGGGGAUGUCACAGUUGGUAUCAGUGCAUUGGUUUAAGUGAACUAUGAAUUUGUAGGAUUUCUAGAUUUAAACUUAGAAUGCUAAGUGAAGGUUGUUAGAUGUGUGUCUGUUAUAUUUCAGAUACGAGCACUAGUUUAUUUUAGGAAAGUUGCCUAAAAUGCUUUUAUGUGCUAAAUGUUAUAUGUUGCCAUAUAUGAUAUUAUUUGUUCGGAUCUAUGGUCUGUUGACGACCGGAUCUGGAAACCUUAUGUGUGUAGGAUUCUAAGCAUAUGACGAAGGUAUAAGAACUAGCUUGUAAACGUUUCGGAGUGAUAAGGAUGAUUUGAAUAUCUAUCAUGGAAGAGGAUCUAAUUUCACCUUAUUCAGUGUGUUGAUCAAAAAUGGUAAGAACCAGAAGUGGCGUUGGAAAGAUGGAUGAAAACAGGAAUCAACCACCAAUGAUUGAGCAAGCACCUGUGGUAGCAAUAGCACCAGAACCAAUGACAAUGGUUAGUGUGCAAGCCAUAAUUCGGGCUAUGUUAGUCGAACAAAGGGAUGAGAUGCGACAAAUGUUGCAUGAUAAUAAGGACGAACCUAUCAUGCCCAUCGAGGAACCUGAAUUGAUUCCCGAGCAAUCGGAGGAAGGAAACAAUAGUUACAUUAUGAGUCUAGUUGGGACUCAAGGCGAAUGAAGGAACGACCCGGAAAGUAGAGAAACAACAAGGAUGGGUGAAUGUACAAGAAUUUCUUGGGCGCCAAGCCGCCAAGUCUUUCUGGAAGCCCAAAGCCUGUUGAGAUAAUGGAUUGGAUCUCCGAAAUGGAGAUGGUAUUUGAAAGUUGCGACUGUAGCAACAAACAGAAGACCGUCUUUGCAGUUAGACAACUGAAGACUAGAGUCUUGAGUUGGUGGAAGUUGCUGGCAGAUACUAUGCAACAAGGAGAAACCCUGAAAAUGUCAUUGGAGGAGUUCUUGGAACAAUUAAGGGUGCAGUAUUGUUCAGAGAUAGAUCUGAUUGAUCUGAACAAUGAAUUCCAAAACUUGAAGAAGGGGAGGAUGAGCAUAGAUGACUAUGCUACUGCAUUCACUGAGAUAAUGAAGUUAUUUCCGUACCUAGUGCCAACGGAACUCUCCAAGAUUGAGAGGUUCGCUAAUGGACUGCCUGCCGACUUUGGCCCGACAGUCACGAUGGCAACCACUCUGAAAACAGCUGUUCGAGCAACUAAGAAUGUGGAGGCCCAGCAGAAGGAAAAGGGCCUGGAAAGGAUAGAAGUUUGUGAAAAGAGGAAGUUUGAUGGACCUUCAGGGUCCAAUAAGAAAAACAAAUUCUCGAAGUCUAGUUCGAGAGGAGGAGGAGGCGAAGCAAAAUGGUGCGAAAAAUGUAAGAAGAAGCAUCAUGGAAAAUGUGAGGUAGUGGCCACAUGUUUUAAAUGUGGAAAACCAGGGCACUAUGCCAACGAAUGCACCCUCACUAAGAAAGUUUGCUAUGGUUGUGGUGAGGAGGGACACAUGUUAAAGGACUGCCCGAAGAAGAAAGAGGCAGCUAGACCCAACAUUCCGCCAAAGCCGAAGGCAAGAGCAUUCCAGAUGACACUGGAAGCUGCUAAAGACGAAGCUGAUGUCGCUUCAGGUACCUUUCUCGUAAACACAUAGCCUACCCAAAUUUUAUUUGAUUCUGGAGCCAAUUACUUCUUUAUAUCGCAUGAAUUUGGUAGAAAACUAGCUUUGCCUGUUGAUAGACUAGAUAAUGCCUUAUUAGUCGAAGUUGCAAGUGGCAAGUUUGUACCUGUUAACCAUCGUAUGAAAAACAUCUUAAUUGACUUGAAUGGGAAUAUGUUCCGCGAGGGAUUAUUGCCUAUAGAACUUAAUGGUUUCGACAUCGUGUUGGGAAUGGAUUAGCUUAGCGACAAUGACACCAAGAUAUUGUGCAAGAAGAAGAUUGUAAAGAUAAACCCGCCAGGGAAAGAGUCGUUUAUGGUGUAUGGAGAUAAAUGGUGAGUAAAUUCUGGAAUCAUUUCAUUGAUGAAAGCCAAAAAGCUUUUGGCCAAAGGAUGUACAUCGUAUCUAGCAUUUGUGAUAGAUGAUAAGAAAGAGAAAAAGUCGAUGCAGAGCAUUCCUGUCUUAUGUAAUUAUCCGGAAGUAUUUCCCAAAGAUCUUCCCGGAUUACCGCCUGAUAGACAAGCGGAGUUUAGAAUAGACUUGUUACCAGGGACGCUGCCAAUAGCAAAAGCACCUUACCGAUUAGCACCGACGGAGAUGAAGGAGCUGAUGAUGCAACUUCAGGAGUUAUUGGACAAAGGUUUCAUUAGACCUAGUUCAUCACCCUGGGGAGCUCCGGUGUUAUUCAUGAAGAAGGAAGAUGGGAGCAUGAGGAUGUGCAUUGAUUAUAGAGAGCUGAAUAAAGCAACGAUAAAGAAUAGAUACCCGCUGCCGAGGAUUCAUGACCUGUUCGAUCAACUUCAAGGUUCGAGCUAUUUCUCGAAGAUCGAUCGAAGGUCAGGAUAUCAUCAGCUAAAAGUAAGAGAGCAAGAUAUCGAGAAGACUGCAUUCAGAAUUAUAUAUGGACACUACAAGUUCUUGGUUAUGUCGUUUGGAUGAACCAAUGCUCCAGCAGCAUUCAUGGAUUUAAUGAAUCGGGUUUGUAAUCCAUUCCUUAAUAAAUUUGUGAUAGUGUUCAUAGAUGACAUUCUAAUUUACCCGAAAAGCCAAGAGGAGCAUGGCAGACACUUGUGAGAAGUGUUAGAAGUUUUGAAGAAGGAGAAGUUUUAUGCAAAGUUCUCUAAGUGUGAUUUUUGGAUUCGAGAAGUCCAAUUCUUUGGUCACGUGGUCAACCAAGAAGGGAUAAUGGUUGAUCCAGCGAAGAUCGAAGUUGUGAUGAAGUGGGAACAACCGAAAAGUCCCAUGGAGAUCCGAAGCUUUUUAGGAUUAGCCGGAUAUUACCGAAGGUUUAUCCAAGGCUUUUCUUCGAUUGCUACUCCAUUAACAGCUUUGACCCACAAAGGAGCUACUUAUGCUUGGAGUGAGAAGCAUAAAGAAGCAUUCGAGAAGUUAAAGAAGAAGCUAUGCGAGGCACCGAUACUUUCUCUACCCGAUGGAGUUGAAGACUUCGCUGUUUAUAGCGAUGCGUCUGGUGUUGGAUUGGGUUGUGUUUUGACCCAAAGAGAAAAGGUGAUAGCAUAUGCGUCUCGACAGUUGAAAGAGCAUGAAAAGAAUUACCCGACUCAUGAUUUGGAGUUGGCAGCGGUAGUUUUCGCUCUGAAAAUAUGGAGGCAUUACCUCUAUGGCACGAAGUGCAAACUUUUCACUGAUCAUAAGAGUCUCCAAUAUCUCUUUAAUCAGAAAGAAUUGAAUAUGAGGCAACGACGCUGGCUAGAAUUACUUAAAGACUACGACUGCGAGAUACUUUACCACCCCGGUAAAGCUAAUGUUGUUGCUGAUGCUCUCAGUCGGAAAGUCAAUCUUGAAAGGAAAAGGCCAAGAGCGUUGAGAAUUGAAGUUGUCUCGACCAUUGUGGAAAGUAUAAAGAAAGCUCAAGAGGAAGCUUCUGAGAAAAAUGACCGAAAGGAGGAACGUUUGGGUAAAACGUUGGUGUUUGGUACUAACGGUCAUGGACUGAAGGUAUUCCAAGAUCGUAUUUGGGUACCUAAGUCAGGAGGAAUUAGGGGUCUUCUGAUGGAAGAAGCUCACAAGACCAUGUACUCGAUUCAUCCGGGUAGCACUAAAAUGUAUAGGGACCUGAAACCCUACUACUGGUGGCCGACGAUGAAGCUUGAUGUUGCAAGGUAUGUGGCCGAGUAUGUGACUUGUGCGAGAGUCAAAACACAACAUCAUAAACCAUAUGGGAGUUUAGAACCUUUACCUGUGCCCAUAGGUAAAUGGGAAGACAUCGCUAUGGAUUUUGUCACUAAACUACCCAGAACAAAGAAUGGUCACGACAUGAUUUGGGUGGUCGUUGAUCGAUUCACUAAGAGUGCGCAUUUCAUAGCAGCCAAGGAGAAAUGGUCUAUGGANNNNNNNNNNNNNNNNNNNNNNNNNNNNNNNNNNNNNNNNNNNNNNNNNNNNNNNNNNNNNNNNNNNNNNNNNNNNNNNNNNNNNNNNNNNNNNNNNNNNNNNNNNNNNNNNNNNNNNNNNNNNNNNNNNNNNNNNNNNNNNNNNNNNNNNNNNNNNNNNNNNNNNNNNNNNNNNNNNNNNNNNNNNNNNNNNNNNNNNNNNNNNNNNNNNNNNNNNNNNNNNNNNNNNNNNNNNNNNNNNNNNNNNNNNNNNNNNNNNNNNNNNNNNNNNNNNNNNNNNNNNNNNNNNNNNNNNNNNNNNNNNNNNNNNNNNNNNNNNNNNNNNNNNNNNNNNNNNNNNNNNNNNNNNNNNNNNNNNNNNNNNNNNNNNNNNNNNNNNNNNNNNNNNNNNNNNNNNNNNNNNNNNNNNNNNNNNNNNGGAGAGAAUGUUAGCAGCUCAGGAUCGUCAAAAGAGCUAUGCUGAAAACAAGCGAAGACCGAUGGCUUUUGAAGUUGGAGAUUCGGUUUUGCUUAAAGUCUCACCGUGGAAGGGACUUUAAGAAUUUAGUAAAAGGGGCAAAUUAAGUCCAAGGUUUAUUGGACCGUUUAGAGUUCUUCAUAGGUUUGGGAACCAAGCUUACAAGCUCGAACUACCAAACGUGCUGAGUGGAAUUCAUAACACUUUCUAUGUGUGUUAUUUAAGGAAGUUCACGGGAGAAGUUCCCAACAUGAUUCCACUUUCGUAGUUGAGAAUCGAUGAGAACAAAAGGUUGAUUGAAGAACCAGAGGAAAUCGUUGACCGAAAGACUAAGAAGUUACGACGCAAGAUGGUCGAGUUAGUGCUUGUCCGAUGGAAACACACGAAUGGGCCGAAUCUCACCUGGGAGACGGAGAGUGACAUGAUGGGUCGCUAUCCGCAUUUGUUUGUUGAUGUGUGAUUCCGGGGACAAAAUCAUUCUAAGGUGGAGAGAAUUGUAACGCCUGUGUUUCUGGGCUUGUCAUUAAUGUUGAUAUACUAGUCUAGGUUAACCUUUGUAACCCGUUUUAAAAUAAUAUAAGUGUAUUAUUUGAGUAUUAUGUGUUUUGUGCUUAAUUGUGUGUCUUAAUGUACUUGAGAAUAAAAAUAAGCGUCAAAAUGAAAUGUUAGAUAAGCUCGAUAUCUAUGGAUAAUGUUUUAGUAGUUAAAAUGAGGUUUCCGAAUACAUAAAGAAAGCUGAAAUCCGAGUUAUAACGAAGAAGUUAUGACCUGUCGAAGUUUCGCGAUAGAACCGGCAACGCUAAAUGACGUAAAAAGUGAAAUUUACGUUAGAGCGAUAUUUAGCCCUAGUGAUCUAAAGGAAUGUCGUAGAGUUCGUUAAAUCGAGAGCGUGCAUAAAGAGAACGCCCAAAUUUGACUUCGUGUGACGAAGUUAUGAUUUUCUGAAGUUUCAACUUAGCAGUAUGCAGCUGGAAUACUCGAUUUGAGACCGAGCGGUUUUUAGCCGAAACAAUCUAAACGACAAUCGAAGAUUUCGUUAAUUGUAGUGAAACGAUAAAAAGAUAGGUGAAAACGGGCGUUGGAUGAAGAAGUUAUAAAUUUAUAACGGAGUUUUCAUGUCCCGGCCUACUAAAAAUAAAUAAUAAAAAUAAAUUCAAAAUUAGACGACGGAGUCUAAACGAAAGUUGUAGAGCGUAGUCUCACCUACGCGUGGAUAUAAAGAACGUCGAAAACGGAGUUGGUAUGAAGAAGAUAUGCAUUUCAUAAAUUAUUAAAUGAUUAAUAUUUAUUUAUUUAAUCUUUAAUUCGGAUAAUAACCGAAGGAGUCGGUGGUUUGAUCCGAACUACGCCCAACGUAGUUGAGUACGCCCAGCGUACCCCGAUGCAUGCACCGCCUCGGACUCGAGUGCUCCGAUGACGCAUGCAGUGACGUUUCCGGAGGUGUAUGCCCCGCGUAGAGCAUUAUGCCUAGCGUAAUGCGAGACCUCAGCCUCCUAUAAAAGGCUUGCGAGGUCAGGCGAGAGUUUUGCACUUUUUCUCUUCUCUCUUUCUCAUUUUGCAUCGUUUUGCAUGCCAGAAGUAUCCCGAAGCCCCGGUAUCAAUCCCGACCCCCGAAGUAAGUUCCGAAGCCCCGAAGAUCCCGAGAAGUGUGAUUCCCGAGCUGAAGCUCUGCCCGUGAGAAGCCAAUUUUUGUGAAGAUCUUCUAGAUCUACUGACGAAUACUACUUUUGCAAGUCGUAGUGCUGUCUGAUCAAGUGAGUGUGUAGUUACUUUCUUUUAACGCAUAAUUAUGAAGUAUUUUAUACAAAAUACAUGUUAUGUGUAUAUUUUGCUGUUAUAAGUGUGAAUGUAUAUUCAUUUUCUUGUAUCUUACAGAUUUGGUUUAUUCUCUAUGAAAUAUGUGUUAUGUGUGUGUGCCUCAUUUGUUAUAUGGAAUAUGUAUUGAUUGAACAUGCUAUACGGGUUUUAAACUAUGUAUAAAAAUAUAUAUUUUUAUCUACUAAUAUGUUGGGUAGAACAUGGGUAGAUAGUUGAUGUGUGAUAAAUAGAUGAGAGGCCUCGAUGUUGUUGUUGUUGAUAUAGUUAUUCAGCGGAGUACGGAUAACGACCACAGACUCUUUCUAGACAGUCUUGUGGAACGCUAGCAGGUUCAUAACCUGUAGGUGUUGUGAACGAUGUGUUCACCGGUGUACUCUAUCCCCCUCAUGGUUGCCUUUAGGAUAUCUAUUGUUGAGGAAACCCCUUAGCAGUAAUGUCCGUCCCGAUGAAAAUCCUAGAUUAGGUCCCUUGAGAUAGAUGUUGUGUUUGGGACGUAAAGUGAGGAUAACGGGAAUGGGUAAUCGGGUUAUUGUUGGUUGGUGAAAUUAAAUAUAAUUAUUUAUUGUGGGUUGAAAACCCUAUAUGCUCACCAGGCUCCCAAGCCUGACCCACUCAGUUUUAUUUGUAUUACAGGAAGUGGCACAAGGGCGUAAGAUGGAUGGAUCAUCUUGUUGUUUUGUUUACAAGUCUGUAUAUGUAUAUAUUUGUUGAAUGACUUGUAAUGUUAACCGUUUAUGCUUUAUGGUCUGUAUCGGAACAUGACAUCCCGAGUUUUGAUUAUAUAAUGAAAUGCAUCUCUUGAUGAAAUGCUUUGAUAAAUAUUAUUUUAUCCUAUUUUGUUUUGGGAACAAAUUCCGCAACUCUUUUAAAUCAAAAGGAUUUACUCUGAAAUUAUUUUAAAAAUCAUAAAUGAAAUCGGUCUUUUCUGGCUGUGAUUUUGGGGAUGUCAUAGUUGGUAUCAGUGCAUUGGUUUAAGCGAACUAGGAAUUUGUAGGAUUUCUAGACUUAAACUUAGAAUGUUAAGUGAAGGUUGUUAGAUGUGUGUUUGUUAUAUUCCAGACACGAGCACUAGUUUAUUUUAGGAAAGUUGCCUAAAAUGCUUUUAUGUGCUAAAUGUUAUAUGUUGUCAUAUAUGAUAUUAUUUGUUCGGAUCUAUGGUCUGUUGCCGACCGGAUCUGGAACCCUUAUGUGUAUAGGAUUCUAAGCGUAUGACAACGGUAUUAGAACUAGCGUGUAAACGUUUCGGAGUGAUAAGGAUGAUUUGAAUAUGUAUCAUGGAAGAGGAUCUAAUUUCACCUUAUUCGGUGUGUAGAUAAAAAAUGGUAACAACCAGAAGUGGCGUUGGAAACGCGGAUGAAAACAGGAAUCAACCACCAGUGAUUGAGCAAGCACCUGUUGUAGCAAUAGCACCAGAACCAAUAACAAUGGAUGGUGUGCAAGCCAUGAUUCGGGCUAUGUUAUCCGAACAAAGGGAUGAGAUCCGACACUACAAUGGUUGGACUCAAACAAGAGUUGUGCAAUAGCACCAAAUCACGCUGGGAGAAUGCAACCUAACGUAUUUUUCAAAUAACUAACUAAUAUCAGUAUAUGUUCUAAGUAACAAAUAACAAGAAAAUCCCUAAGCUAUAAGGCAUCUUUAUCAGGCAAUUUCUAAUUUGGCAAUUCCUGAAAAGAUCCCCAGCCUACAUGCUAGGAUGUAUUUCUAACAGUUCAUGUAUCAAUAGAUAUAACCAAUAUGGAUAUUUUGGGAAACACUUUUGUUUUGAGCUCUGGUUGACUGUACGCAUCACAUUCUUUUCUUUUUAUAUCAUUUCUUUUUAAAAAUUUUUGUUUAAAAUAUUCAGAUCCUAAGUUUGAGUCUGGAAUCACACGAGUGUUCAUCCAGUUAACUCAAACUAGGGCUCUGAUACAAACUUGUAACGUCCAAAAUUUUAACCCAAAUUUUUCAUUUUUAUUUAUUAAAAUAUUCAAUUACAUCAAUGUAUAACAAAGAAACGUGAUUGUGAAUGAGCGUGUGUAUAGUCGAACCUUGUCCUUCCCAUGAACCAAUAAAGUGUUUGAAAUAACAUUUGUAACAACUGGGUAAGUGCUAGACUUAGUGAGUUCCCCGAAUAUACCAUAUGUUGCAAUACAUAUACAUGCAUACAUCGAGUAUCUAAAUAUCUUAAGUUGCUAUUGCUAUUAUUUAGGCUCACAAUAUCUUAAGGUUCUGCUGUCAUCAACUCACCCUUGGCCUUUAGCAUAACGCUAGUGCGUCCGCAUCUUGGCUUUCCGCACGGAGUGGGAAUGCCUCUGCCCUUAACCGAUCACAUAUACAAGUUACAUUACAAGAAACAGCCUAACAAGUCGAUCAAUAUAGGCACAUAGAAUCUACACUAUGGGAUCUACUCUAUUGGCUCCUAUAUCCUAACAUACAUGGAUUAUACUGGAAGACAUAAUAUAGUGAGAUGAACUCAACUGGACAGUUACUUCGAAGAUUAACAACUAUACAGACGAUCCUACAUUCCAAUUGACUAGAAACGUGCCUAAUGAGUAUUAACGUAUAAUACUAUAACUUAUUAGAUCCGAACAUAAUCUAGUAAUGUAUGCCAUACCUAUCACUAAUCCAAAUGAAUAUCGAUAGUUCUAUGUGAUGAGAUUAAAACAAUAACUUUUAAUCUAUAAAGAUCGAUUAGAUCGUGAACAAGUAUAUGAAUAUGGAACUGCAAGAACACAAUAUAAAUAACAAGGCAGAACGCAAUAAUAAGAACAAACAGCUUGAAUCAAACGGGUCGAAUGAUUAAACAAAAUCCUUAGAAGAGCUCGAUUAAGAACAUCAACUGUAAAGGAUUGGAAGAUUACAAGAGAGCAAUAUUGUAAACUCUGGAGCGCUAAAACAGAAAUCUUGAAUCUUGACCUAAUAUGCAUGCAAGCGAUAACUUAUAUACAAUACAUAAAAAGGCUCUCGGUUGGACAGGCCCAAACCGGAGAAUACAAGGCUAAUCUACGAGCCCAAAAGACGCAAUACAAAACAGAACUUCAGCCCAACAAUCUCCCCCUUUGCGUCAAUUUGGAGCGAGACCAUCACUUCUUACUUGGGCCGGCGGCUGAAGCUGGUACCUUCUUCUUCACGGUACUAAACAGACACUUGGUUAUGGAAAGGAUGGUCUGUCUAAACCGGAUGUACCAAUUGAUCAUAUCUUCAAAAUAUUUGAUGUCAUCAGCCGAAUUGUCCUUACACCGCUUGAUGAUAGAAAGGACGUGUUCCAAGCAGGGAGUGGUGUAGAGGUGCUUGUCAGCUAACGCGAACAGACAUUUCUGUCCUUCGGCUCUGGUGAACAUCACAGAGUUUCGCCUCGAAUCUAUCUUGCCCAUUUUCAUCGUGUUUAGAUCACUGGCCGAUCCCACAGGCUUGACUUUCGGUUUCUUCUUAAACACUGUGGCAACCUCCUGAUCCAUUAGGGCCACCUCCAUGAUAUAGCAUGCCAGCAUCCUUUUGACAUGGUCUAAGAUGGGACCAUAUUCGGCUUCGUUUGUCAGCAAGAUGUUGUACAAGACUAUCCAAUCAUGAGGGUUCAGAUUGGGCAGAUCCGCCAGAGAGAUCAUGUGAGCAGUUCUUGCAGAUCCUCGGAUAAGCUUGAACUUGACGUUUGUGAAUCUCCCCACGGCAAACGGCUUCAACACCCGAACAUUGACAAUCUUCUGGGCGCUCCAUGUAAGGUAUUGAGGGCGAGCGGCCUCCAGAUAAAAGUCAAUGAGCUCCCUGUCAAGCUCAUCGUUCGGAUGCGGGACUUCGAAAAUGUUGGAGAAGGCGUGGAAGAUGAACGCCUUUCGAGUCAGCGGCAUAUCAAAUUGCGAAUCGACCGAGUUGAUGCAGUCGAACGAUAUCACCGGCUCGAGCCAUAGUAUGCUUGGAGUCUCUAUGGCCUCUUUUAUCAGACGAUCCCUGGUCCAGGCAGGGAAGAGCAGCUUUCGGCUCUCAAGGAGAUCGUUGGCUUCUUUUUGUUUACGUUCGGCUUCUUCAGCUUCACGUGCCACACGACUGACAUCGUCAUCAGUAUUGCGACUGUUCUUUCUCUUUAACAUGUCCGCAAUAGUCUCCUUGUCUUCAUCUUCAUCUUCAUCUUCAUCUCCUCCCUCUGCAAUGUUUUUGCCCUUGUCCUUCACACCCGAACCCGAGGCAUGACCAGUUGGGGGUGGUUCGGUUGUGUGAGUUGCUUUUGAGGAAGGAGGUGGUUUCGAUCCUUUCUUCUCAUCUCCCCCUUGUUUCGGAAUGGACACGAAACUGGGUAGGCCUUCAAUUUUACUCAAGAGAGCCAUGGCCGGAGAGAGUUUCUCAGCGAGGGUACGCCUCACCGAGUGAUUCAGGAUGGGGUCGUGUGCUUCCAGGAUGUUGGAUAGAGCGGCGUGGACAUCCGAAACACACGUCUUGAUGAUUUCCCUUUCGGAUCGAAGAGCCUCCAAUUGUUGUUCGGAGUUGGAAAGUUGGGUGCUCUUGACCUUGAGGGCAGUAGUCUUACUCGCCAGGACGUCCAUCAGUUUAUUUUCAGCCGCAAGAUCCUCUUGUAGCUUUGCCAAGCGGGCUUCAAUGGAGGCACGGAGUGCCGAGUUGUCGUCGCUAAGGUUUUGUCUGAGGGUAGCGAACGAGGAUAACUCCGUCUUUACAAACUGGGCCAAUUGAUUAACAAGUGGUUCCAGAGUUGUUUUGGUGGCUUCGGCGCUUUCCUGCAUAGACUGCAGCAGGAUUGUAGCGUCAUGGAAUAGUUUAUCGACUUUUUCGGUCGCAGCCUCACAAGCUCGGGUGGAGGCGUCUAUUGCAGCAGUAGCAGAGGCCACUGAGUCAUGUUGAGCCCUAGAGAAGGCAUCAACUAUCCUCUGAAGGGCAGCUUCAGAUAAGGAUGACUGCUGAUUGGAAGAGGAGGCGAGAAGUUGAUCAACCUUCUCGUUCAGCUCGCGGAGAUGCUUCUUGGUUACAGGAGCAUCAUCCUCCUCAUCACUUUGAACUUGAAACGGACUAUAGUAGACCGAAUCAAAGUUCAGGUGGUCACCACCUAGGUAUUGAUCAUCGCCAUCGGAGGCGUCUUCUGGAGAUUGAGGUGGUGGUGAAGCUGGGGGUGUUAUGGGUUUGGUUGGUUCAGGUUGAGUAGGUGGGGGGUUAGUUUCGGGUGGUGGUUGUGUAUGGGUUUCGGUUUGUGGAGGUUCGGUUACGGGAGGGGUUUCGGUUACAGGUGGUGUUUCGGUUGAGGUGGUGAAUAUGGGUGGAGGUAUAGGGAAUGAGGUUGGUGGUAUAGUAGGGGUUAUGGUGGGAAUGGAAAUAGGUAUUGUGGGUGGAGGGGAAGGAACUGGGGAUUGGUGAAGUUCCAUCUCCGGGGUUGGGGACCGAGGGGGUGUGUUGCCUCUUUGUGGAGAUUCGUCUCCUUGUGAUCCCUCAGAGUCCGAACUCCCACCUUCGGAUUCACUGGAGGUUGAGGGAAGGACGAGCUUUCGCUUCGGUUGGGUCUUCCUCCUUUUCGGUUGUGGGGAGGAAGCAGCCUUUGGUUGUUUGCGUUUCUUGGGAGUAGGUUUUGGGGCUUUGGAUGGUUUCUUCCCCUUGUCUGCCUUCUUACCCCUGGCCACCGGUUUGUCGGCAUCAUGAAUUGAUCGCAGCAUGUCCGGUGUCAGUUCCCUCGGACCAGAUGGCCCUAACUCCUUGAUCGCCUUGAUCAUACUGCUGUCUGAUGGCACACUACCAUACAUCGACUCCGGGAUAGAGCCAAUGAAGGAGAAUUUCGAUGCAGCGGAUACGAUGAUCUUCGUGGUGUGGAACGUACCAAUCGAAGACAUCGGUGCACCGUCAGCAGUUUGGACAUCGAACUUGUCCAUAGCCCAUCUUGUGAUCAAGAUCCAGAACCGGGCUAGUGACACCUCGGAGUGUCGGGAAACGGAAGAGAGGCUCUGAAUCAGUUGUUGCCAAAGGACAAAUCCGUAGUCCAGAUUGAUCCCGUUGUACACCGCAUACAUAAUCGACAGGAAAAGACGACUGGCCCCGUCCGAUCCUGAGCUUCGUUCUGACAGUCCCUUGAAGAGAACUGUAAAUAACCCAUUCCAUUGGGGCGGUAGGCAUGACUUCUUGAAUCUGGCGACGGAGGUGAGAACUUCCGUGUAGCCCAUGUUGUAGAACAUGCUGUAGAGCAUACCAACCGGAAUUGUCUCCGGGUGAACACGCGAUGGGUCAGCAGCAAACCCAAGCAUAGAGCAGAAGCGGGAACGAGAAAUCGACGUCUUGUGUUCCGCCACUUCGAAAAAGAUUCUGUCAACGGCCUUGUCGUAAUAAGCCGUUGCGUAGACCUGAGAUAGGGCCACCAUUGGCACCGUUUCAAUCCGUGACAGUGCCGGAGCAAGCUGGGAGUAUUUGAGACACUCGAUGACCGGCGACAUGUAGGGAUCAUAGGCCAGUGGGUUCAGAUCAAUCACGAGGCAUUGCUGAGGACGGAUUGGAAGAAUCUGAGAAGUAGCAUGGACGGAAGAGGAUUCAGCCAUUGUUGCAGGUUGGAGAAGAAGAUAACCGGGAGAGAGUUUGGAAGUAUUUUUGCUUUGGAAAUUAUGGGGCAGUAAAGAGGUAAAAGGUGGUCUGGAUGGGUUUUUAUAGUAGGUGAUAGGAGAGAGAAAGAUCGAUUCAAAUCUCUUAUGGAAAUAUGGAAGGGUUUUUGAGUGACUGAUUGGUGACAGUUGGGACGUGCGAUGAUCACGUAGGAGAGAGAGUGUCAGAUUCCUAGGAUCACGCCGCCCAAUAAGCGCCGGUUCAGAGAGAGGAACCGUUUCCAUUUCCACACGCGCCAUUAAUGCCAGAUGGAUGACGCUUCAAUACUGCACACGCGUCCAAAUGUGUCAGAAAAAGCGCGGCCGCUUCAAAUUCACGCGCCCUCCUUUUUACCGUCGUUUGAAUAUCUAUCCUUUGAACUUCCGCCGCGUCAGCAACUUUUUGUCUUUUCCCCCUUUUUAAUCAGCUGUAUUCAAUUGAGGACCCACGUGGCUAAUUUUUGGCCACAACUUCAUUAGUAAUCCCUCAGUAAUAACCCAGCCUGUAAAAUAAUUAGUAACGGAAUUUUGAAAAUCUAGGAUUUUCGUGCUAAGAGUGUAAAAGAUAAGGAAAUAAAGCAACUCUUUUUGGAAUAAUCUGUGAUGUCAAUUAUGACACGAAACUGAUGAUCCCGGGCACGAAUCUCUUCCUUCAAGAUCAAGAGAGACCUCAAAGUGUUAGUGUGGAAUCCCGUUGAAUUACGAUCAAACAUUUAUUAAUAAAUGUUGAAAGGCUUCUUUUAAUAAGGCUAAUUAAGGGUGGUUUCGCUUUGAUUCAACAAUUCAAUUCUUGAUAUAAGAACGAAAGUGAACAAAGUACUUGUGAGACCGGUGUAGUCUGUUGAACAAGUAGGUUGGAGUUGAUUUUUAAGUGACUUGGAUAAGUAUAAAAUCUCAGAUAAAAAUUAUAACUGGAUCCCAUGGGAAGAAAUGUUAUGGUGUGUAACAAUUUCAUUGGAAUCGAAAAAAAAAAUUUAGAUUUCAUGAAGGUACAUUCGUCAAUUCAUUGGUGAAAACUUGAUCAAAUUAAUUGGUCACCGUCAAUUCUUUGGUGUUGAAUUUUGGGUUUCACUCAGCUCGUAGUGGCACGAAACUAAGAUCAUAAACACAGAUGUUGUGUAACCAUAAACCUCAGUGGUAGUUUCUGAGAGUCUCAAGGGUUACAGUGAUGAAACGAAUGUUAUGGAGAAGUGUAAUGGGGAUGGUGAAAGAAGACAUAGUACCUCUGCUGCGAAAGAAAGGACCAAGCAGGAGACUCUUAACUCAUGUGAGAAGAGUGUGAGGUAGCUCACGAUUAGAAUAAAUAAGUUAGCCUUAUUGGGAAGACAAGGUUUGUGUAUACCAAGUCGUGAAGGCAAUUAUUCAAAAUCUUAUGAGGCUUGGGACACAUACAGCAGCAUGCUUCUAGGGACACUUAAGUAAUUCAUCAAAUAUAUCCCCAUAAGUAAACGAACAUACAAAAAAAAUAAAAACAUAUUUUUGGAGUGUUUGAAAUUUAUAUAUAAAAAAAAAAAAAAAAAAAAAAUUAAAAAAAUAGAAAAGAUAAAAAAAAAUAAGACAAGAAGAAAAAAACUUUUGAUUCAAAAAAAAUGGAAAACCGAACCCGAACGUUCGGUUGGUUUCGGUUGGAAAAAGUUGAAAAACCGAACCCGAACCUUCGGUUGGUUUCGGUUCAGGAAAAUUUUGAAAAACCGAACCCGAACCUUCGGUUGGUUUCGGUUCUGGAAAAUUUUGAAAAACCGAACCCGAACCUUCGGUUGGUUUCGGUUCAUGAAAAUUUUGAAAAACCGAACCCGAACCUUCGGUUGGUUUCGGUUCUUGAAAAUUUUGAAAAACCGAACCCGAACCUUCGGUUGGUUUCGGUUCUUGAAAAUUUUUAAAAAACGAACCCGAACCUUCGGUUGGUUUCGGUUCUUGAAAAUUUUGAAAAACCGAACCCGAACCUUCGGUUGGUUUCGGUUCUUGAAAAUUUUGAAAAACCGAACCCGAACCUUCGGUUGGUUUCGGUUCUUGAAAAUUUUAAGAAACCAAGGAGUUUAGAUAUGCAAUAAAAAAAAAUUUAUACAUAAAGAAAAUAAAUUUUGCAUAAGAAAUAUACAACACAGAAAAACUACCUUUGAAGUAAUGAGCGAGUCAGAUAGUUGAACCGAACCCGAACGUUCGGUUGGUUUCGCUUCUUACGGUUGAGAUUGAGUGGUAGUGUGAGGAACUGAUUCUGAUUCCAUCAUACCGAGCCCUUGCAAUAUUUUAUUGAAUGAUGCUUCAGGAAGAGCUUUGGUAAAGACAUCAGCCAGUUGAUCAGUGGUUCUUACGAAGUGAACUUCGACAUUUCCAUCUUCCACAUGAUCUUUGAUGAAGUGAUACCUCAGUGCUAUGUGUUUGGUUUUAGAGUGUUGCACCGGGUUAUGACAGAUCCUAAUUGCACUUUCAGAGUCACAAUAUAGAGGGAUCUUCUUCAUAUUGAGUCCAUAGUCUCGAAGUUGACUCUGGAUCCAAAUCACUUGUGAUGUGCAGGAUGCAGCGGCAAUGUAUUCCGCUUCAGCAGUAGACAGCGACACACAUGUUUGUUUCUUGGAUUGCCAGCUGACCAACUUCCCAUCAAGAAAUUGACAGCCACCAGUUGUGCUUUUGCGGUCGAGUCCACAUCCUCCAAGGUCAGCAUCAGAAUAGGCUUGAACGAAGAAGCCAGAGUUGGAUGGAUACCAUAGACCCAAGGAGGCGGUUCGCUUGAGAUAGCGUAGGAUGUUCUUCACUGCCAGCAUGUGAGGUUCGCGUGGGUUAGCCUGAAAUCGAGCACAAUAACAUACAGAAAACAUGAUAUCAGGCCUGCUAGCAGUUAGAUACAUCAGUGAGCCUAUCAUUUGACGAUAGAGCGUGAUGUCGACGGCCGGUUUAUCUAGUGAAGGGGUAAGUUUGGUGCCGAAUGCCAUAGGGACUUUGACUUUUGAGUCUCCCAUCAUGCCAAACUUUGCUAGGAGAGUCUUCGUGUAAGCUUCCUGAUUGAUAAAGAUGCCUUCGGGUCCCUGUCUUAUAUUUAAACCAAGGAAAAAAUUAAUAGGACCCAUUGAGCUCAUUUCAAACUUAGUCUCCAUCAACUUUCUGAAUUCAGCUGUUAAGCUGGGAUUCGUAGAGCCAAAGAUGAUGUCAUCGACAUAAAUUUGAACUAUCAUAAGGUGGUUACCUUCCUUUUUGCGAAAGAAGGUUGGGUCAACCGAACCUUGUUUGAAUUUGGACAUCUUUAAAAAUUUUGUAAGCGUUUCAUACCAGGCUCUCGGAGCUUGUUUGAGGCCGUACACAGCUUUAUCCAGAAUGUAGCAAUGAUUUGGAUACUUUUCGUUCACGAACCCAGGAGGUUGCUCCACAUACACCGUUUCUUCAAGUUCUCCAUUGAGAAAUGCGCACUUGACGUCCAUUUGGAAGACCUCAAAGUUUUUGUGAGCAGCAUAGGCCAGAAAUAUUCUAACCGAUUCUAGCCUAGCUACUGGAGCGAACGUCUCUUCGUAAUCUAUCCCUUCCUCCUGACAGUAUCCUUUGACAACCAGACGAGCCUUGUUCCUUAUGACAUUACCUUCCUUGUCCAUUUUGUUUCUAAAAACCCAUUUGAGACCAACAACUGAAGCAUCCGGAGGAGUUGGAAUGAGGCGCCAGACUUUGUUCCUCUCAAACUCGUUUAGUUCGUCUUGCAUUGCUUGAACCCAAUCAGAGUGAUCGAGGGCAGUGUUCACUGUCUUCGGUUCAACUUUUGAUACAAAUGAGUUAAACAUACAAAACUCAACCUUUGAGAAUAAGGAUGUCUGUUUUGCCUUCAGUUGAGAUCGGGUCAGAACCUUUUCAGAUACAUCACCAACUACUUGAGAGAUAGGAUGAUCUCUGGUCCAUUUUGUAAGAGGAGGGUAAUUCGGAUCAAAGGAUGGAUCUAGUUCAGCGUUGAUCAUCUCUUCAGGCUCGGAUUGGCUAUCAAAAUCAAGCGUCAUAUCAUCAUGCUCCCCCUCAAUUGAUGAGUCUUGACAAACAUGAGGUUCAGGGGUUUCUUGUGGUGCUGGAUUUUCAGGCAUUGAAGCACCUUCGUUUGGAGGUGCAUCUUCGGUUGGAGAGUUACCUUCGGUUGAUGAAGGACCUUCGGUUGAAGUAGUAGAGCUUGGCUCCCCCUGGACUUGUGAGCUAGGCUCCCCCUCGACAAGAGAAUUUGGCUCCCCCUCGACUGAAGCAUUGUUGGUUGGAGAUUCAUCAGUAGGCAAUUCUCCUUCAUGCAUUCUUCUUGCAGCAUCUUCGACAAUCUGCUUUAUAUGAUCUAUUUUGUUGUCGGCUGCCCCUGCUUCUGAGAGAGAAGCUUUUUCCGGUUCAUCAAAGAGAUCCAGAAAAUUCUCGUACAUAUUGGCGAUUGAGACUGUGACUUGACCAGUUUGAGGGAAGAUUUCCCUGGCAGUGUCAUCUAUGGCCUGUAGCUUCUUGACAUAGCUAUCGUCGAAGGUCACAUAGUAUGUCUCUUCAAUCCUUCUUGAUCGUUUGUUUAGGACCCUGUACGCCUUUGAAGUGAGUGAGUAACCCAGAAAGAUUCCCUCGUCGGCUUUGACAUCAAACUUGUUGCGGUGUUCUUUAGAGUUAAAGAUGAAACACCUUGAGCCAAAAACGUGGAAAAAUUUCACAUUGGGCUUCCUGUUGUUUAAUAUCUCAUAUGGUGUGAGCGUGAAUCGCUUGUUGAGAUAGGACCUGUUUUGUGUAUAACAAGCAGCAGAAAUAGCGUCAGCCCAAAAAUAAAGAGGUAAGGAAGCGAAACUUAACAUAGUUCGGGCAGCUUCACACAGAGAUCGGUUUCGUCUUUCGACUAUUCCAUUCUGCUGUGGUGUGUAGGGAGCUGAGAAAUUAUGGCUAAUUCCCUUUUCUGCAAGAAACGCUUCAAACUCCCUGUUCUUGAAUUCGAGACCAUUGUCGCUCCUGAUGUUGCGAACGACCUUCUUGAGCUGGACUUCAAUUUGCUUGAUAAACACUUUCAGCUUUUGAGUCGCUUCAGAUUUGAGCUUUAGAAAGAACACCCAUGUAAAUCUAGAGAAGUCAUCAACGACAACAAGAAUGUACUUGCUACCACCGAUGCUUUCAAUAGAUGAAGGACCACAUAAAUCGAUAUGAAGCAAUUCGAGUGGUUCAACAACUUUUGUGUUAAUUAUGGAUGGGUGACUUUGACGACUCUGCUUUCCCAUUUCACAUGCAGCACAUAAAUGCUCUCUGUCAAACUUGAGCAAUGGAAGACCCCUAACAUGACCUCCAGUGACAAGUCGGUUGAUAUCUUUGAAAUUGAGAUGAGAGAGUCUUCUGUGCCACAACCAGCUUUCGUCGGAUUGAGCUUUUGAUAGCAGACAUAUUGCUGGGUUUCCUUUGAUGGGUUUCAUGUUCAGCGGAAACAUUUCACCCUUUCGCUCUGACUUCAGAAUCACUUUCUUUGUCGUUUUCUCUAUGAUUUCAGAACCUUCAUCAUCGAAUGAAACUUUGAGACCUGUACCUCCAACAAGCUGAGAUACACUGAUGAGGUUGUGUUGAAGUCCUUCCACAUAGGCCACCUUUCUUAUGGUAAAAUCACCAUUCGUUAUCAUCCCAUAUCCCUUUAUGGUGCCGAAAGAGUUAUUUCCAAACUUAACGUUGCCACCAUUUGCAAGAGAUCUGUAUUCCCUGAGUUCCUCUUUCCUCCCUGUCAUGUGACGCGAGCAGCCACUGUCGAUGUACCAUUCUUCGUCAAACUGCUCGUCACUUAUAACCUGCAAAAAUUAAGCAGAUUUAGGAACCCAAAGUUUCUUGGGUCCAUGUGAGGUUUUCAUGGGAACAGGAAUAGUUAGAGAGAUAUCAACAAGAUAUGUUCUUUUAAUUAAAGUUGUUUCAUCUUUCUUUUUAAUGGUGAAAACUUUUAUUUUGUUAGGAUUGGAUUUGUUCGCUUUAGACUCAGGUUUGAAUUCACCGACUUUCUGCUUUUCCUUCUGUUCAGCAGAUGGACGUGGUUUUUGAGAACCCAUGGAAUUAGUGUUAGAGCAAGAUGGAGAUGAACAAGAAGAAUUAGGAAGAGAGGAUUUGGAUUUGGAUGGAGGUGUCUUCCUUGCUGAUGACUCUAGGUGACCCUUUUGCUUUUGAUCGUUGGUGGGUUUAACCUUUGAGUCUUGUUCUCUUCUGACUUCAGAACCGAACCUCUGAGUUCGGUUGGAGUUGUUCUUGGAACCGAACCUUUGGUUUCGGUUGAAAUCCUUUUCAGAACCGAACCUUUGCUUUCGGUUGGUAUUUUCAUGCGAACCGAACCUUGGCUUUCGGUUGGUAUCUUCUUGCGAACCGAACCUUGGCUUUCGGUUGGUAUCUUCUUGCGAACCGAACCUUGGCUUUCGGUUGGUAUCUUCUUGCGAACCGAACCUUGGCUUUCGGUUGUUGGAAUUAUCGUGCUUUCUUACGAGAUUAUUUUCAUACUUCAGAUUCUUGUCCUUGUGUGAAUAGUAUGCAUUCUGGGAGUGCCAGAAUUGUUUCCUUUCAGAAAGGUUUUUCCUGUAUCUUAGGUUCCUUUCUAUCUUUUUAUCCCUCAUCUGUUUAGGUUGAUGAUGAACGUUCGCUUUCGCUUUUGAUGUAACCUUUGCUGAUUCCUUUUGAACUUUAGGAGUUUUUCUUUGAAACGAGGGAGCAGAGGGAAUAUCUGAAGAAGAUUCAGUUUGCCCUGAGGAAGUGGAAGGAGUAUCUGAUGAAGUUUCACUUCGAGCUGUUGGCGUUGAAGGAAUGUCUUCUUUUACUGAAUGAUCAACCUCUUGAGGAGUGUCUUUUGUACCACUUGUGCUUGGUUCACUGAAAUUAUCAGGCUUGUUCAAGGGUUCAGGUAUGUAUCUCCCUUUCUUCAUCCAAGAGGUUCUUUCAGAUAGGCCAACGGUUUCGUUUCCAUUGUCAAUAGGAGCUUCCCAGAAGAACUCAUCACAGCCAUCAGCAUUGUCUUCGUUAACAAUAGCCGUGAGUUCAGCUGUCUGAUGUUCGGUUACUCCAGUCACUUUGUAUACCUGAUUCGGAGUGGUUCUGACCUUUUGAUAGACAACAGCCUUUUCUACUAAUUUCGGGGACUUUUGUUGGGACAAUCUAGCGAAUUCCACAGAAUUUUCAGAAACAAGAUUUUUGUGGUUUUCAGUUUCGCUUUUCACAAAUUCUGAGCAGUCAACCGUAUCCUCUACAGAAAUUUCACUCAUGUUUUCGUCCUCGUUAAGCUCAGAUGCAUUUUCAACAUCAAUUUUAUUUUCUGAGCUUACUUUGGCAUUUAGAGAGUCAAACUUUUGUAUGGUUUCGGUUCUCAGUUUAAGUCUAUCAUUUUCGUCCAACAGAUUUUUGAGCAUGUCCUUAUGGUCUUUGGAUUUAAUGAAGGACUCAAUUUUGUCCAGUCCAAUUUGAUAAGUUGGGUUGACAUCAUCAGACGAAAUCACACUCUCACAAUUGUAAGCUUCGGCAUCGAUUUCAUCCUCCUUAAAUUCUAGGAAUGGUAAAAUCAUACGGUGGAUCUUUUUGCCUAUCUCACAGUCCAAGUGCAGCUGAGUAAUAUUGGAAUAUAAACGUUUAGCUAUUAAACAAAAAACAUUUCGUUGUUUUAACAAUUUCAAAUUGUCUCUCUGCAAAUAAAUGUUUUCGUCUUUGACUUUAAUUAAUUCCGACUCUUUUAACUCAAUCCACAUACGCCGCUCCUCACUCUUCGACGCCACCCUGCUUAAUUGAUCAGUCAGGUUAGAAUUGGUGACUCUAGUUUGAGUUAAGCUACUAUCUAAAUGAGAAAUUCUUGUGUUAACGUUUUUUAGUUCUUUCUCAUAUGAGGAUGAUGGUACUUUAGAUGAAAUAAAAACAGAUUGUACCUUCUUUAUCAGUUCAUCAAGCUCAUUGAACUGUUGGCUGAGUGGUUUGGCUGUGAAGCACAUAUCUUCCUGCACUUUCGGUCCAUUGCUUCCUCCAUCGGUAUUGUAUCCCCUCAUUUGAGAUGCGCUUGACACCAUGAAGCAUUUUCCACCACUGCUUUCCUCCUUAGCCAUAUAAGCCUUUCCAUGAGUAGGCUUCCUCACUUCUUCGUCUUCUGAGUCAGUAGACCAAACUUCGGUGCUACCGAACUCAUCGUUAUUAACCGAACCCUGCACAAUAAGAGCAUUAAUAGAAGGGUUAGCGGUAGACUUUUUCUUCCUCAACUCAUCCAACCUCUUCUGCAGUACGGCUUCCUCAUCCUUUCCGUCAUCCUUUUCAGCCAUCUUUUUAAGAACACAGUCCUUAGCAUAGUGGUUCUUGCCACCACAGUAAAAACAGCUUACUCCGGAAUCGCCAUCUGCCUUCGGUUCCUUCUUGGACUCCUCAGCCUUCGGUUCAUUGUUUGCCUUUUCAGAGCUAUAACUCCCCUGCCAGUUUCGGUUUUUGUUGCUGGGGAAUCUCUUCUUUAUGAACCUCUUAGGAUUGGAUACCAUCAUGGCAUAAUCCUCAGUUGUGAGGUCAUAUUCUUCCAAGUUGAGCUCUUCAUCCUCCAUCACGGCUUUACUUUUAGAUAGGAGGGCCAACGAACCAAGACUAGACACAACGUUCUUCUCUUGAACAACAAUCUUCUCUUGGGACUUUAGAAUACCCACCAGUUUCGCCAAAGAGUAUGAUUUAAACUGUUCAUGGGCUUUGACUGUGGAAACUACUGCUCUCCAUUCCGAUCUCAGUCCGUUCAAGAAAGUAACCUUUUGUUCGAUGAGCUUCCUUUCAAUGUCGUGUUUGAUCAUCUUGCUGAGAAGAUGAUUGAAGCGAUCAAACGUCUGGGUCACGGUUUCUUCGGCCCCUUGCCUGAAUUCUCCAAACUCAGAUAGAAGCAAGGUUUGGAUGGAGUGUUCAAGAUCUUCGUCUGUUGAAUACAGUUCGCGAAGUCUAUCCCACACUUCCUUCGCCGUAGUGCAUGAGCUGACUAGUCUGAAUGUGUCGGACUGAAGGGCGAAUCUGAUCAACCUUAGUGCCUUAAUAUUGCACUGGAAUUUAUCUUUCUCAUCCUGCGCAAUAUUCGUCACGUCCUUGAGCAAAUCGUUGUAUUCUUUUUGCGUCUUAAUAACUCUGGAUGUCGCGGAAUGAGAAAAUGGUCCAUUGAUAAUGGCUUCCCAUAUGAGAAAACCAUUGUCCUCCGAUCCAAUCACGUAAUCUUCAAAAUGAUGUGCCCAUACUUCAUAGUCAUGGGUGUAUAAGAUUGGAAUCUUUGUCGUCGAACCAAUGCUGUUGGAAAUAUUAAUAGGGUUUGAUUGCGUUGCGUCCAUAAUGAUCGUAAUAACCUGUUCAAAGAUCAGACUUGUAAUAAAGCAGAUUAGGGCAAAACAAUAAAUACUAAGAUACGUCAAUUAAGAUGACGGCUCAAUAAAUAUCGAUGAUUGCGGAAAACCCUAAUGAAAAUCUUUUUCACAGAAAAGAAGUGUAUCGAUUACACAGCCUCCUGCUCUGAUACCAAUUGAUGAGAUUAAAACAAUAACUUUUAAUCUAUAAAGAUCGAUUAGAUCGUGAACAAGUAUAUGAAUAUGGAACUGCAAGAACACAAUAUAAAUAACAAGGCAGAACGCAAUAAUAAGAACAAACAGCUUGAAUCAAACGGGUCGAAUGAUUAAACAAAAUCCUUAGAAGAGCUCGAUUAAGAACAUCAACUGUAAAGGAUUGGAAGAUUACAAGAGAGCAAUAUUGUAAACUCUGGAGCGCUAAAACAGAAAUCUUGAAUCUUGACCUAAUAUGCAUGCAAGCGAUAACUUAUAUACAAUACAUAAAAAGGCUCUCGGUUGGACAGGCCCAAACCGGAGAAUACAAGGCUAAUCUACGAGCCCAAAAGACGCAAUACAAAACAGAACUUCAGCCCAACACUAUGAAGUAAGGAUCAAACAGGCAGGACAGUUGGGAGCCAUGAUCAUUUUGACAUAUAGCUUUUCUUAAAUCCAACAAUCAAGCCAACAUGAUCAUUCUAGAAACCUCUCCCGUAAGUAAAAUCAAUCAGUAUUAUCACUAGAAUUAUUGACCUAUUUAGCAUUUAUGGUUUCCUAAUGACCACUAUAAUUAUAAUCAUAAAUUACAUGGAAGCAUAGUAAGUGUAGUUCACUUAUAGAAUCUCCUAGAUGACAACUGGGAUCAAAGCGAGUAGAAUGCAUUGAAGGCUACUACUCAGAUAAGUACUCAUUAGGGUCGCAGGGCUUCAUCGUAGGCUAAAAAUGAAGGAAAAAUGGUCUACAACAUAAAAAUCAAGAGAUAAGAUGUGUAAAGGUGUGGGUUAUUGAGUAUAUACGGAGUGUUCUAUAUAUAGCCAAGAAAAGUGUUGCGCGCCGCACAUAUAUAGGGUCACUUCAUGCAUUAUAGGGGUGUUUGAUCUAGCCUUCUUCUGCCAUGUGUCGCUUUCGGGUUCGUCAACAUCGGUGCUUCUAGAAGCUUUCCAUGUAUCCCAUUUUGAGGUGCCACAUGUCACAAUCUUAUGGGGCCACGUAGCCUUGUUUCCCGAGAGAGUUGGCCUCCCGACCAUGCUACGUGUCGUCUUUGAUGAAACAAUAAUGUAACAACGUAAAUUUUCAGAACAAUUUUUCAUUUUUAACAAAUAAUUACAUUCAUAAUGAAAUCCCAAAAUCCAAUGUUUCACAUAUUAUCCUAAUAAAACAAAUCCCAAGAUCUCAAUACAUAAAAACCCCUCAGUGCGUACGACUCAUGCCGGCGCCUUCCCGCGAUCCUCAUUGGUACUUGAGACACAUAUCACACAUCACAGUAAGCAUAAAUGCUUAGUGAAUUCCCCAAAAUACCACAUACAACACAUACGCCACUCGAGGCUACAUUACGACCCUCCAGUCGAUGUGUCUCAGUGGGACCCUCCCGUCCCAUAGCUCGUUUGACCCUCUGGCCCGGUCAUAGCUUGUCGGACCCUUCGGUCCGGUCUAUAUCGUUGGACCCUUCGAUCCGGUCUAUAUCGUUGGACCCUCCAGUCCGGUCUAUACAACACAUAGCAUACAUAUAAAAACAUCCACAUAAUCUCAUGCAUACACACAACAUACAAGACCCUCCGGUCUACACAUAAAUACCACUUUAGGUAAUGUAUAGUGAGAAGACUCACCUCGGGUAACUCGGAUAAUCUCGGACACGAAUACACUGAUCUAGCCCCCGCCUAAUCAGAUAAAUAGUAUCCUCAAAUAAAUAAUGGCUCUCAAAGGCUAGAUUAAGUCCCUUUCUACAAUUCCACAGAAGGGUAAAAGACCAUUUUACCCCUCCCUGACCCAAAAGUCCAAAUAUUGACCAAAAUCCUAAAAGUCAACGAAAGUCAACAGGGGGCAGUACGUGGUGCGUACCAUCUCUGUACGCGGGGCGUACGCCGACGAUCGAUAAUCGGGGUCUCAACCCCUUACACUGCGCGUUCUGAGAGUUACUGUAAGUCUCAGUUUCAGCUCUUUUUGGAUUUUUGGUCUUAAACGGUUUAGACAUAAACUCAAACUCUAGAUCUGACUUUUCUAAGGCCUAUUAAUCCACAAAGUCGAAACCCUUAAGCCUUUGCAUGGAUGUAAAGGUCCCUAAUCACUCUAACACCUUUCCUCUCUCCUUAUAAAGCAUAGAUCUCAUGCAUGGCUUAAUAUUCACGUCCAAGAUUGGAUUUUUAUGAACAUACAAUUCAUAUUACCAUGAAAUAUAGCAGAUCUAGGCUUAUGGAGACCAUUUGCUCAUAAAGUCUCAAGCUUGGGACCAGAAACCUUAAAAAUUGGUCCAAGAAGCACAAAUCAAAAAUAACAGGGAAAGCUUUGACCUUUUUACCUCGAAAAGAAGCUCCAACCUCUAUAGAACUCGGAUCUACUCUUGUCCACCAACUUCUAGCUCCUAUAUUGGCCUCCUCUUCUCUUUCGCCACCUUGAAAUGACACUUUCAAGCUUAAGAACACACACACAAGCUAAGAACGAAGGGUAGCUCUCUCUUAGGGUUUCACUCUCUAAAAUGGUGGCUGAGGAUAAAGCCAUAACAUUCCUUUUAUAGUGCACAAGCCAUAAUUAGGGUUUACUUCUGGGCCCGCUAUUCCCAGCGUAACCUUGGGUACGCCCAACGUUCCUGGGCGAGUCCGCGUCCAAACUAAGCGCAUGAGUACAUGCAGCGUACCCCUCAAUACGCCCAACGUACUCAAUGGCCAUAGUUUUUCCUUUAGGGACUAAUCUUGACAACUUGGAAAAGAAGAAGGGUUCAAGAGAUGCACCUGAAUUUCAGGAUGUUACAAUUCUUCCCCACUAGGACCAGACUUCACCCUCGAAGUCUCAUGCCGCAAACAACUCUGGAUGCUGGUCCCGCAUUUCAGACUCCGGUUCCUAAGUCAGCUCGGACCCUCUCCGAUGUUGCCACUGGAACUGAACCAGGGGUAUCUCUUUGUUCCUCAGAACCUUAGUCUUUGAAUCUACAAUCACAAUUGGCCUCUCAACAUAAUUCAUGAUCACAUCCACCUGAAUUUCCUGUAAUGGUACCACUUCCAUCUCGUCGGCAAUACACUUCCUCAACUAAUACACGUGGAAGGUAUCAUGUAUCUGGCUCAGCUCCACAGGUAGCUCCAAACGGUACGCUACCCUGCCCACCCUCGUGGUCACCCUGAAUAGACCAAUGUACCUGGGACCCAACUUGCCCCUCUUUCUGAAUCGGAUCACUCCUUUCCAAGGAGACACCUUCAGGAGUACAAAGUCUCCCACUUGAAACUCAAGCUCGGAUCGUCGCCUAUCCACAUAACUCUUCUGGCGACUCUGAGCUGUCAACAACCUCUGCAUGGCCUGCUGUAUUUUCUCAGUCGUCUGAAGCACUAUCUUAGUGCUACCGAUCACGCGCUGCCCUACCUCUCCCCAACAAAUGGGAGUCUAACAUCUUCUCCCAUACAACAACUCGAAGGGAGGCAUACCAAUGCUCGAAUGGUGGCUGUUGUUAUUGGAAAACUCAGCCAAUGGAAAAUAUGUGUCCUAACUGCCUCCGAAGUCCAACACACAUGCUCGACGCAUGUCCUCGAGCAUUUGAAUCGUCCGCUCACUCUGUCCGUCCGUCUGUGGGUGGUAAGCGGUACUGAGAUGCAGCCUCGUGCCCAACUCCUCAUGGAACUUCUUCCAAAACCUGGAAGUGAAACGUACAUCUGGAUCUGACACAAUCAAGAUCGGUACUCCAUGCUGCGAUACAACCUCCCUCACAUACAACUCUGCCAGUCUCUCUGCAGAAGAGCUCUCGCGGUCCUCGGAAAUUUGGUGAUAAGAUCCAUGGAAAUCUGUUCCCACUUCCACUGGGGAUCCUCAAGAGGCUGCAACUUGCCAUGCGGAUGCUGGUGCUCGGCCUUAACCCUGCAAAAGUUCAAGCACCUCUCAACGAACCACGCAACAUCCCUCUUCAUAUAGGGCCACCAAUAGUCUCCCUUAAGUCCAAAUACAUUUUAGUGGCCCCGGGAUGGAUCGAGAAUCUCGACCUGUGCGCCUCCUCCAUCAGAAUGGUACAUGCUCCACCCGAAAAUGGCACCCAAAUCCGACACUGAAAGAUCAUAAGCACACGACUAUCGGUAACGAACUCAGAUACCUGCCCGAUCACCCGCUCUCUCUUGCGGUUUUCCGGUCUCACAGCCUCUUCCUGGGCCUACCGAAUGGUAUCCAACACCGGAGUCAUCACCGUCAACCUCAUACUGUUGGGUUUUGAGCAAUCUAACACUUCCUAAGUGUGCAUGCAACCCUAAUAAACCUUGGAUCUAUGUUUGUCUAAAUACAUGCAAAAUAAUAAUUUUUCCAAGGUUCAUAACCUAUCUAACAUGGCAUGGGGUACUUUUAAACAUAAAAGAAUUAGAUGAGAUUACAUACCUUUUGAUAAUGAGUUCAAUUCCUAAGGAGUUUGAGGGCCAAGCACCAAUAGUGUGAAUGCCUCAAAUGGAAUCACAAAUCACCACAAACUCUUGGAAAACUUUGAGAGAGUGUAUACACACUAUAAAAUCGGCCACACACAAACACACACACUAGUGACACUAGUGGCUAUUUCAUGCAACAUAAGCAUGCUUAUAUAGUGUACAUGAUUAGGGUGAAACCCUAAUAACCCAUGACCUUUCCUUUUCCAAGGAUCCAUGGGUUAAAAGCUCCAUGGAUCAUCCAUGGACUUCCAUAUAAGCCUAGCCCAUUAACAAAUGAGUGUUAGCCCACACCAUAUAAAACCAAUAGCCCAUAAUCUAAUUAGUCUUCCUUUUAAUCUCUAAAUUAAUUCAUAAUUAAUUUAAGACUAAGACUAAUUAAAUAACAUAACUUCAUAUUAAUAUAUUAUAACUUAUAAUAUAUUAAUAAACAUAUGUGUAUAACUCUCAUAAAAUUAUCCAUAAAUAGUUCGGGUGAGAUGCAACCCAAAUGGACCAUGCCGGGUCGGGUCAAGUAUAUACCAAAUAAGUUAUGGACUUAGACACCUUAUCCAACAGACUCCCACUUGGAUAAGUCUAAUAACUAUAUUUGCGUAUGUUACUUCAGGAACCAACCAGCAAUCGUAGCUCUCGAAAACUCUGUUGAACUAUGAAGCGCCAUUUUAGAUAAGUGAUCAUAUAAUCCUCUGUUCUCAUGAUAUCAGCCGGACAAAUACAUGGAACAACGUCGUACUUAUUGUCCAGCAGUUUGUUUCCCGAUUUUCGAUUUGUUUGACAAAGAACUUAAUCGAACACAUCAAUUUAGUUCUGACCGGCCGGUACAUAGGUCACAACAAAAUCAUCGAGGGGCCCAGAUAUCGCUUCUAUUUCUAGAAGGAACAGAUAAACUUCGACUCAUAUGCUUGUUCUACUACUUGUUGAAUUGUACACAAAGGCACGUUUUAUAACAUCAAGUUACUGAUGCGUUUACGUGCAAUCAAUGCACAACCAACUCAUAGGUAACAACUCAUAUCUCUAGGUUUGAAGAUUUAUAUGAUAUUACCGUCUCACGAUCACUCGAGAUAAAUUCCAUGAAGUGAUACAAGUGAGCGUGGGUUUAUUCCAAUACUCAUAACUUAUGAGCACUCAUGAAUGUUGUAGCAACCAUUGCUAUGACUAAACCCAUUUAGCCAUCUACAAACUCGAUUCAUGACAGUCUUGAUUCAUACCUACUUCCAACAUAUGAACGACUGUGGAGUGUUUAAAUAACUUAGUCAUUCGGAAAGAAUAACCUAGCUAUUUUGGAAGUCAAAACAUGCAAAGUGAAACACAAUAAUAAUCGAAUCCAAUAUGGUCUCAGAACCCUUUUGAAUAUAAAUAGAACCACCUUUUAUUUAUCACCAUAUUGAUUACACAUUAUUCAUUGUAUAAUGUUUCAAACAAUCAACUUAAGACUUGAAUAAAAACAACAGUCGUCCCAUGCUCCUAGCAUGUACACUUUGUUUUUCUAAACAAUAGUUAUGCCAUACUCCAAGUAUGCACACUAUGUUUGUCUAUGAUCCUUACAUUGUGAUGUAGAUCAAUUGAACAUGAUUCCAAUGAUACUCAUUUCACAAUCCCAAAUCCUUAUUGUAAAUGUGAGAAUCCCCGAUUCCUAUCAUUUACCAAAAAAACUGUUAGAUUUUAAACUUUUAUGCAAUGUUCCUCUUGUAAUGAUUAUGCACAAAGUCACCAAAACCUUGUCACCAGUCAUUACAGAGUAUUCCAAAGAAGGUCAACUUCUAUGGAACGGAAGUCUCAUAUUCAAAGUACAUUGCUUUGAACAUCCUUCUUGCAUUAAGGUUUUCUAAUCUUACAUAGAUUGAAUAACUUCCACCUAUGGAGACAUUUCCAUAGUCCCAUUUUGACUAUCACUUCCGAACAAGAGUUACUUCUUUUCAGAAUAUGUCAAUAUGGUCCUUUCCGACAACUUACAUCAUACUUCCAACUUUCCCUGAGCAACCAAUCUUUGGCGAACCUCAGAUUGUCCUCGACAAUUGCUUAAUCACUUUAGUCAUAUCCAGUUCUAGACUUUUCCCUUCUCAAUGCCUUAAGCAUUUGGAAAAUUUAGAAAAGAUGAAUAUUAUAGCACAUGCAAUCGAUCCUAUAUCCGAAGCAUAUGGGACACGAUUCAUGAUGUUUGACAUAAAGACAUGAUACUAGACCAGUCUUUUGCUACAAUAUUUUUUAUUUGCCAUGUUUUCAAAAUUUAACUAUGAAGAGGGAUGCCGUAAUCAUAAUCGAAUUUUGAAAACGCAAUAUAUAUAGAAUUUCUUCAAGUUGAACCAUUCCAACAUAAAAUUCAUAUAUAUAUUCUUGACUAAAGAUGAUUAAAAUCUCAAUCUAAGCUUUAGAAUUGAAAUGAAGUAUAAUUUCCUCUCCCUUAAUUAUAGCAAAACAACUUUUCAACCCCUGCAACUUCACGAAUUGAAACUUUGUUUUCUAUAAUUAACAUUGCUAACUUGCAACACUAAACGUAAUAAUCAUGCUCCCACUAACAUGAUGAUUAUCAGCAUAACACUUAUGCUCCCACUAGCUCUGACAUAUUUCCAGAAAUCUGCUGGACUUCUGAAAUUUAGAUUCAUACACCCUUUCUUAGAUAGCUCACAUGUGUGUCUAAACAAUUUUCAGAACUAUGAAAAGGGAUGCCGUAAUCAUAGUCUCAAUUGCUUAGGCAUUUGCCAUUUCUCACAAGUCCAUGUUAGUGUGCCGGUUAACCACACGCGCUCCACUAACGACUUUUGAAAAUGCAAAUAACACAAUUGAUAUCUACGUAAAAUCUACUUAGUGAAAGCGUUUCCUCACCAUCAUUUUCAUGAAUCGGAGAGAAACCUUAUGACACUUAGAUUUUAUAGUGUAUGAGUUCCUAUCCAUGUGAAUUUGUCAAAACCAUAAUCACAAGAUAAGGUUAGUGACAAAUUCAGCCUUACAUGGAUUAAACUUGUUCAAUCUUAGUUUCUUGUCACCUUGGUAGCACAAGGCCCACCAAUGCUUCCAAGUUGAACUCUGAUAACUCACAUGCAAAUUCAACUUAUUUGAAGUAGGUACAGAAAUAAGAAUUAUGUCAACACGAUAGGUUGCAAACCUUAAGUCGUGUGCUAGUGAUAAAUUACAGGUUUUACUCUUGAUUAAAUCUUGAAACUCUUUCAGGAUCUUUAAGGCUCCCACUGUCCCCUUGACAUAUAAGUUUCCCCAGUCAAGAACCAUUCCUUGACAAAACAAAUAUUCAAGGGAUAGUGCGGAUUCUUAUCAAGACUAACACUUCACACAAUUGGUCUUAGUUGGUCUUUGUCUCAUCCAAGACAUCACAACUUACCAAUCUCAAAUGUACAAGAGUAGAAAACAUUUUACUCUUACAUUUGACUAGUGUUAAUAAAUCUUCCUUUAUGUCACUCAAAGUUACAAUCUUGGAGUAUGACUCUAAGAAUUGUUUUGGAACGAAGUAUGACUCAUCUUCUUGAUUUUAACCAAUCCAACAAUUCAUGACCUCUCUUCUUAGCCAUAACAAUGCACUAAGACGUCCUUAGAGUAUGAAUUUGUGAUAUGGUUUCAUAAUCAUUAAGAUGAUCAUGAAAUACGAUACUAAAGUACUCUCCCAUCCUUUCAGAUUUGAGAAACUUUUAUCUUUCUGCCUAAUUUGAUUCUUCUCAUUUGUUUUGUCAUACAUUGUAACCUUUCCAAUGUUACAGAAUUAUACUUAACCUCAUAAGUAUAAUCAUAUUUACUAAUCUUUAGUAAAUCAUGACAAAUCAAUCUUUGUGGUGGACCUUGACCAGCGCACACCCAGUGUACCUAAUUCCUUAGUCCUUCAAUUGACUCACAUAUACAUGUGAUCAAAGAAUUAGUCUUAAUUUUCAAAGAUGAAAAUUCUCAUUCAUCAUACAAUACAACUUGUAUGAUUCCAAGUUUCUGUCCAAUUGAAACUUGGGUGAUGAAAAACUUUCUUCAUUUGGUAAAUUCAGACACUACCACAAAUGAAAGAAUCAAAUCCACUUUCCAAUAUUGCUAUUACUGGAAACAUAUAAGCAACAAUUUUCCACAGAUGCCAUUGUAAGGAUAUUUUUAAAAUAAAUAAAAUUAAAACCCUUUUUUUUUUUUUUUUUAAAACUUUGCGGAAAAACUUAUCCUUACAAUCCACAUGAAAACCUUGUUGUUAUCUAUUCAUAAGCAAUAUAUUAUAACUCUUAAGCAACAGCUCAAAAUUCUGAUUACCGAACCAUGCGAUCGAAACCCACCUUCGCAAUCAGAAUCAACAUAUACUUACUUUAAGCUUCCUAUCUUUUCUUUGAUUCUUAAAAACAUCAGCAUGUGACCCAUUCACAUUAUGUAAUAAGAAUCUCCAAAUAGGAACUUAAUAGAGUUAGACAGUGGACUUUACCCGAAGUAGAGUCAAACCUCUUGACUUGAUCAACCUUAUGACCUUUCAGGUGAAUAGGGCAGCUUCGCAACCAAUGCCCCUUCCUUUGGCAACAAAACACAUGGACCCUUUGGUAAUGGCACAUGAGACUAUCUCAGACUUAGCCUUUCUCUUUACCAUUUGGUCAACCGAGUUGACUAUGGCCGAUCCCUUUCCAUUGGGAAGAGAAAUCCUUUUCUAGAUAUCCAAUGCUACCAUUGUCAAUGUCCAUUUAAGACUUGGGAAGUUGUUCUUUUAAUCAAAUUUGCUUUACUGGUGUUCCAAAUCAUUGCUGAUUCCACAACACCAAGCAAAUAGAUAACAUCAUUAAGGGUCAUGUCAUAGUCUGUCUCAUAGUAGUCCCAAAGAGACUCACUAUGUUACUAAGAAAGUGAUUGAACAUCCAACUUUCACGAGACUUUGACACCCAACUCUCCCGGCUUGUCAAUAUGUGACUUUAUCUCCAAGAUGUGAGCACACAUAGACUAUGCUUGCCAAUAGGGAUUGAGUGACUUUAAACUUUUCAAGAACUUGUGGGUGAGGGAGAAUAAUUGGAGGAGGUGGAGGAAGUGAAGCAUGAUGUUGAGGGACACCAUCUUCAAGAGAUUUGGGAAGAUCAUAGUUGUCUGAACCAGACAUCUAUAAUGGGAGAAAAUCAAGUUAGUUGAUUCAAAGUCCUUAAUAUAACACCCAAUAUGAAAUAUUAAGGCUAGGACCCAACACAAUAUUUUAUAAUUUGGAAGAGGGAUGCCGUAAUCCAAGCUAUAAAAUAUUUGAAGGUAGGCGAAUGACGAUUCACCAAUUUCCACCAUGAAAAACGAAAUAAUUUAUUAGGUUUUAAUUGGAUUUGAAAUUCCUAGAUCUUUUGAGAUUCAUUGAACUUUUCAAUGGCAUGUUUCAAUCUCGAGUGUGCCCUCUCAAAUUUUGUGACUGGGAUGCCGAGGAUCACAAAACAAGGUGUGAAUAACCAUACCAAUUCACUUGGUACCCUUAAUAUUAUCACCUAAUCAAUGUGCCGGUUAACCACACACGCUCCAUUGAUCUAUGACAAACAUUAAGUCACCCUUCGUGAUCCUUACUAGUCCAAGUUAGUGUGCCGGUUAACCACACACGCUCCACCAACGACUUGGUAAGGUACAAAGUGUGAAUUCCAUGGGCUAGCACCAAAUUCACAUUUUUCCUAAAGUAACUAAGAUUGGGAAUUAAAUAAAAAAUUUUUAGUUACUUUAUAAUAAUCAUUAUACUUUUAAUGAGAAUUUAAAGUCAUUGUCCUACCCGUUCGGCUAACGACCCUCCACCGAUCAAGCAAGCGGUGGGUGAGAGUGGACACCCAUUAAGUCGCCAUUUUAUAGGCAACAACCUUAUACCCACCUUAUAGACCGGCUUCGUGAAUGAGGCCUACUAACGGUAAAACGACUUGUUCUUAUACAUAUAUAUAAUAAUUAACCAUUAAUGUUAUAAAUAGUAUAAGUGUUGAAUUUUAACUUUUAAAAUUCUAAGUGUUGGAAUUAAAGUUUAUUAAAGUGUGUGAAACUUUUCCAAAUUCCAAAACUUGAGGGCAAGUUUUGAAACUAUUCAAAACUAAUUAAUUCCAUGAUUUAUGUGUUUAAAGUAGUUUUUAUCCAAAAACUCUUCAUGUUCCAUAACUUGAAUUACUUUUCUUUAUUUUUAUAACUUAUGGAAUUAAUUAAGGUUACACUUUAUUUAUAUAUUUAUUAAUGAAGUGACUCUUGAACCUCCAUAACUUAAGGACAAGACUCUUCAUCUUUUGUAACCAUCCAAGACUUUUCAUUUCAUAACUUAUGAAUUAAAGGUUCAUAAAAAUGAAGACUCUUCAUUUUCAUGUAACUUAUGUGUUUUAAGUGUGUGUUAAAUAAAAGUGACCUUUGGAUAUCCAUAACUUGAGGACAAAUUAUGGACUCCAUUAAAACACAUAAAUGAUCAAGAAUUAAUUCUAAACAAUUCAGCAAAUAAUUCCUAUCAUCUUCUAAAUUCAUAAGAACAUGAACAUGAUCAUCAAAAUUUCAAGAAUUAUAUGAACACAUAAAAUCAUGGAAUUUUGAUAUAUGCUAUUGUAAAUGGAUUAGAACAACCAUUACACCAACUAAAACAAGUUUUAAAACACCAAAACAGUUUAGGGUAAUGUUUCUAGUCCAUUUCCAGCAGCAAAAGUCGAAAUUCUGCAUUCUGAUCAUUCUACUCGCCGAGUGCACGAACCUACUCGCCGAGUAGGAUGAAUUUUGCCUUGAACUCGGCGAGUCCCCCCAUGGACUCGGCGAGUCCAUCAGCCAGACAGCAACAAUUUCAACUUUUUUCACUAUUUUGCAUCAAGUAUCAAACAAGCAAGCCUAGGCUCUGAUACCACUGUUGGGUUUUGAGCAAUCUAACACUUCCUAAGUGUGCAUGCAACCCUAAUAAACCUUGGAUCUAUGUUUGUCUAAAUACAUGCAAAAUAAUAAUUUUCCAAGGUUCAUAACCUAUCUAACAUGGCAUGGGGAACUUUUAAACAUAAAAGAAUUAGAUGAGAUUACAUACCUUUUGAUGAUGAGUUCAAUUCCUAAGGAGUUUGAGGGCCAAGCACCAAUAGUGUGAAUGCCUCAAAUGGAAUCACAAAUCACCACAAACUCUUGGAAAACUUUGAGAGAGUGUAUACACACUUAUAAAAUCGGCCACACACACAAACACAUACUCUAGUGACACUAGUGGCUAUUUCAUGCAACAUAAGCAUGCUUAUAUAGUGUACAUGAUUAGGGUGAAACCCUAAUAACCCAUGACCUUUCCUUUUCCAAGGAUCCAUGGGUUAAAAGCUCCAUGGAUCAUCCAUGGACUUCCAUACAAGCCUAGCCCAUUAACAAAUGAGUGUUAGCCCACACUAUAUAAAACCAAUAGCCCAUAAUCUAAUUAGUCUUCCUUUUAAUCUCUAAAUUAAUUCAUAAUUAAUUUAAGACUAAUACUAAUUAAAUAACAUAACUUCAUAUUAAUAUAUUAUAACUUAUAAUAUAUUAAAAAACAUAUGUGUAUAACUCUCAUAAAAUUAUCCAUAAAUAGUUCGGGUGAGAUGCAACCCAAAUGGACCAUGCCGGGUCGAGUCAAGUAUAUACCAAAUAAGUUAUGGACUUAGACACCUUAUCCAACACAUACAAACAUCUUGUAUCGGGGCACUCUCCGCCCUACGGCUUAGGGCAUCGACUACAACGUUAGCCUUGCCCGGGUGGUACAGGAUCUCACAAUCAUAAUCCUUUACCACAUCUAACCAUCUCCUCUGGCACAUAUUCAGGCUGGUCUGAUCCAUCAAAUACUUCAAGCUCUUGUGGUCCGUGUAUAUGGUACACUGAACCCUAUACAAGUAGUGAUGCCAGAUCUUGAGGGAGAACACCACUCCCCCCAACUCUAGAUCGUGGGUGGGAUACCUCGUCUCAUGAGACUUCAGCUGCCUCGAUACCUAUGCUAUCACGUGCCCCCUCUGCAUCAGCACCGCACCCAACCCCGAUAUCGAUGCGUCAUAAUACACCACAAAAACCUCCAUCCCCUCCGGAAUGGAUAACACCGGGGCUUCACAUAAUCUAUGGAGAAUUGUCUCAAAUGAGACAUACUACUCAGGACCCUAACUAAAAGCCACGCCCUUCCGGGUCAACCUGGUGAAAGGAACAGCAAUCUUGGAGAAAUCCCUGAUAAAUCUCCGAUAGUAGCCGGCCAGUCCCAGAAAACUGCUGAUCUCGGUUGGGGAUCUCGAGACCUCCCAUCUCAUCAAAGUCUCAAUCUUGGCCGAGUCGACCAAUAUCCCAUUAUGAUUAACAAGAUGCUCCAAGAACUGGACCUCCCGAAACUAGAAAUCACACUUGGAGAAUUUGGCGAAAAGCCUCUCUAACCUCAAUAAUCCAAGAAUCUCUCUCAGAUGCUCCUCAUGCUGCUCUCUAGAUCUCGAAUAUACCAGAAUAUCAUCGUUGAACACAAUCCCCGAUCGAUCCAACAUCGGCCUACACACCCUGUUCAUAAGAUCCAUGAACGCUUCUGGUGCAUUGGUGAGCCCAAAAGGCAUCACCACGAACUCUUAAUGCCCAUAACGAGUCCUGAACGCCGUCUUCUGGAUAUCUUCAUCCCUCACUCUCAUCUGAUGAUAUCCAGACCUCAAAUCUAUCUUGGAGAACCAAUCCACUCCCUGCAACUGAUCGAACAGAUCAUCGAUCCUUGGUAAUGGAUAACGGUUCUUGACCGUCAACUUGUUCAACUCCCGGUAAUCAAUGCACAUCCGGUGUGAACCAUCCUUUUUCUUGACAAAAAGGAUCGGCGCUCCGCACGGCGAGCUAUUCGGUCUAAUAAACCCCUUUCCCAGCAGCUCUUGAAGCUGCAAGGGUAACUCCUGCAUCUAUGGCGGCACAAGGCGAUAAGGUGCCUAGGCGAUAGGCGCUGCCCCCGGAACCAAAUCGAUGCGGAACUCCACCUGCCUCUCGGGAGGCACACCCGACAACUCCUCGGGGAAAACAUCCGGGAACUCACGCACUAUCGGAACAUCAUCAAUCGAACUCGGCAUCUCCGCGGCCACUCGUGUAUCCAUCACAUAAGCUACAAACCCGCUGCAACCCUGCUGUAAACUCUAUCUCGCUCUAGCAGCCAAACAAAAUGAUGACCCACAUCGGAUACCCUCGCCAUAUACCAUCAGCUGCCGCUCGCAGUCUAUCACCGCCCCAAAUCGACUCAACCAAUCCAUGCCCACUAUAACGCAAACGUCCCCCAUUGCAAUCAGGACUAGAUCUAUCGAAAACUCCAUGCCGAAGAUCUGAAGUAUACAUCCUUGAAUCACAUCAGUAGCAUACACCGCUCGCUCGUCAGCUAAGGAAACUCGUAGAGGUCGACUCAACGCCUCUCGUCGGAUACUGAUGUGCUGACUAAACACUAAUGACACAAAUGAUCGACUCGCACCCGAGUCAAAUAACACCAAAGCAGGUACAGAGCUCACAAGAAAAGUACCUACGCAUAUCAUAAUAUAAGCAUAAUAUCUCAACUCAAUAUAAAUAAAUGAAAGAAUACAUACCAACCACGACAUCGGGCGCUGCGCGGAUCUCCUCUGCUGUCAACUGGAAGGCUCUCCAGCGAGCCUUCGAUGCCUCGGCCUUUGCUGGCCGGAUCUCAGUAGCUCGGACAGCAGGUGCAGAUCCCUGUGUCGAUCCCUGCAGCAGCUGUGAGCAUUCGGCCAUCCGAUGGCCGGUCUGGUUGCAAUGAAAGCAAACCUAGAAACCCUUGGGGCAAGCCCUCGCAUAAUGCCCCUCCUUCGCACACUUGUAACAUACCCCAGCUCUGCACAACCCCUCAUGGAUCUUGUCGCACUUCUCACAAGUGCGUCCCUUCGGACUCCAAGAUCUCGAAUCAGCGGGCUUUUCCUGCUUGGCUACCGGCAGUGCCUAUGCCGGUCGCAUGUCCGUCCUCUGAGACUCGACCUCCUCCCGGACCCUAGUCUUCAGCUCAAUCUCCUUCUUCCGGGCAUUUGCCUGGAGCUCAGCAAAUGUCCGGUAUGAUGAGUUCACCACGAACUCACGAAUAUCCCUCCUCAGUAUGCUCAAGUACUGGCUCAUACGUGCCUGCUCAGUAGACACGUGCUCAGGGAAAAACAACGCCCUCUCAUGAAACAUCCUCGUAAUCACCGUCAUAGACUCAGUUCCCCCGAUUGAGAGACAAGAACUCCUAGCCUAGACCUUCCCUCUCCACAUGGGAACAUACUCAUCUCGAAACAUCACGAUGAACCUCUCCCAGUUCACCGCGGUAAGCUCUGCAGUAGUGAAGUCCGCCGUCACAAACUUCCACCAAUCCUUCGACCCCAAGCGAAGCUGAUUCAGUGAAAACCGAAGCCUCAGAUGCUCUGGACACAAGCUGGUGUAGAAGCAUCCCUCGAUAUCAGAAAUCCAUCUCAUCGUAUCAUUCGGAUCUUGCAUCCCAUCAAACUCUAGUGGCUUCGUGUUGCUGAACUCUUGGAACAGCAACGAGUUACCCCCUGAGGUCUAGCAGCACCCACAGCUGCAUCAGCCAUAGCCUCAGUAACCGCUGUGUAUCUCUCAUUGAACGUAUCAAUCAAUGUGGUCUUGAUAGACCCAAACAUCUCCGGAAUCUCUACGCGGAUAGCCGCAUCCACCUCAUCGUGGAUCAUCUGACAAAGCUCCUCGUCAUUCACACCGCUGGUCCCUGGUCUGGGGCGCGUCCCAACCAUGAUUCCUAUGACAUUACAACAUAAGGAAUAUUAGAGACUCGCUCGAGCAUACUCGCACUGUGACAACCCAAAAAUUUCCACUUCAAUAGAAGCCAAGUCUGUUACUGCUAACUUUCAAACUUUUGGGACAAGUUUGAGCAACUCAGGAUUUACACUUAAGGAGAUAUCAGGAGAGAGGUUGCACUUGGGUCUUGUGCAAUUCUAUUAUUCCAAAACUCUAUGAUAUUAGAGUUCUUUCCCGGAAUAAAAUAUUUUCUGCCAAAAAUCCCAGGACUAUAUAUAGAAUUUUGAACCAAAUUAUUCAUUAGUUACAAUUCCAACUAGAGAAAAGCCAAAUUCCCUCUCAAGGAUCUUCAGAAUUUUGUUCCGGAAAGUGAGUACUUCUAUCUAGUGUUGUUUUAAAGCUUUAUAUAUGCUUAAUACACUUUAAAUCAUAGGAAAACACCAAGAUCUGUGAGUUUAUCGCCCAAGAACACCUUGGGGAGUAAACUCCAUUUCAAGGGCCAAAGUGUGCCCAAUGACUCCAUUUCAUGGGACAAAACUUGACAUGUUUAGGCAUCAAAACCAAUUAAAAUCAAGGACCAAAAGUGAGUUCACGGCCAAGGAAGUUCUUGGGCCGUGAACUCCAGUUUAGUGUGCCAAAAUGCCCUAAAUGCCUUCCAUAACCCAAGAGACAAGCAUAGAACUUUACCUAGAUGUGAUUAGGACCCAAAACAACCAAAAUAUCAUCUCCCAUAAGUGUUUACGGCCUCAAACACAUGACCAAAUGGUCCAUGGGCCGUAAACUCAAGAUAGAGGUGUUUUGAUGCCACAAACACUUCCAAGGGCUUAGGUAUGAAUUUAGAAUGCUUCUUUAUGACCUUUAGGACCCUCAUAAGAAUAUUUGGCCAUGAGUUUACGGUUGUAAACUCAUUUGGGCCGUGAACACCUCAAAAUCUCCAAAGAAGGUGGUAUUUCUCACCCUAGGCUAGAGUUAAUGUCCCUAAAUAAUUCCCUAGACUUCAAACUAGCAAUAACCCAUGAGUAACCAUGAGUUUACGGCCGUAAACUCCCUUGGGCCGUGAACUCAUGGUAGUAAACUCAUAUAAGUGCCUUUAUACCCUCCUAGGUUGAAUCACAUGUGAUUCCAACACUUGGUUAAGGUGAUUCCUAGUCCCGGAAGGUGUUUCCUAGUCCCGGAAGGUGUUUCCUUUCAUAUAGUUGUUUAUAAACACUAUAUUCAUGUAAUUAUGUGUCCUUAAAUAUCAUUUAGGACUUAUUGUGUCUCGGAACUUCAUUCGUGGAACUUCUCAUCCGUACGCGCAUACCCGUUUGAAUCACCCACGUCAGGUGAGUUCAUACCCCGUAAUGAAUCUUUUAACUAUUUUAAUUGUUUUAAGGGGGGAAUAUGUUGGAUAAGGUGUCUAAGUCCAUAACUAUUUCGGGCUUGUACUUGACCCGACCCGGCAUGGUCCAUUUGGGUUGCAUGGCACCAUGCAAUUGGAUAGACUAAAUGAGAGAAAUAACACUUGGAGAUUAUUAAUAUAUUAUAAGUUCUAAUAUAUUAAUAAUAUUAUUUGAUUAGUUGAUCAAAGAAUUAAUUUGGAAUUAAUUAAGUGAUCAAAGGAUAACUAAUUAAAUAUAUGGGUUGAUUAUGUAAAUCAUCCAUAUCUUGUAUAGUGGGCUAAGAGGCUCCAUGGAUUAUCAAGUUGGGUUCUACCCAUAGGAUGCUCCAUGGAUGCUCCAUGGGAGUUACAAACCCAUGGGUCAUGGAAAUGAAGAGUCAUGACACAUUAGGGUUUACAUGGUGUAACCCUAGAUGUGUCAACACUAUAUAAGAAGCAUAUUCUCCACCAAAAUUCGGCACUACUAAGGAACUAGAGGGCUUGGCCGAUUUUGAGAAGUGUGUGUUAUCUCAAGAGUCUUUCCAAGAGCAUUUGGUGUUGUGUGAAGCAUUUGAGGCAUCACACUUGGGGUGCUAGGCUCACAAGGUUUCAAGGAACACAAGCAACAACAAGGUAAGUUAUUCUAUCUAUGAUUCAAGUUAAAAUUGUUCCCCAUGUAUGCUAGAUAGGAAUAUAACCUUGGAAUUCAACUUUGCAUGAUAAUUAGACAAACAUAGAUCCAAGGUUAUUAGGGUUGCAUGUACACUUAGGAAGUGUUAGAAUGCUCAAAACCCAUCAGUGGUAUCAGAGCCUAGGCUUGUUUGUUUGUUAUUUGUGCUUAAAAGUUGAAGAAAGUCGAAAAUCUUGCUGUCUGACUGAUGGACUCGGCGAGUCCAUGGGGAGGACUCGACGAGUUCAUGUGUAUCUUCAACCUACUCGGCGAGUAGGUUUAUGCACUCGGCGAGUAGGGUCGACAGAGUGCAGAAUUUCGACUUGUGUUGCUGGAAAUGGAUUAGAAUCAUUACCCUAAAAUGUUUUGGUACUUGAAAACUUAUUUUAGAAGGUGUAAUGUCUUUUCUAACUCAUUUACAACAACUAGUUAUCAAAAUUACAAAGAUUAAAUGUGAUUUUGAUUCUUGAAAGUGUUCAUAUUCAUAUUCUUGUUCUUAUGAUGUUUAGAUGAUCAUAGGAAUUAUUUGUAACCUAUGUGGUAGAUUAAUUCAUGAUCAUAAUGUGUUUUAAUGGAGUCCAUAACUUGUCCUCAAGUUAUGGAAAACCAAAAGUCUCUUGGAUUAAAAAACAUUAAAAGAACACAAGAGUUAGGAAAAAUGAAAAGUCCUCAUUUUAUUACUCUAUUAAACUCAUAAGUUACAAGAAAUGAAAAGUUUUGAAAGUUUACAAAACUUGCCCUCAAGUUUUGGAACAAGUAAAGUUAAGUUAAAACUUUAGUUCCAACCCCUAGAAUUUUAAAAGUUAAAAUUCAACCCUUAUACUUAUAUUAUUAUGAUUUAAUAAUUAUAUAUAUAUGUAUAAGAACAAAGUCGUCUUACCGCUAGUACGCCUCAUUCACGAAGCCGGUCUAUAAGGUGGGUAUAAGGUUGUUGCCUAUAAAAUGGUGACUUAAUGGGUGUCCACUCUCACCCACCGCUUGCUUGAUCGGUGGAGGGUCGUUAGCCGAACGGGUAAGACAAGGACUUAUUAAUUCUCAUUCAAAGUAUGAUGAAUAUUAUAAAGUAACUAAAUGUUUUAUUAAAUUCCCAAUCUUAGUUACUUUAGGAAAAAUGUGAAUAAGGUGCUAUUCCAUGAAAUUACACUUUACACUUUGAUUAAGUCGUUGGUGGAGCGUGUGUGGUUAACCGGCACACUAACUUGGACUUAACAAGGUAGGUAAAGGGUGACUUAGGGUUUAUUAUAGUAUCGAUGGAGCGUGUGUGGUUAACCGGCACAUCGAUUGAGUGAUAAACUUUAAGGGUACCAAGUGAUUUGCAUGGUUACUUCACACCUCGUUUUGUGAUCCUCGGUAUCCCAGUCACAAAACUUGGAGGGCACACUCGAGAUUGAAACAUGCCUUUGAAAAGUUCAUUGAAUCUCAAAGAAUCUAGGAAUUUCUAAGAACCAUUCAAAAACCUAAUACUAAAAUAUUGCGGUUUUCGUGGUGGAAAUUGGUGAAUCGUCAUUCACCUACCUUUCAAAUAUGAUAUAGCUUAGAUUACGGCAUACCUCUUCUAAGUUAUAUUAUAUUGUGAUUGGAUCCUAGCCUUAAUAUUACAUUUGGGUGUUUUAUUAAGGACUCUCUUAUAUCUAAACUAAUCUUGUCCUCUUUCCUUCAGAUGUCUUUCAACAAUGCUUCUGGCUCUAAUCCUAAUGGCUCCUUUACCCUUAUGAACUUGUGUGGGAAAGUCACCUUUGAUGGAUCCAACUUCAAUGAGUGGAUCAGAAACAUCAGGAUGAUUACCCGCUACGAGGACAAAGAAUAUGUCCUUGACAAGGAGCUUAAGGAGAUUGAUGAGUCCACUGCAACUCCUCAGGAGAUCGCUGAAUUUCGGGCACAUGAAAGGGAUGCUACGAAAGUGGCUUGCAUCAUGAUGGCCACGAUGACAGCGGAACUCCAAAAGUCUUAUGAGGAUUUCUACCCUUAUGAAAUGCACCAAGAUUUGAUGGAAAGAUACCAUCAAAGUGCAAGACAAGAGAGGUAUGAAAUCAUCUGCUCCAUGAUAACAACCAUGAUGAAGGACGGGGAAUCCGUCACGAGCCACAUGCAGAAAAUGCAAAGGUAUGUGGAUCGUUUGCUGAAGCUUAAUGUGAACUUCCCGGAGGAUCUUGCAAUAGAUAUUAUUUUGCAUUCCUUACCAUCGUGCUAUGAUCAAUUCCGCAUGACAUAUCACAUGAACAAGGAAGAAGUCACCCUCAGCAAACUUCAGGGACUUCUCAAGACCGCAGAAUCAGGUCUUAAGGGGAAGUCGGUUGCUAUCACUCCUACUCAAAACUCUACUCCGGUUUUGGCAAUCGGGAAAAGUCGAGGGAGGAAGAGAAAGAGCUCUUCUAAGGGUACCAAGGUUCGGACCCUUGAUGGCUCUUCUUCAAGUGGAACCAAGAAAGGUUUCAUUACUCCUUCUUCUGACCCAAAAGAGGCUGAAUGCUUCUAUUGCCAUGAAAAAGCUCAUUGGAAGCGGAACUGCCCAAAAUACCAGCAAGAUGUGAAGGAUGGGAAAGUUAAACCCAACCAUGCAGGUAUUUACACUAUCAUUUCUAAUAACUCACCCCAUUCUAAUUCUUGGGUCCUUGAUACCGGGUGUGGUAUUCACAUUUGUUGUGACUUGCAGGGACUAAGAAGAAGUGAGGAUGUGGAGCAAGGAAGGAUAAACUUGAUCAUGGGGAAUAGGAAAGCUAUACCUGUUACCAAGAUUGGAGUUUAUACUUUAUCGCUAAGUAGUGGGUUUAGUUUAGAUUUGAAUAAGUGUUGUUAUUCGCCAGGAAUGGCAAGAAAUAUUAUUUCCUUUCAUGCUUUGUACAAACAAGGGUUUACCUUUUCAUUUAAUAAUGAAGUUGGUUCUAUAGAUGUUUUCUAUAAUAAUGUCUUUUAUUUUAAAGCAUUACCUUGUGAUGGUGUGUAUGAAGCUGUAUCUGUUGUAGAUAACUUGGGAAAUAAUGUUUUGUGUAUUGAUUCUACUAAUAAUAACUUGGAUAAAGCAUCUUUAUGGCAUUGUCGUCUUGGACAUAUAAGCAAGAAACGCAUAGGCCAACUCCAAAAGGAUGGAGUCUUGGAGUCGUUUGACCUAAAGUCAGAUGAUAGUUGCGAAUCAUGCUUACUUGGAAAAAUGACAAAGUCACCCUUCACAGGUUCGUGUGAGAGGGGUGAAGGUUUGUUGGACCUUAUACACACGGAUGUGUGUGGACCAUUCAAACAUGCCACAAGGGAUGCUAAUCGUUAUUAUUUGACUUUUACUGAUGAUUAUAGUAGAUAUGGAUAUGUCUACUUGAUCAAGCAUAAGUCAGAGACUUUCGAGAGGUUUAAGGAAUUUAAACAGGAAGUCGAGAAUCAAUUGGGCAGGAACAUUAAGAUGCUUCGAUCCGAUCGUGGUGGUGAGUAUCUUAGUUCAGAGUUCCUCGACUAUCUAAGGGAAUGUGGGAUAGUCUCACAAUUGACACCUCCCAGGACACCACAGUUGAAUGGUGUGGCUGAGAGGCGUAAUCGAACCUUGUUAGAUAUGGUUCGUUCCAUGAUGAGUCGAGCUACGCUACCAAUCUCAUUCUGGGGGUAUGCCUUAGAGACUGCCGCCCAUAUUCUUAAUCUAGUCCCUACAAAGAAAGUUGCCAAAACUCCUCACGAGAUGUGGACUGGUAAAGUACCUAAACUAGACCACAUCAAGAUUUGGGGUUGCGAGGCUUUCGUGAGACGCGAGACUCAUGAUAAGCUCGAACCUCGAAGCGAGAGGUGUAUUUUCAUCGGUUACCCACAGCGAUCCUUUGGUUACCUCUUCUACAGACCUAGUGACAAUGUGGUCUUUGUAGCAAGAAGAGGAGUCUUUCGAGAAAGAGAGUUUAUAAGCCAAGGAGACAGUGGGAGGCAAAUUGAUCUUGAAGAAAUUCAAGAAUCAAGCGGUGAAGGAACUUCAAACUCUAGCCCUCAACUUGAGGAGGAAACUCCUGUUGAGCCAAUUGACAAAUCUGUACCUCUGAGACGUUCCACGAGAGUUAGGAGUGCACCUGAGCAUUACUAUGGAUUCCAUAUUACUGCAGAAGGUGAGACACUUAUUAGUGAUGAGACACUAGUAAGUCAAGAUGACCCUAACAGCUACGAGGAAGCCAUGGCAGGCCCCGAGUCUGCUAAAUGGAAAGAGGCUAUGGAUAGCGAGAUACAAUCCAUGUAUGACAAUCAAGUUUGGAACUUGGUUGAAAAUGUACCAGGUCGUAAGACAGUAGGGUGCAAAUGGGUCUUCAAGAAGAAGACCGACAUGGAUGGUAAAGUACACACUUAUAAGGCUAGACUGGUUGCAAAGGGCUUCUCUCAAAUUCCUGGAGUGGAUUAUGAUGAGACCUUUUCUCCGGUAGCCAAGAUUAAGUCUAUUCGGGUUCUGUUAGCCAUAGCUGCAUUUCAUGACUAUGAAAUAUGGCAGAUGGAUGUCAAAACCGCUUUCCUUAAUGGAAAGUUGGCUGAAGAUGUUUACAUGAGUCAGCCAGAGGGUUUUGUCAGCAACGAGUACCCUAAUAGAGUGUGUAAGCUUGAGAAAUCCAUUUAUGGAUUGAAGCAAGCACCUCGCAGAUGGAAUCUUUGCUUUGAUGAAAAGGUCAAGGAAUUUGGCUUUUCUAGGAGUGAAGAUGAAUCUUGUGUGUAUGUCAAGGCUAGUGGGAGUAUAGUUAGCUUUUUGGUAUUGUAUGUGGAUGACAUACUACUCAUAGGAAACGACAUUCCAACCCUGCAGGAAGUAAAGUCCUGGCUUGGGAAGUGUUUCGCUAUGAAGGACCUUGGUGAAGCUGCCUAUAUUCUAGGGAUAAGAAUCUUGAGAGAUCGGAGUAAAAGACUAAUUGGACUUAGUCAGAGUACCUACUUGGAUAAGGUGCUGAAGAGAUUCAGCAUGCAGGAUUCCAAGAAAGGAGAGUUACCCAUCCAGAGUAACACCAGAUUGAGUAAGACACAAAGCCCUAGCACUGAGGCUGAGAUAGCAGAAAUGAGUCGAACACCUUACGCUUCGGCUGUAGGAUCGAUCAUGUAUGCUAUGACGUGUACUCGACCCGAUGUAGCUUUUGCCUUGAGCAUGGUUAGCAGGUAUCAGGCGAACCCUGGCAAGGCACACUGGACUGCGGUAAAGAAUAUCCUCAAGUACCUACGGAGGACUAAGGACUGGGUCCUUACCCUCGGUGGGAGUGAUGACUUGAGAGUUGUAGGGUAUAGUGAUGCUAGCUUCCAGACUGAUAGGGAUAAUUUCCGCUCUCAGUCGGGCUGGGUCUUUACCCUAAACGGAGGAGCAAUUUCUUGGAAGAGUUCCAAGCAAGAGACAGUGGCAGAUUCUACUUGUGAAUCAGAGUAUAUUGCAGCUAGCGAAGCAGCAAAGGAGGCGAUAUGGCUGAAGAACUUCAUUGGAGACCUUGGAGUUGUACCAGCUAUUAAAGAGCCAAUGGAAAUUUUCUGUGAUAGUGAAAGUGCUGUUGCCUUAGCCAAGGAACCAAGGGAUCAUGGGAGAUCCAGACACAUCGACAGAAAAUACCAUUUCAUUAGACAUCGGAUCGAAGAAGGACUCCUCGUGGCAAAGAGGGUAUCAUCGGAUGAGAACCCAGCAGAUCCCCUCACGAAGGGACUGAGUAGGGUUAAGCAUCUCCAGCAUGCUCGGAGCAUAGGGCUGAAGGAUGAUAUAAGUUUUAGUAGUUAGAUAACCCAGAAAUUUGUAAAGUGUAAUUGACAUUUGAUGAUGAAUAAAAGGUGUUUUAUUUAUGAGUAAAGUGUUGCUAUCUCUUGUCAAUCGUUUACUAUAUUUCUUUUGCAUGUUUUGACUUCCAGAAUAAUUUUGUUUGGUGUAACAUAUUAUUCAAACCUCCACAGUCGGUCAUAUGUCGGAAGUAGGUAUGAAUCAAGACUGUCAUGAUGGGUUGUAGAGGUCUAAGGUGUUGGACAAGGCUACAACAAUCAUGAGUGCUCAUAAGUUCUGAGCAUUGGACUCAACCCACGCUCACUGGAAUCACUUCAUGGAAUUCUAUCUCGAGUGAUCGUGAGACGGUAAUAUCAUAUAAGUCUUCAAACCUAGAGAUAUGAUUUGUUACUUACAAGUUGGUUAUGCAUUGACUGUACGAAACCGCAUUGGUAACUCGAUGUUAUAAAACGUACUUUUGUGUGUAAUUCAAUGAGUGGUAGAACAAACAUAUGAGUCGAAGUUUAUCUGUUCCUUCUUGGAUUAGAAGCUGAUAUCUGGGCCCCUCGAUGAUUUUGUUUUGACCCAUGUACCGGGCCCGGUCAGAACUAAGUUGAUGUGUUCAAUUAAGUUCUAUGUCAAACAAAUCGGAAAUCGGGAAACAAAUGCUGGACAAUAAGCAAGACAAUGUUCCAUGUAUUUGUCCGGCUGAUAUCUAGAACGGAGGAUUAUAUGAUCACUUAUCUUAAAUGGCGUACCAUCAUCUUCUCAGUUCCGAGAGACCUUGAAAGAGCUACGAUUGCCGGUCGGUUCCUGAAGUACUAGAGAUAUAGUUAUUAGACUUAUCCAAGUGGGAGACUGUUGGAUAAGGUGUCUAAGUCCAUAACUAUUUCGGGCUUGUACUUGACCCGACCCGGCAUGGUCCAUUUGGGUUGCAUGGCACCAUGCAAUUGGAUAGACUAAAUGAGAGAAAUAACACUUGGAGAUUAUUAAUAUAUUAUAAGUUCUAAUAUAUUAAUAAUAUUAUUUGAUUAGUUGAUCAAAGAAUUAAUUUGGAAUUAAUUAAGUGAUCAAAGGAUAACUAAUUAAAUAUAUGGGUUGAUUAUGUAAAUCAUCCAUAUCUUGUAUAGUGGGCUAAGAGGCUCCAUGGAUUAUCAAGUUGGGUUCUACCCAUAGGAUGCUCCAUGGAUGCUCCAUGGGAGUUACAAACCCAUGGGUCAUGGAAAUGAAGAGUCAUGACACAUUAGGGUUUACAUGGUGUAACCCUAGAUGUGUCAACACUAUAUAAGAAGCAUAUUCUCCACCAAAAAUCGGCACUACUAAGGAACUAGAGGGCUUGGCCGAUUUUGAGAAGUGUGUGUUAUCUCAAGAGUCUUUCCAAGAGCAUUUGGUGUUGUGUGAAGCAUUUGAGGCAUCACACUUGGGGUGCUAGGCUCACAAGGUUUCAAGGAACACAAGCAACAACAAGGUAAGUUAUUCUAUCUAUGAUUCAAGUUAAAAUUGUUCCCCAUGUAUGCUAGAUAGGAAUAUAACCUUGGAAUUCAACUUUGCAUGAUAAUUAGACAAACAUAGAUCCAAGGUUAUUAGGGUUGCAUGUACACUUAGGAAGUGUUAGAAUGCUCAAAACCCUUCAGAAUACAAGUUGCACACAAUGAUAAUUGUGUAAUUAUUUGUUGUUAAACAUUCUUUCAAAAUGUUACUUAUAUUAUUUAUAAGUUGUUAAAACAUUUCAAAACUCUUCUAAAGGUUAUGUUACUUUAUAGUUAUACAAAACUCCAUUUUUAAAGUAUAAGCAUAACUUUGUAGAUAAAUGAGUCUUUUCAGUAUCAGUCCAGUUAGAACAUUAGUAAACUAUUAUAGGUAUAGUUUAGGAGAAUGCUAUUCAUUACUUCUAGUACAAUAAAGCACACACAGAACAAAACAGAACAGAACAGAACAAACAGUGAAGAGAAUCAAACAAUACCAGAACAGAACAUAACAAACAAGUAAAUUUGCUAUAGCAUGACAACACGCAGACAUGAUCUAACUUUAAUGUGAAUUACAUGGCUUGCAUAGAUUUGCUCGGGUCACGUUUGGUUCCCUCAAUCUCCAUACAUGAGAGCGGGUUAGUAGGGGUUCUAGCUUUCACAUUAUGACCGUAAUAAAACACACAUAUGUUUUUAGGUUGAUAGUACCCCCGUAUGUAAUUAUAAACGACAUCAGGGUACUCAUUUCUCCCAUUACUUUCUUAAAGUGUCGGUAACACUUGAAGGUUAAUCUAUUCUCUAAUCGGGAUAGGUUAUAAACUAGGGAGAAUGUAUUUCACAGUUGACAAAGGAACAUUAGAGUCUUGGUAGAAGACUGCUUUCAUAAUAGUAGAGUCUUGGUAGAAGACUGCUUUCAAACAAUCGAGUCUUGGUAGAAGGCUACUUUAAAAGUUAGGACCAUGAUGCUAGCUUUAUGAUUCCUUAAUGUAUACACUAUAGACUACGUAUAUGCUAAGUAGAUUCCGACAGCUAAUAGGAUGUGUGUUCUUCGUUGUACGUCCUGUUCCCGUUGGAUGUGGGUUUACACCGAGGUCACCCAAUCUAUUAUCUACCCGAAUCUAUAUAUAUUUAUGCUUAGUAUACAUUAAGUCAUCAUAAGGGUACCAGGUAUGGAUCAGGUCAUAGGACACAGAGUCAAUGCACAGUUUUUCUAGUACAAAACUUUCGUUUCAAAGUCAGUACUGUUGGAUAUACAAAACUAGUGAUUUCCCAGUUAAGGGCUUAAUCCAUUUUAUUAAACCAGUACAGCUUUAAAGACUUUAUGUGAGUUAACUCUAUAAUACCUUAGUUUAUACACCAUGUUUAUAUAUAAGACUAAUAUCCGACAGCUAAUAGGAUUUGUGUUCUUCGCUGUACGUCCUGUUCCCGUUGGAUGUGGGUUUACACCGAGCUCACCUAAUCUAUUAUCUACCCGAUACCAAAUUAUAUAUAGCAGUAUAAACAAAGCUAUUAUAAAAGUAAUCACCAUAGUCAAUAUUUUAUUAUAAGAAAUAUAGGUUUUCUUAAAAGGAACUCUCCAUUAGACAUAAAGGAACCAUUACAAAUAACUCCAUGAGUAACAAGUGAAUACCCCAAGGUUAUAUAUGACAACGAUCUAAUAACCAAUGGAAUAUGUGCUAUCCGCCUUACUUACUGUACCCCAUCGGGUUGUAGGUUGAGGGCAGAUGCGCAUAAUCGAUUGUUUGUUUACUCCAAGUAUAUAUAACUUGUACCCACUUAUUACGCAUAGAAAGGCUUGUAGUGUCAUUUUACUCAACUCCCAUUUUAAGUAGGAAAUAUAUGAUUUUCUAGAGGAACAGGCAAACUUUACAAAACAACACCUUACAGCUUACAGUACUUUACAUAUACAUUUUAAACCACAUUUUUACAGCUUACUCACAUCACUAAAAUCUUAUGAACUCACCAGCUUAAUUGCUGAUCAACUCUUUCAAAUAACUUGUAUUCUCAGGAGACUAUUAGACAGGUGCUCGUGCUGGGACUUCAGAAGAUGGAGCAUUAUAGCUUCAAGUCUUGUUUUGUUAUUUGUUUAUGACUUCUAUGUUUUGUGAACACAUACAUUGUAAACACUUUCUUUCUAAAUGAAAUGCUUGUCCAUUACUUGCUUACCAUAUACCUAUCUCGUGAUACUUGACAUGACGUCCUCCACCCCCGAACGUUUCUGCCAUUCCGGUUUUGGGGUGUGACACGCACUCGAUAACUCAACCCUACUUGCUCCUUAGUACCCUAAGGAUUCUUACUUGGACUGUGCACUAAUUUGGUGUCUUCAGUAGUACGGGACCUAUACUACCAUCCACACCGCAUCAAUAUUCACCCCAAGUCCUCCUCUUUAGAUCCCAGAACACAAGUACUCUAUAUCUUGCUAGCAUAGGCCACCCUUCGGUAGACCUCUCAUAAGCUCCUCACUGCUACCUACUCACUCUCAAGCAUCUCAUUGCAGUAGAAAUCUUCCUAGGCUAAGGCAUCACAAAUCAGGCUACUCUAGUCCAAAUAUGAAUACCUAGCCUACUCUAGCAUGCGACACAUAUCAUAACACAUAAUGUAAAGGAAUUUUGGGAAAUCACCGUUCGGGUGCUGGCUGAUCUACACACCGCUUCCUUCUACUUUUCUCAAAUUCUUUUACUUCCUUAGAAAAAUUGUUUGUUUUAUGAAAAAUUUCUCAAAUCCUCAGUUUGAGUUCAGAUAUGCCCGAAGGUGCAUCCGAAUCCCUCAAACCAAGGCUCUGAUACCAACUUGUAACAACGUAAAUUUUCAAAACAAUUUUUCAUUUUUAACACAUAAUUUCAUUCAUAAUGAAAUCCCAAAAUCCAAUGUUUCACAUAUUAUCCGAAUAAAACAAAUCCCAAGAUCUCAAUACAUAAAAACCCCUCAGUGUGUACGACUCUUGCCAGCGCCUUCCCGCGAUCCUCGCUGGUACCUGAAACACAUAUCACACAACACAGUAAGCAUAAAUGCUGAGUGAGUUACCCAAAAUACCACAUACAACACAUACGCCACUCGAGGUCAAUGUUUCUUAGCAGGAUCCUCUAGUCCCAUAGCUCGUUGGACCCUCUGGCCCGGUCAUAGCUCGUCGGACCCUUCGGUCCGGUCAGUAUCGUUGGACCCUUCGGUCCGAUCUAUAUCGUUGGACCCUCCGAUCCGGUCUAUACAACACAUAGCAUACAUAUAACAAAAUGCACAUAAUCUCAUACAUACACAUAGCAUACAUGACCCUCCGGUCUACACAGAAAUACCACUCUAGGUAAUGUAUAGUGAGAAGACUCACCUCGGGUAACUCGGAUAAUCUCGAGCACGAAUACACUGAUUUAGCCCCCGCCUAAUCACAUAAACAGUAUCCUCAAAUAAAUAAUGGCUCUCAAAGUCUAGAUUAAGUCCCUUUCUACAAUCCCACAGAAGGGUAAAAGACCAUUUUACCCCUCCCUGACCCAAAACUCCAAAUGAUGACCAAAACCCUAAAAGUCAAUGAAAGUCAACAGGGGGCAGUACGCGGCGCGUACCAUCUCAGUAUGCGGGGUGUACGCCGGCGAUCCAUAAUCGGGGUCUCAACCCCUUACGCUGCGUGUUUUGAGAGUUACGACCAACGAAAGUCUUAGUUUCAGCUCUUUUUAGAUUUUUGGUCUUAAACAGUUAAGACAUAAACUCAAACUCUAGAUCUGACUUUUCUAAGGCCUCUUAAUCCACAAAGUCGAAACCUUUAAGCCUUUGCAUGGCUGUAACGGUCCCUAAUCACUCUAACACCUUUCCUCUCUCCUCAUAAAGCCUAGAUCUCAUGCAUGGCUUAAUAUUCACGUCCAAGAUUGGAUAUUUAUGAACCUACAACUCAUAUUACCCUGAAAUAUGGCAGAUCUAGGCUUAUGGAGACCAUUUGCUCAUAAAUUCUCCACCUUGGGACCAAAAACCAUAAAAAUUGGUCCAAGAAGCACAAAUAAAAAUGACAAGGAAAGCUUUGAGCUUUUUACCUCAGAAAGAAGCUCCAGCCUCUGUAGAACUCAGACCUACUCUUGUCCACCAACUUCAAGCUCCUAUAAUGGCCUCCUCUUCUCCUUUGACACCUUGAAAUGACACUUUCAAGCUUAAGAACACACACACAAGCUAAGAAUGAAGGGUAGCUCUCUCUUAGGGUUUCACUCUCUGAAAUGGUGGCUGAGGAUAAAGCCAUAACAUUAUUUUUAUAGUGCACAACCCACAAUUUGGGUUUGCAUCUGGGCCCGCUACGCCCAACAUAACCCUAGGUAUGCCCAACAUACUUGGGUGAGUCCGCAUCCAAACUAAGCGCAUGAGUAUGCACAACGUACUCCUUAGUACGCCCAGCAUACUCAAUUGUCAUUGUUUUUCCUUUAGGGACUAAACUUGACCACUUGGAAAAGAAGAAGGGUUCAAGAGAUGCACCUGAAUUUUGGGAUGUUACAAAUAACUUAAAUAUCGAUAGAUUCAGUAACAGUAAAGUGAAACAAAGAAUAAGAACAAUGAUCGAAUGAGUUCCGAAUGCUUUAUAAUCAAUUCCUUAGAAGAGUUUGAUGAGAACUUUUCUGUAAAAGCAAUAUAGGGCAAUACGAAAACGAUUAACCCUAGAACGAUACAUGCAUGCACUAUAAAUAGUCUAACCCUAGCAUCAUAAUGACGGAUGGACAGGCCCUAUCUACUAACAAAGACUAAGUACAUACAUAGUAAAUUUGACACAACACAUUAAAUGACCCAACAAUCUCUCCCUUUGUGUUAAAUAAGGAGUGGAGAUUCUUUAAUGUUGUUCCAACUUCUGGACUUUAAACAUUCUGGUCAUCAAAUUAAGAAGUUUACUUUGAAUGAAAAUGUACCACUUGAUCAUGUCUCGAAAGCAUUCUAGAUCUCCUUCAUCAUUCAAUUUGCAUGCUACGGUUAAGCCUAUGAUAUGGGUCAAUACAGUAGUGGAGUACAAAUGUUUGUCUAAUAAAAAGAAGAAACUCUUCUUAACUUGAUCACCUUCUCUUCUCUGAUAGACCACACUCCAAUCCUUUUUCUUUAUCUCACCCCACCUUUUCUUCUGAAAUUUCGUUGUUUCUUUUUUCGGAUCCAUAGUAGGCCUUUUCUUCAAUACUGAAAUAUUUCACUUCAUCUUUUUGACAAAAUCAGAAAUAAUGAAAUCCAAUCUUUCGGAUUCAUACAGGGCAGAUCAGCAAGUGUGAAGUCCUCCUCGGUGUUAGCUGCUCCAUGAAAACCUUUAAACCUGACGUUUGUGAAGUGUUUAGUGGGAAAAGGAGCAUAAACUUUCACAACAACAAGCUUCUUCAAAUUCCAAAUCUUGUACUGAGGUUGACCAUACUUGAGAUAAAAAUUGUAAAUCAUGUUGUUAACAUCGUAAUCCAAAAGAGGAGACUUCUAAAUAUGAGAAAAUCCUCGGAAUAGGAAACCUCUCGUAGUGAGUGGGAUAUAAAGUUGAGAGUCAACGACAUUACCCAGAUCAAAAGAUACCGAUGACUCUAACCAACGAACGCUCAAAUCAUACAUUGCUUCUUUCUGAAUUCACUCUAAGGUCCAUGGAGGAAAAAGGGCCUACUGAUUUGCAAGAGUGACUUUUGCAACUUCUUCUUCAGCUUCUUUAACUUCUAAUUCUAGGCGAAGAGUCAAAAGAUCAUCAAGCACCUUGUCACGUUUCUUUCUUGUCAGCUUUUCUCCUUCAGGAAUUUCUUCUUCAAUAUCAUCGUCAUCAUCUAACACAUUUUCUUUUCCUUUAGAACCCGAAGCUUCAUUAACCUUCGGAUCUAUCUUCGGUUUAUCCUCAUAUCGUUCAUCAGUAGGCUUCUUAUCAUGAGGCUCAGGUUCCUGAGGCUUACAUUUUUCUUUUUCCUUAACAUCUUCUCCCCCUUGUUUCAGAACAUCACUGCUUUCCGAAACACAAUGUAGUUGAUUGAGCAUAGCGAAGACAGGUUUGAGUUUUUUCGAGAGGUGCUAGCAAACUGAAACCGUAAGCAUUGAGUCACGGGUUGCAAUAAGAUUGUGCAAGUAUUGAUUUAUGUCGGAGACAUAGCUUCGGGAUACUGUUUUCUCGGAUUCCAUGUGAUCCAGACGCUUGGUUGCGUAACUGAGCUUGCCGGAGAGAAUCUUAACUUUUUUAGUUUUUUGAGCCAGCAUAUCCAUGAAUGUAUAUUCAGUAGCAAGAUCUUUUUGAAGAUGCUCUAUCUUGGAGACAAAAAAAAGCAACCAUUUUAGCGGAAUUGGUUUGUAGUUUACCACGAACACGAGAAAAGGCUUCUCUUUAAGUUUGUAGAGUUGUGGCAAGACUCGUAAUGACCUUGUUCGAUGCUUCAGUGUUAUUAUUAGUAGAGGCUCGAAAAUCUUUCCAUGAAUUUUGUGACAUCAGAUUGUAGUUUUUUUUAAUUUUUCAGUCGUCUCAGCAAUUUUCUUCUCAGAUGCCUUGAUUGCCUUAGUUGAGUCUUCAAGGACUUUUGCAUUUUAUUUGGUGUGCGUUUCAAACGUUGCUCGAUGAGAUUUGUGCAUAAAAUCAUAAGUAGAAGAGGUAAGAGAGGACUCCUAAAGCGAAUCUAAUUUAGAAUUGAGUUUUUUUGAACUGCCCUUACGUCAUAGGGGCUUCAUCAUCAUCGCUUGUUAGAAGGAUAGUAAAUGGACUAAAGACAAAAUUAUGAAUAUCGUAUGGAUCAUCUCCAUACAUGACAUCUAAAUCAUCCUCCCUCAAAGGUAAAAAUGGAGAGGCGUUAGGACCAACUAUAACACCGAAAUUACCUGCCCCCGUAUCAGAUACAUUGACAGUCACUAGAGGUGAACUCAUGGUGGCGGUUGUUGUUGUUUGUAGUGGAAUCUGUAUAGAGUGGAUUGAUUUGGGCUACUUAAAUCUGUGGUUGAGAAACACCAACAGACACAUUUAGGAAUGGAGCAAUGGUAAUUAGAAUAGGAGUAGUGAUCGAAGAAGGUGGAGGAGAAGGAACGUGAAAGAAAUCAUAUGUCAAAGGAACAGAAGUUGAGAUUGGAGAUGAUACAUUUGGAGUGGGUUGAGUAGGAAUUGGUUCCGAGACCAAAGGUUACAAAUUCACUAUUGUAUCUUUGGUUUCGGUCUUAAUGUUAUCUUCCCAUCGUAAGUCAGGAACAGUCUGGGAUUAUGAAUCCUCUUGAGCGACAGGAGAUGGAGAUCUUGGUUUGCGAGCAGCCUUCUUAACCUUCUUUUUCAGAGUUUGAACAGGCUCGGAAGGUCCAUCUUUCACUUUUCUCUUUCCUCCCUUGUUGGGAUUAUUUCCCUCCUCAAGUGCCUUUCACAAAUCUUCAGGCAUAGGACGAACACCAGAAAUAGGCUUCUUUCAGUAUUCAUUCACCACAACAUUAUCAGCAGGAACAUUCAAGAGCAUGGCUUCAGGAAUUGAACCAACGAAGCUAAACCAGUGGGAUCAAAGACAACGAAGUUCGAGUUAUGUUUGACUGGAAUAACAGAAAGCACAAAGUCUUCAUGCACUUGCACCUGAAGAAGAGUAAUAGCACGCUUGAUAAUGUCAGACCAAAAUCGACCACAAGAAAUCUUUGAAUGCCUUGAUGUUGAGAGUAAUAUCUGAACAAGUUGUACCCAAUGAACAUAACCAUAAUCUAGGUUAAAACCAUUGUAAAGACCAUAGAUAAUCGUACAGAAAAGCUUGCUGGAAUUAUAAUACCUAGUAACACGUUUAGAAAAAGUUUUAAAUAAUAGAGUAAAAAGCCCAUUUCAUAUAGGAGGAACAUUGGGCUUCCUAAACUUGGAUAGUAAAGUUAUAUUAUCAAGAUAACCCAUUUGGAAAAACAUCCCAAUGAUCGGAGAUGAAGAAAUCGAUUCAGGGUCGACGAUAUCAUCUAUAGUAGUAAACCCUAGCAGUAUGCAAAAUCAAGAUUUGGAGAUAGACGGUUUGUGAGAAUUGACCUUAAAAGUAAUCAUAGCUUCACUAUGUUUGUAGUUUGUAGUGGAGAAUGCCUUGGGCAGAUGAACCAAAGGUACACUUUCAGCCAUUAUUAGGGCUUGAGCCAGAGGAGAGAAACGCGGGAUUUUAUCAUCGGUUUGAGAGAAUUAGCAUACUUUUAAGAAUCAAGAUCCAGAGUCAGAUUUUGGUUUGAUUUGAUGCUCAACAUGACCAUGGAAGUAGUUUGUUCAACAACAGAAGGAGCUUCAGAUGAAGCAGCCAUAGAAGAAGUUGGAGAUGAUGAUAAACCAUGCUGAUAAAAGGAGGGUGUUCUCCUUGAGAUAUUUUAAAUUCUUUGAAAGUGGUGAAAGAAAGAAAUUGUCGAUUUACCUUUUAUACAUCAGGAAUGGUGAUAGAAAUCUGGUGAUUGAUGUUUCUAAUGGGUUUUAGCCAUAUGAACAUUCCUAUGUGCACAUGCAAACCUUAAUGCUUGGAUCUAGGUUUCUCUAAUUAAACAUGCUUUGAAUCCAAGACUUCUAAUGACUAAUUAGGUAUAAGAACAAUACAAAAUAGAUCUAGAAGUUUACCUUUGAAUCUCUUGUUUUGAUUUUGUUGUCUUGGAGCUCUAGAGUCACAAUUGUCACUCCUCUAAUGGCUUACAAACACCAACUAGCAAGGAGGGUGAUUUGAGAGAGAGGAGAGGGGCUAGAAAUCAGCCAGGGUUUCUUUGCUUUAGUAGAGGUGCCGAUUUCCCUUGCCCUAGGGGUCUAUUUAUACUUGUAAGGCUCCUAGGGUUUCACCCUUAAACCCUAGUUGGAUAAUAUUUCCAUAAAGCAAUCCUAAUCCUUACCUAAGAUAGCCUUGGACGAAUUUGACGCUAUCCCAAGCCCUAGCAUCCGUCCAUCCUCUAUCCAAGAAGGAUUUACAGCCCAAAGUGUAACUAUUAAACAAUUGACAGUUUAUACCCUCUUAUUUAAUUAAUCUCUUUAAGUCACCAAAUUAAUACCAAUUAAUCUAUGACUUAUAUUAAUCAAAUAACAAUAUUAUUAUUUCUUAUAUUACUCUCAUAAUAUAUUAAUAAUAUUUAUUCUCUCAUAAUAAAUCAUCCUAUCAACUUGCUAUGGUGAAGGCAACCCAAAAGGACCAUGCACAAUCGGGUCAAAUAAUUGCCUAAUAUAGUUGCAGCCUUAGACACUAUUCCAACAGUCUCCCACUUGGAUAAGUCUAGUAACUAUAUGCACAAGUACAAUUCGAUUUGCAAUUGUAGCUCUCAAAGACGCUAUCAAACUCUGAUCUAAUCAAUCUUGUCCUUUAGAUAAGGGAUCGUAAAGUCCUCUGUUAGAUAUCAUGCUGACAAUUCUAUGGAAUGAUUAGUCUAGCAUUUUGGUUUCUCGAUCUCCGAUUUAUUUGACAUAGAACUUAAUCGAACACAUCAAUUCAGUUCUGACCGGGCCCGGCACAUAAGUCAAAUCAAAUCAUCGAGCGGCCGAGAUAUCGCUUUUACCUUCUUAGGAUAAAAGUUACAGAUAAACUUCGACUUAUAUGCAUUUACUUAUUCAUUAACCAACUAUACACAACAAUACGUUUUAUAACACCAAGUUACUGAUGCGUUUUCGUAUUAUCAAUGUACAAUCAAUUAACAAAUAAUAAACCAUAUAUCUAGGUUUUAAGACUAUAUGAUAUUAUCGUCUUGCGAUCACCUUUUAUAUCGUAUUCCAUAAGGUGAUUCCAGCAAGCGCGGGUUUAUUCCAAUGCUCAAAACUAGUUCAUAAGCACUCAUGAACGUUGCAGCAAUCCUUUGCUAUGUCUAACACCAUUUAGACAUUCUACACACCAAUUCAUGACAAUCUUCAUUCAUAUCUACUCCCAACAUAUGAACGAUUGUGGACCAUUUGAACAAUUCGAUUAUUCCUAAUAAACUCAAUUAUUCUGGAAGUCAAAACAUGCAAAGUGAAACAAUAGCUAAACAAUUAACAUAAGAUAGUAACAUUACUCAUAAAUAAAACUCCUUUAUUUAAUCAUCAAAUGUUAAUUACAUUUAUCUAUUACACGUUUCUAAUACUAUCUAAUCUAUGCUAAUAUCAUCCUUCAGCCCAAUACUCCUAGCAUGCUGCAAGUGCUUAACCCUACUCAGUCCCUUCGUAAGCGGAUCUGCUGGGUUAUCUUCUGAUGAUAUCCUCUUCACUACGAGUUGUCCUUCUUCUACACGAUGUCUGAUGAAGUGAUAUUUUCUGUCGAUAUGUCUUGAUCUACCAUGAUCCCUCGGUUCCUUGGUCAAGGCAACCGCUCCUUCGUUAUCACAGAAAAUCUCCAUGGGCUCCUUUAUGGCAGGUACAACUCCAAGAUCACCGAUGAAGUUCUUUAGCCAUAUUGCCUCCUUCGACGCUUCGCUCGCUGCAAUGUACUCUGAUUCGCACGUUGAAUCAGCUACGGUUUCCUGCUUGGAACUCUUCCAUGUCA
Molecule: long non-coding RNA, 95465 nt
Filed under: Lactuca sativa (garden lettuce)
Lineage: Eukaryota; Viridiplantae; Streptophyta; Magnoliopsida; Asterales; Asteraceae
Description: long non-coding RNA (LSAT_LNC008186)
Source: RNAcentral